GCGAUCGUGUUCGAGAAUAAAUAAAACAUCACGCAGUUGGAUGGCACAUGCGUAAGCUGAACACAGGACAGAAGCCCUCAGAAUCAGUUUAUAAUAAUAUACAGAAACCCAUUUCUAUUCCAAGCUUCAAAUAUAUAGCUCCACACAAUAAAGCAUCAUCCUGUACAGUGAGUCUAUGGCUGCAACAGCUAGCUAGUAAUAGUCACCGGCAAUUAGUAUAGUCAUAUAAGCACUGCUGCACGAGCUACAACUACAAGCGGUGGUGGGCGCAGGAGGCAGUGCCGUCGUCGAAGUUCUGGUAGUAGCUAUGCAGGUCAUACCCGAACCUCACCGCGGUUCGCCUCGGCCGCGCCGCGCGUCUUCUCCAAGAGCGCCUCAACCUCGACAGCAGUCGCUUCACCGCCGCAGCUGGCCGGCGGCCGCCGCUCCUGGCGUGGACGAGCCGCCCGCCCAAGCCGCUGCCCCCGGUGUACGGGCCUAGCAGAGACGCCGCCGCCAUGAUCGUUCACUCGGUCGGUUCUCACAAGUCACGGACGCUCUUUGCCGCUAACCAAUUAGCUAGCUAGACGCUGUCUGCUUCGAGCUGGAGUACGUACGUAUCUGUGAAUCUGUGUGCUGCAGCUGUAGCUUCUGAAGAUACUGUGCAAAACGAAGCCUCCCAUGCCGCAGCUUUAUAAGCUCGGAUGCUGGGAGCAUUCCGACACGCGUCGAUCGAAGACGCUACUCGGACCCACCAGCAGCACGCACUCACAUACAUGGUGACGAGGCAAUCCACUACGGCGAUCGUUCGAAACGUCCAGGCAGCUUCAUUUCAUGCAUGCUUUUGUAAGCCGCCGUGGUGCUCGUGCAGUCGAAAGAAUCAAAGAAAGACAACCGUCGACCACCAACAAUGGAAGCAUGUGCACUUGCUUUAGUGACGACCUCCAUCGCCAGCUAGACUGCUAGCUAGAAGGAUGAGAGAGGUCGGCCAUGGCAACUGGCGACACGGCGGCACCUGAGCUGCUUCCUGCCCGUCCUGUGCCACUGCCGAUAAGGUCGGCGGCUUCCUGCCUGCCCUUCCUGCCGCUGGAUCAUGCCACGUGCACAAUGUGUUUCAGUUGCCUGUGGCGUGGGCGUGGCCGACCUAAUCGACAUGCAUGCGGCCGAGGUUGGCGGGAACUCUCGGCACCCCGUCAGAUCGAGACUAGGAAUAGCUAGAGUGUAUUGCUGACGCUGAAUCAUAAUAAUAACAACUGGUUAUAUUAAUAACCUAGAGUAUUAUUGGAAAGAGCACUCCAAGCCACUCACCAAAUUGGAUAAUAUAAUAAUAAUAAUAACUGGUUAUUACUAUGUAUUUUUGGAUAGCCUUAUCCUUGUACCGAAGAUGACUAAAGCUUAGGACGUGGACAUUUCUUUUACAGCUGGAAUAUGCAAGUAUGCUCUUCGAUCUGAUAUCUCCAAAAAGGAAGAGAAAAGAUGUCGUCGAGCUGAGUUAUCAUCAAUGAAUUUCCACAUCCUAAGGAAAGGGAAAUGGAACACACUAGUAGUGUUACGCUAGAGUGAAAAUCUACAGAAAAGGCGGAGAGCCUUUUUUUAGGGAAUUGCGAAGCUUCUAUUUUGGAAAUAUCACAAAAAUGUAUGGUCAGCGAAUGGCGGUCGUGGAAUGGCAGUGUAUCACUACCGAAAUAUUGAUCUUUACCAAGUGCUCGGUAUUUUACCGAGUAUUUUUUCUCAGGCACUCGGCAAAUAAGUCUUUGUCGAGUGCCGUAUACGACAAAGUUCUGCUCUCGGUAACGACCACGUUUACCGAGAGCAGUAGUCUCGACACACGAAAACACUUGACGAGGUCGACGCUUGGUAAAGGGCCAUCGUCAGCCAUCUACAGCUGACGACCGUUAUCUUUGCCGAGUGCCGACACUCGACAGGCCAUUCUGUGCCGAGUGUCGUAAGAUGGCACUCGACAAAGUAUAUUUUUCUUUUUUUUCUUUUUUCAACAAACCUUUUGUGGUAUGUUCCUACACUAUGUAGACUUACAUGUUCCAUUUUGGCAUAAUUAUAAAAGUGUUUGCUGGAACUAUUAGAUUUUGUUCUUUUAAUUGAAUUUACUCGGAUAAUUCAGAUUUGAACUACAAGUCACUCGAAAAAUAGAAAACCGUGAAUGCAAAAAAUGAUAUCCAUGUUAGAUAACACAAUUUACGACUGAUUUCAGGAGCAGACUGGAAUUUUCGAGCACUAUCCUCACUAAACAUGACCGUGAACUUGCCAUCAAGUUAUUUAAAAAUUAUAUAAAACACAAACAAAGUCAGAAAAUCAUGAAACUUGUCCACAUGUCAUGAUAUCAUAUGUAGAGGCUGUGAUAAAAAUUUGAGAAUGUUUCAAGAAAGUUGUGACGUACUAUAUGUAGAAACCUAGCCGGUCUACAUUAAAACUCUAUGAUUUUAUGUGUAGGCCACUUAGGUUUCUACACAUAGUGCGUCACAACUUUCUCGAAAUAUUCUCAAUUUUUUAUCACUGCCUCUACAUAUGAUAUCAUGACAUGUGGACAAGUUUCAUGAUUUUCUGACUUUGUUUGUGUUUUAUACAAUUCUUAAACAACUUGAUGGCAAGUUCACGGUCUUGUUUAGUGAGGAUGGUGCACGAAAAUUCCAGUCUGCUCCUAAAAUCAGUCGUAACUUGUAUUAUCUAACAUGGAUAUCAUUUUUGCAUUCACGGUUUCCAUUUUUCGAGUGACUUGCAAUCCAAAUCUAAAUUAUCCGAGUAAAUUCAAUUAAAAGAACAAAAUCUAAUAGUUAUAGCAAACACUUUUAUAAUUGUGCCAAAAUUGAACAUGUAAGCCUACAUAGUGUAGGAACAUACCACAAAAGGUUUGGUUGGCAAAAGAAAAAAAUGAAAAUAUACUUUACAAAGUGCCCAAGAUAGGCACUCGGCAAAGUAUUAUUUGUCGAGUGCCCAUCUUGAGCACUCGGCAAAGUAUAUACUUUGUCGAGUGUCAGGCGACCGGCACUCGGUGAAGUGAUCUCUUUGCCGAGUGCCAACGCCCGACACUCGGCAAAGUGCAUUUUUAGAUUAAAAAAAACCUUUGUUGAGUGUCAGAUCGCUUACGCUCGGCAAAGUGUAUUUUUAAAUUAAAAAAAUCUUUGCCGAGUGCCAGAUCGCGGGCACUCAGCAAAGAACAUAUACUAAGCCAGAGUCUGGGCCCAUGACUCCAUUAUUUGUUGUCGCGCCACCGUUAGCCCCGCCGCGCCGCUCGUCGUGCCUCUCGCUCCACCGCCCGCGCUCGCCCCGUUGCCCGCGCUAGUGCCGUUCGCCGCACCGCCCGCUCGAGGUCACCCGCGCGCCGCCGCCUCUGCCCGACCGCACCUGCUUCGUCCAUCCCCGCGUGCUGGUUGGUUAUGGCCAUCCCCGUCUAUCAGACCCCCGCUUCGGUUAACACACCGCCACCAGCAAAGGUAAAGACUUUACGCAACCGCUAAGUGUCGAUUCAUUAAUCAUUUCAAUUAUGCUUACAAUGUAGUUAUGAUUGCCUAAGUGUCGAUUCAUAAGCCACACUAGUUGUAGUUAUGAUUGGCUAAGUGUCGAGGCCUUGAUGUCUAUGUGUGUAUCAGCCAUCGUGCUGGUACUUUUGUUUGCAGGUUUUUGGAAAGCUCCCCGUGUGGGGAGGUGCUGCCAUUUUUUUAACGGACUUGUGUUAAUCUUUAGAGUAUAAUCGGUUAUAUAUGUUAGAGUAUGGAGGACCGUGAGUGGAUGUACACGGGUCAUGUAGGAAGGAAUGAUGUCACCCUCGAAUGGAUUAGAAAGACCGAUGCUUUCGUGGAACAGGCAUUUGACGAAGCUGCUAAAGGAGCAAGUCUAGUCCCAUGCUUGUGCAGCAAAUGUGCCAACCGGAAAAGAAAAUCAAAGAAGGCCAUGGUAGAACAUAUUUGGAAGAAUGGAUUUACACCGGACUAUACUCGAUGGAUCUUCCAUGGUGAAGCGCACGUACGAGAGAGGAGGUGGUGAGACAAUGCGUCGAGGAUUAUGAUGCUGAUGCGGGGUAGCAGAUAUGUUGAACGACUAUCACGAGGCAUAAUUCGUCGGAGGAUGUAUGGAGGACGAGCUAGAGCCGACCGCAAAGGCGUUGUACGACAUGUUUGACGCGGCACAGAAGCCCCUUCACGUCAAGACAAAGGUUUCUCAACUGGAUGCCAUUGGGCGUGUAAUAGUGUUCAAGUCGUAGUACAACAUGAGUCGAGACGCAUUCGAUGGCUUGUUGACAGUUAUUGGCAGCCUGCGAGGAUCACGUUCUGCCAAAGAGCAUGUACGAGGCACAAAAACUCCUUCGUGCACUCAAGAUGAUGUAUGAGCAGAUAUAUGCUUGUCUGAAGGGCUGCGUGCUAUUUAGGAAAGAAUAUGCGGAGGCAAAGUACUGUUCGAAGUGUAAAUCGUAUAGGUUCAUGGAGGUAGACUCUGGUGAUGGAUAGAAGAGGUAGCUCGACAUCCCGGUGACAAUCCUACGCUGCCUUCUGUUCAUACCGAGGAUCCAGCGUCUAUACAUGAUUGAGGAAUCCACGAAACAGAUGACAUGGCACAAAAAUGGCAAAUUAUGCAAUCCUGACAAGAUGGUGACGUAUCCGAUGGUGAAGCAUGGAAACACUUUGAUGCCAUUCACCAUGAGAAAGCCAAAAAGGCUCGUAAUUUAUGUGUUGCGCUGGCCACAUAUGGGUUCAAUCCCUAUGGAAUGAGCGCUGCACCGUACACAUGUUGGCCCGUGUUUGCUAUCCCAAUCAAUGUUCCCCCCGGUGUAUGCUUUCAAAGGCAGAAUAUAUUUAUGUCGUUGAUAAUUCCCGGACACCCGGGGAAUAAAAUGGGCAUGUACAUGGAGCCUUUGAUUGAUGAAUUGGUACGUGCUUGGGAGGAAGGGGUAUGGACGUAUGACCGAGCUACGAAGACAAACUUCAAAAUGCAUGUUUGGUACCAGUACUCCAUGCAUGACUUACCGGCGUAUGGGCUAUUCUGCGCCUGGUGUGUUCACGGUAAUUUCCCAUGCAUGCCCAGUUUGCAAGGAAGCUCUUAGGGUCGUUUGGUUGAAGAAGGGUGGCAAAUAUUCGUCGUUCGAUAGACAUCGACAAUUUAUCUCUCCUAAUCAUCCAUUCUGCCUAGACAUCAAGAACUUUACGAAAGGUGUCGUAGUGAUAGAUCGCCCACCUGCAACGAUGACUGGUGCCAAAAUUUGUCAAGGGAUAGAUGGGCUCGUGGCCAAUCUAGAAGGUGGUUUUGUGGGAUAUGGUGAGCAGCAUAUGUGGACGCAUAAGUCGGGCUUGACUCGGCUCCCCUAUUAUGACGACCUGCUCCUUCCACACAACAUUGACGUGAUGCACACUGAAAAGAAUGUUGCCGAGGCACUUUGGGCAACAAUUAUGGACAUUCCUGAUAAGUCAAAGGAUAACGUAAAGGCAAUAGUGGAUCUGGCAGUGUUAUGUGAUAGACCAAACCAAGAGAUGAAGCCGCCUAGUGGUGGAAAGACAUGGAGAAGGACUAAGGCCGAUUUCGUCCUAAGCAGGGCCCAGAGGAAGGAAGUACUUCAGUAGAUCAAGAUGUUGAUCUUCCCUGAUGGGUAUGCAGCUAACCUGAGUAGGGGGUGAACUUAUCUACUCUACGAGUCUUAGGGAUAAAGAGUCAUGACUUCCACAUAUGGAUUGAACGGAUUCUUCCUACGAUGGUUCGAGGCUAUGUCCCUGAGCAUGUCUGGCUAGCACUUACAGAGUUGAGCUAUUUCUUCUGCCAGCUUUGUGCAAAAGAGUUAUCUCGGACCGUGAUUGCAGAGUUGGAAAGAUUGACACCCGUGUUACUGUGUACGCUUGAGAAGAUAUUUUCACCCGGCUUCUUCAAUCCAAUGCAGCCUAUCCUCAAUAGCUUCAAUGUACAUUUGCAGCAGUGAACCGAAAUCUAUCUCAUUUAACCUUUGUUUUAACCUAUCUGGCAUCAUAAAUGCUGCAUUGUUCAAAGCAGCAGGAAAAUAUCGCAUUAUAAUGUAGAACCCGUGCAUCUCCUUAUCCUCCUUCAAAUCUUCGUGUCACUUAAUUGGAGUUUGGUCUUUGGAAGCUUCACUGGUCGUCUGUCGUUUAGACGAUUUCUCCCUCAUAGGCCUCUAAACAUGGGGUGUUGGGGACCCUACAUCUGAAUCAUUUGCGCUUAAAACAUAAACUAUGGGCAUUUUUUCAACCUCCGGUUGAGCCACACCUAGGGCAUCAUAUUCGGGAUUUUCUUCACCAUUGCGUGGAGUAUCUGAAUAUGUGUGCUUAGUAGGUGUAGACAUUGUCUACGACCGUGUAACAUAAAAAUAAUUCAGAUAAAAAAUAUCUAUAACAUAUAUUACUUACUGCUCAAUGUUGUUACUGAAUACUAUACAUAUUACUUAUGCUUGUAGGUUUAAAUUGUUACUAAUUGUCCAAAAUAUUACUAUACAUUCGAUUGGGAUUGAUAAUUAUAACUAAUUCUAUUCAUUUAUUAACGAGUAAUGUAUUACUGGCUCUAGAUGCACAUACUAUAUCUAACACAAAAUCUUAUUACUAUUAUGAAAACACAUAUUCUAGAUGACAAAAAAUUUCCUUACCGUUUAGAAUACAUAAUACUGAAAAUUAUUACCGAUUAGAAUACAUAUUACUAAUACUAAUUUCUUAAUUACUACUCACUAAGUAAUAACAACAUAAUGCUUAUCUAAAAAUUAUUGCUAAUCCUAUGCGGUAGUUACUGACAAUAUGUAUUUAUUACUGGUAUUAAAGCAGUAAUGUACUGAUUAUAAGAUAAAACCAACACAGAACUGUCAUUGAAAAUAUAUUAUAAUGUUACUGAUGCUAACAUAUAAACAAAAAGCAGCGUAUCUCAACUCAUCCAGGUUUUCAAAAAAAGGAGUGAUGCAGAGUAGGAUUCACUUGAAAAACAUGUGUGCAUGAUGCAACACUAACUUGAGCAUAAAUGUGCUAGAGAAAACUGCAGGAAAAAUUGAAGUAAAACCCGUCCAAGGAGCGAAUUGCAGAAACCCCUCCGUUGCGGCUGCUAAUCUUCACAAAUCUGGAACCACGUCGCCCCAGAUUUUCGCUCGUUUUGACCAAAUAUGGUACCCUAGCAAAAAAACAUGAUGAAUCUCCCCUACGCCACGACGAUUCUGACCGACGAUUGCGAGCACUUGGAAGGCAAUUUCAAAAACAAGGGAACCCAUGGAAAAAGUGACGGUGGAAAGAUAGUAGAUGUUUCGAUGGGUCCUUGCGGUCGUAUAUGUUUAGCUCGGUGUGGUCGGACUCGGUCGGUGCGGUGGGACACGGUCGGACGAGGUCGGUGUGGUCAAGUGAUGCUUCACUUGAGGUGAUGUAUAUAUAUAUAUAUACAUAUAUAUAGUUUGUAUAUUUAGAGCUCUGACCUUCCAAUAACUAGAGGAAACACUGGUCUAAACGGUGCCAUCCGGUUCAGCCGCACCAGGUUCAGACGGCUACAAAAAAGACCCCCAGACCGCCAGGGAUUAGGUUUUAGCGGGGGUGGCAGUUCCCUCGGGUGAGUGAGCGACGGUGGCGAUUUCCUCGGGUGUGCGAGCGGCGGCGAUCCCGGGGGCUUGCGACGGUGGCGCGCCGAGGCGGGCGACUGGCGGCAACACUCCUAAGGCGGGCGGGCAAGCACCUACGGCGCUCCUGAAACGGACAAGCGGCGGCGGCGCACCCUAGGCCCGGUGGUGACUGCGGUUGCGUGAGGCGCGAUAGGCUUCAAUAGCAGCGGCGGCGGAUCUUGGAGGAGCGCACGCGGCGGUCGAGGCCAGGGGCGCCCACACGAUGUCGGCUCCUCGAAGGCGCGCGCCCCUGAGUGGCGCCCGCUGGCGUCCCCCCUCCCGCGAUGACGCCGGCCUUCCCUAGGCGCGAGCGACGACGACAGACUUCCCUAGGCGACGAGCGGUGGCGAAUCGAUGUCCUUGUUUUUAUGCUAUUAUAUAUAUAUAUAUAUUUAUGCCAACGUCAAUAGAUUUUUAUGAUACAUUUUCAGUUCAUGGCUCUCAUUUCAUCUUUUGUAUGUUUAUGAUAUUUCUAUUCACAUUUUAUGUAAACGUUUGUUGAUUUUUGCAUAGUGUACUAUAAUGUAUAAAUACCUUCGUCAUGCAGUUAAUUAGUAUCAGUAUAAAUCAUAAAUUGGUUACAACGAGCCUAACUGUAUGGCUGUUGGAGAGAUCAUAUAUUUAUGGACGAAAUAAAACAUUGAAAAUCAGAUUUUUGUUUUCAUGCGUGCUAAUCCAUUUUCUUUCGACUCACAUUUUUGUCAUCCUAAAUUUGUACACAUGCAAUAGUAAACAUAUUUUGUAUACAGUGUACCGCAUUGCAUAAAUACCUUCGACGUGUAACAUAAUUAGUCUCAGCGUAUAUCAUAAACUGGUUCUAAUGAGCAUAGAUGCAUGGCUGUUGGAGAGAUCCUAUAUUUAUGGAGAAAAUUAAUCAUUUAAAUCAGAUUUUUUUCCAUGCAUGUCAAUCUAUUUUCUUUUAACGCACAUUCUUGUCAUCCUAAAUUUGUGCGCAUGCAGCAGGAAACAUAUUUUUUCGCGCUGUACAGCAGUGCAUAAAUAUCUAUACCGUGUAGCAUAAUUAGUGUCAGUAUAUGUUAUAAAUGAUUCCAACGAUCCUACCUGCAUGACUGUUGUCAAGAUCCUACUUUUAUGGACGAAAUAAAGUAUUUAAAUCAGAUUUUUUUCAUGCAUGACAAUUUAUUUCCUUUCAACCCACAUUCUUAAUAUCCUAAAUUUGUGCGCAUGCAGAAGGAAACAAAUUUUUUGCGCGGUGUACCACACUUCAUAAAUAUCUACACAGUGUAGCAUAAUUAGUAUCAGUAUAUGUCAUAAACUAGUUCCAACGAGCCUAACUGCAUUAUAUUGCUGUUGUAGAGAUCCUAUUUUUAUGGACAAAAUAAACAUUAAAAUCGGUUUUUUUGUUUUCAUGCAUGCCAAUCUAUUUUCCCUCUAAACACACAUUAUUGACAUCCUAAAUUUGCGCCCAUGCAGCAGGAAAGUGAUUUUUUACGCAGCGUACAUUAUUGCAUAAAUGCCUACACGGUGUAGCAUAGUUAGUAGCAGUAUAUUUCAUAAAAUGUUUCUAAUGAGUCUAGCUGCAUAGCUGUUAUAGAGAUCCUAUAUUUAUGAAAGGAAUAAAUCAUUCAAAUUAGAUUUUUUGUUUCCAUGCAUACAACAGUUAACACAUAGACUUCCUAAUUAUUCACGCUUGUAAAUGUAAACAAACUGCCCGCAUGUAAGGAAUGAAUGCAUACGAGAAGUGGGUGGUGGCCAGGAUGCGGUGGUGCUUGGCUGGCUAGGGCUUCAUGUGUGCUAGGGCUUAGAUUUUAAACUUAGCAAUUUUUCAUAUAUAUAUAUAUAUAUAUAUAUAUAUAUAUAUAUAUAUAUAUAUAUAUAUGAAAAAUAGCUAAGUUUAAAAAGCGAUAGUGGCAAAAUAUUUUCACUAGCGUUUGUUAUAAGAGAACCAACUGUAGAAAUUUAUUUCACUAGUACAAAUAAGCUCAAAGCCUGCGGCACGUUCAACUUUUCACUGGCGGUUUCCGUUAUCAAACGUCAGUGAAAGAAACAGGUGGGCCCGGCUUUAAAAACCGCCAGUGGAAACCUAUUUCCACUGGCGGUUAUCUUAACACAACCGCCAGUGGAAAUAGGAUGUUUCCACUGGCGGUUGUGUUACACAAACCGCCAGUGAAAAUUGAUUUCCACUGGCGGUUAUCUUAAGAUAACCGCCAGUGGAAACAUCCUAUUUCCACUGGCGGUUUUUAAAGACAACCGCCAGUGGAAAUCAAUUUUCACUGGCGGUUUUUAAAGACAACCGCCAGUGAAGUGUCUGUUAUAAAUGCCCCUCUUCCCCCGACAGUGAACUGUAUGCUCGCAGCCAACUUCCAUUGGAGGCGAUUUUGGAGGUCCAGAAUUCACAAAAUACAUGGGGAGAGGUUUUGAUCUUCAUUUUUUGGAAGAAGAUUGCUAAGAAAGGUUGGUUUAUGUUGCUAAUGUCAAUUUUUAUUCAUUUUUGCUCAAUUUUAGCCACAUUUUGGAUCUAGGGUUUCACCAUUGGAGAGAGAGUGUAUCCUCUCUCAAUUUUAGCCACAUUUUAGCCACAUUUUUGCUCUAUUCGCUCAAAUAAAGUUGUUUAAUAUGGUUAGAUUUUGUCUAUCCUCUCUCCUUUUUCAUGUUUAGUUCUCAAAUCAGUUUAUCCAUGACAUAUUAAGUUGUUUAAUGAAUGGUUCAUGUGUUGUGUGGAGAGAGAAGAAGAUAGGUUUGAUAAUUAAGAUUGUUUUUAUUAGUUGCUAUGAAAGUUGGUUUAAUUAUGUUUUAAUUGCCAAUUAUUGUUUAUCUUUGCUCAAUUUUGGAACUAGGCCUUCACCAUGUGUUAAAGAGAAGAGUAUGGCUAGGAAAGUUUAGUUUUAUGUUCCUCUUGCCAAUUUUUGUUCAUUUUCCUUAAAUUUAGCCACAUUUUGGAUAUAGGGUUUCACCCCUUCAUCCUUCCCAACAGGUGGUGAUGGAGAGGACAUCCUGGAUGUAUAACUUAUCAAGGCUAGAUCCAUCAUACAUAUCCGAGGUCCAUAAGUUUAUUGAUGUCGCUACGAACCAUGCUUGGAGAACAAAGACAAAACACAUAUAUUGUCCAUGCAUGGACUGCAAAAAUGCUGCUGUAUUUAAUGACACAGAACAAAUCAUAUCUCAUCUGGUAUGCCGAGGAUUUAUGAAGGAUUACACAAUUUGGACAAAACAUGGAGAGGGUACCAGCUCUUCGCCUUAUACGACUGGAAACCCUGAGAACAUCGACGACAGAUUUCAGUUCGUUCACGAGACACACCAACCUCUUCCACAGAGCGAACAUGUAGUGCAAAAUGUUACUGAUCAUGGUUACGCUCGAGGAAAUGAACAUGAUAGACCUCAUGUUCUGCCAAGUGUUAUGGAUGAGGAAGAUGCAGAGUUGCUAGAGGCAAUGUUGCGUCGUCAUACAGAUCAAUCGAUGUUCUUAAUGAAAGGUAUGGAGUCCCUGAAGAAGGCAGCAGAAGAGCCUUUGUACGACGAGUCUAAGGGUUGUACCAAAGAGUUCACGACGCUCCGGUCUGUGCUAAAGCUGUUGAUGUUAAAAGCUAAAUAUGGUGUGUCUGAUGCUGGCUUCGAUGCGUUCUUGAGUAUUAUCGCAGACAUGCUUCCAAAGGAGAACAAUGUGCCUGCUAACACGUACUAUGCAAAGAAACUAAUCAGUCCGCUCACUAUGGGUGUGGAGAAGAUCCACGCGUGUAGAAAUCACUGUAUCCUUUAUCGAGGUGAUGAUUAUAAAGACUUGGAGAGCUGCCCAAAGUGCGGUGCAAGUAGGUACAAGACGAAUAAAGACUAUCGAGAGGACGAAGAGUGUGUUGCAUCCGUGUCUAAAGGGAAGAAGCGAAAGAAAGCCCAAAAAAAGACUUCAAAAUCCACGAGCAAAGAAAAAGAAGUAGACUAUUAUGCGCUCAAAAAGAUUCCUGCUUUGGUGAUGUGGUACCUCCCCGUCGUCGAUCGAUUGAGGUGUUUGUUCGCUAAUCCUGAGGAUGCCAGACUUAUGAGCUGGCAUGCUUCUGAUGAGCACAAAAACGAUGGGAAGCUUCGACAUCCAGCCGAUGGGAAGCAGUGGCAAGAUUUCAAUGACAACCACCGAGACUUUGCCGAUGAACCGAGAAAUGUUAGGUUCGCACUGAGUACUGAUGGAAUGAACCCAUUUGCUGAGAGGAGCAGCAAGCAUAGCACAUGGCCGGUGAUCCUCACCAUAUACAACCUUCCUCCAUGGUUGAUGCAGAAACGGAAGUACAUUUUGCUAACCAUCCUUAUUUCUGGACCUACACAACCUGGAGUUGACAUGGAUGUAUUUUUGGAGCCCUUAAUGGAGGAUAUGAAAAUAUUGUGGGAAACAGGUGUUCAAAUGUUGGAUGAGUAUCGUAAAGGUUCAUUCACGCUGAGAGCAAUUCUUUUUGUUACGAUCAACGAUUACCCUGCUCUCUUCACAUUAUCAGGCCAGUUUAAGGGAAAGGUUGGUUGCACAGUAUGCAUUGAUGGAACUGCUUACGUAUCCCUUGCUGCAUCUAGGAAGAUAGUUUACAUGAGGCACAGACGCUUUUUAUUGGAAGGACACAGGUACCGCAUGCGAAAGAUGGAUAAGUACUUCGACAAUAAUGGUGAACUACAUUCUACUGCUCCAUCGGGUAACAAUAGAGGUCAUAGAGUUUUUGAAAUAGUCAGGAAUAUCAAGUUUGUUUUCGGGAAGAAGACAAAAGACGGAAAAACAAGGAAGGAUGUCAAACCAGCUUCGGGGGCUAUAUUCAAGAAGAAGUCUAUUUUCUUCGAGUACUUGCCUUACUGGAAAGAGUUAGAUGUGCGGCAUGCGAUCGAUGGUAUGCACGUUCAGAAGAACGUGUUUGAAAGCAUAAUGGGCACCUUGCUAGACAUAAAGGGCAAAACAAAAGAAGGGCUCAAUUCACGCAUGGACUUGGUAGAUUUAGGCAUAAAAAAGGAACUACAUCCCGUUCUUCAAGAAAAUGGGAAGUACCAUCUCCCAGCAGCAAGCUACAAUCUCAAUGUAGAUGAGAAACAUGCGAUGUGUGUUUGGCUUAAGAAUUUGAAAGUCCCAUCCGGAUUCUGCUCUAGCAUACGGAGUAUUGUGUCAAUGAAAGACCUGACAAUCACCAACUACAACUCACAUGAUUGCCAUGUCAUGCUGACUACAUUUCUACCUAUUGCCAUCAGGGCUAUAAAUCCUUUGUUUUUAAAGAUGGCAAUCACACGGUUGUGCUACUUUUUCAACAGGAUUUCACAAAAGGUAAUUGGCCGUGAUGAGUUGGCAUCUCUUCAGGAAUUCGCAGUGGAGACAAUAUCACAGUUUGAGAUGUGUUUCCCUCCAUCGUUCUUUGAUAUUAUGGUGCACCUUGUGGUGCACUUGGUGCCACAAAUAGAGGCAUUGGGUCCUAUGUACUUGCAUGAAAUGUGGACGUAUGAGCGUUUCAUGUCAAUACUGAAUGGCUAUGUAUCAACCCGUGCUCGUCCCGAGGCAUCCAUGAUAGAGGGGUACUGUACCGAAGAGGCCAUUGAGUCCGGAGGUCCAUUCUGCAAUAGUAUCCUAAAAGACCAGGUUGCAAUAGGUCUGCCUCCGUCACGACACGAGGGUAGACUGUAUGGAAGCGGGAGGAUGGGACGGAAAUCUUUCAUCCCACCGGAUUACGAUAUAGUACUUGAGGCACAUCAGAGCAUCCUACAUCAGCUAACGAUAAUGGAGCCAUUUAUCCAACAACACAUCAAUGAGCUUCGCGAGCAAAAUCCUGGGCAUACGGAUGAUUGGGUAAUGAAGCAACAUAAGCAGCGAUUCAACACAUGGCUAAUGGUGAAGGACAUUCCACGUGGAGAAACAAUAGAAGAACAAACCAUCAAGGGCUUGGCAUCUGGACCAUCACGCCAGGUCACAACAUGGCAAACCUAUGACAUUAGUGGAUUCACAUUUUGUACCAAGUCCAAGGACAAAAAGAGCAUGUCACAAAACAGUGGUGUUCGAUGCGAGGCCAUAGAUGAUGAAACUGGUGAGAUUAUAACAUAUUUUGGCUUUAUUGAGGACAUAUGGGAACUAGACUAUGGUACAUUUCAGAUCUCGGUUUUCCGAUGUCAAUGGGUUGAAGACAAACAUGUCACGGUAGACAACUAUGGGGUCAGAGUUCUUGAUCUAAGUAAGGUAGGUUACAAAGAUGACCCAUGGAUCCUUGCUAAUCGUGCUGCACAGGUCUUCUAUGCUGAACAGAUCAUUUCUAACAAUGAGAAGAAAAGCACCGACAAACCGAAGCAUGUAGUUUUUCCUGGAAAACAACAAGCUAUAGGAGUUGAUGGUGUAUCUGAUUUAGAGAAUUUUAACCAGUUCAACGACAUGUCUCUUUUCAUAGACCAUCCAACCAAGAUAAGGAACGUUGAGCGAAGCAUCCCACGCAAUUCGUUGCCCUGGGUACGCCACGAUGGACAAGGCAGAACAAUAGCUUCCUAGAUUAUAUACUUGUCAUGUAAUUGAUUAUUGUUAGGAACUUGUCAUGUAAUUGAUUAUUGUUAGCGACAAACCGAAGCAUGUAAUUGUCUUCAUUCAAUUUUCGUGGCUACCAUUUACAAUUUUACAUGACUUUCUAUUGACUUUAUAGAGAGAGAGGAGAGGGAGAGAGAGAGGAGAGAGAGGAGAGGGAGAGGAGAGAGAGGAUGGAGAGAGAGGAGAGAGAUAGGAUGGAGAGAGAGGAGAGAGAGAGGGGAUGGAGAGAGAGGAUGGAGAGGGAGAGGGGAGAGAGAGUGGAGAGGAGAGAGAGGAUGGAAAGAGAGGAGAGGAUGGAAAAAGUAAAACAAUAUAUAAAAGUAUACUUAAUAUAAUAUAUAAAAAGUGAAGUAAAACAAUAUAUAAAAAACUAUGUUAAAUAAUAAUAAAAAACAAUUUCUACUGGCGGCUGUCAUAGAGAACCGCCAGUAGAAAUGGUUUCCACAGACUGUAGAAUCCAUUUCUACUGGCGGUUCUCUAUGACAACCGCCAGUAGAAAUGGUUUCUACUGGCGGUUCUCGUUGUCAACCGCCAGUAGAAAUGGCUUCUACAGUCUGUGGAAACCAUUUCUACUGGCGGUUCUCGUUAUCAACCGCCAGUAGAAAUGGCGCCUAUAUAAAGGUGGCGCGCGGGAGCCGAAAAUUUUACAAGUCCCUGGCGCCCUUUCACUUGAAGACGACGCCGUCAGGCUGCUGGAUUUCGACCCCGACGGUUUUCGCCGGCGAUCGUCCCCGCGCCCGUCCCCACGCCGCCAUUCCCGCCCCCGCACCGCCGUCUGCAGGUUUUUUCUCUUUCCCCUAAUCUGUACCGCCGCCGUCUACUACCGCGCCGGGCCGCCGCCGCCGCCGCCGCGUUUUAGUAAAACCUAGGGCACGCGCCGCCGCCGAGAGGGAGGAAGAGAGAUGAAGGAGAGGGAGAGGGAAGAGAGAGGAGGGAGAGGGAGAGGGAGGAGAGAGGAGGGCGCACGCGCCGCCCGCCGCCGAGAGGGAGGAAGAGAGAGGAAGAGAGAGGGAGAGAGAUAGAGGGAGGGAGAGGAGGGUGAGAGAGAGAGAGAGGAAUUUUAUACAUUGUAAUUUUAUGUGUUCAAAUGUAUGUUGAAUUCAUAUGUGUUCAAAUGUAUGUUGAAUUCAUAUGUGUUCAAAUGUAUGUUGAAAUGUAUGUUGAAAUGUAUGGUGAGAGAGAUAGAGGGAGGGAGAGGAGGGUGAGAGAGGGAGAGGAGGGUGAGAGAGAGAGAGGAAUUUUAUACAUUGUAAUUUUAUGUGUUCAAAUGUAUGUUGAAUUCAUAUGUGUUCAAAUGUAUGUUGAAAUGUAUGUUGAAAUGUAUGGUGAGAGAGAUAGAGGGAGGGAGAGGAGGGUGAGAGAGGGAGAGGAGGGUGAGAGAGAGAGAGGAAUUUUAUACAUUGUAAUUUUAUGUGUUCAAAUGUAUGUUGAAUUCAUAUGUGUUCAAAUGUAUGUUGAAUAUAUACAUUGUAAUUUUAUCCGUCACAACUCGAUAAUAUACGUAUCCGAUCCGAAUUCGAUCUGAACUCGAUAAUUUCCGUACGACUCUCCCUCUCUCCCUCUCUAUACGUCCUAUGCGACUCUCCCUCUCUCCCUCUCCUCGUCCUAUACGACUCUCCCUCUCUCUAUACGUCCUAUGCGACUCUCUCCCCGUCCUACACGAUACUAUACGACUAUACGAUACUAUAUGGUUAGGGUUUAGGGUUAUGGUUAGGGUUAAGGUUAGGGUUAAGGGUUAUAGUUAGGGUUAGGGUUAGGGUUAGGGUUAGGGUUAGGGUUAGGGUUUUGGGUCAGGGUUAGAGUUAGGGUUAGGGUUAGGGUUAGGGUUUUGGGUCAGGGUUAGAGUUAGGGUUAGGGUUAAGGGUUCGGGUUUUGGGUUAGGGUUAGGGUUUUGGGUUAGGGUUAGGGUUAAGGGUUUAGGGUUAGGGUUAGGGUUAGGGUUAGGGUCAGGGUUAGAGUUAGGGUUAGGGUUAGGGUUAGGGUUAAGGGUUCGGGUUUUGGGUUAAGGUUUCGGGUUUUGGGUUAGGGUUAGGGUUAAGGGUUUAGGGUUAGGGUUAGGGUUAGGGUUAGGGUUAAGGGUUCGGGUUAGGGUUAAGGGUUCGGGUUUUGGGUUAAGGGUUCGGGUUUUGGGUUAGGGUUAGGGUUAGGGUUAGGGUUUUGGGUUAGGGUUAGGGUUAGGGUUAGGGUUAGGGUUUUGGGUUAGGGUUAGGGUUAGGGUUAAGGGUUUAGUGCCCGCGAGGAUGUAUUUAAUUAUACUAUUUGUUAAUAUGAAUUUAAUUAUUGCUUACGUUAAUAUGUGUUAAUAUGUAUUUAAUUAUUGCUUAUGUAUUUGUAUAUAUAUAGCUCAAUGAGUUCUCCGAUCAAGGACCAAGGAUUAGUGCCCGAGCACAUGGACAAGAGUGUUGCUCAAGAACAAUCCAGCAGUGAAGGAUAUGAAACGCCUAGCGACCCUUUUCCUACCACUAGCAUAGAUAGGGCCGCUCUCCGUGAGUUGCAACGUGACCCUACUUAUGAUCCACGAGAAGCUGAGGUAAAAGUACGCAUCUUUAGCUUCGUAUGUGUACCCUACUGAUUUCACAUGCAUGAUCUCUUGUGCAUUUUAUUACAUGAAUAGGAGGUCGUGUCUGAAUUUCGUGCGAUACUCGAAGAAGCCGUGGCACGAUACGAAGACGUACCGGAGCCGACCCAAGACGCACCGGAACAGACCAAGACAACAACCGAGACAUCAAGGAAAAGGAAGCAGAGCGAUCGAAAAAGAGGUGACAGGGGGCUGAACAAAUUUCCCGACAAAACAUACAAAAUCUCAGACGUGAGCCCGAAAGGUCAGCCCCUAGCUCCAGAAGAGGCACUACCUAAGUUUCGGAAUGCACUUGGGUUUUUAGUUAGAGAUAAUCUUGACAUAACAAUACGACAGUGGAGAGAUGUGUCAGAUGAUGUCAAGAAUCAAAUAUGGAAUAAGCUAUUAAUGAGGUUCGUUCUGCCUCGGGGUUCAGAAGAACUCGUGAAGGAAUACACGAUGAAGCAGCUUGCAAUAAAUUUCCGAAACUGGAGGUCUGAGAUGAACACAAAGUUUGCAAAGAAAGGUCUGGACCCGACCAAAAAAUAUAAAAUCUCAGCAGGUCAGUGGGCAGUAUUUCUAGAGCAGAGGAGCAGCCCUGAUUUCAUAUCUCUAAGUGAGGCAAAUUCAGAACUAUCAAAGAAGAACAAGUACCGCCACCACCUAGGCACAGGUGGUUACAAGCGUCAGGUUCCUAAAUGGACACAAGAAGACGCCGAGAAGAAGGCUGCAGGGUUGCCGACGCUGUCCGAGCAACUUGGUGAAAGGGCGGCAAAUUGGCUCCGUGCUAGAAAACCAAGGGAAACCGAGACCGGUGUAUCUUUUGAUGAUCCCAUUGUCGAAGAAGCGGCAAAAAACAUAUAUACAAUGGCAGCUAAGCAGAGCGAAGGAACUUUUAAGCCACAAAGGGAAAGAGACAUCCUAACGGCUGGUCUCGGUAACCCUGAGCAUCCUGGUCGUGUACGAGGAAUCUCGUCUAAGGAAGGAUGGAAGGAAGGAUUCGGACCACAGUGGGAAGGUCUGUACAAGAAACGUGAUCGAUACAAGGAAGAGAUCGUGGAUUAUUUUAAGGAGGAGGCCAAGAAAGAGUUCAAAGCCAUGAUGUCUCAAAUGCUAUCGAAUCCUCCUCCAGAAUUGAUGCAACAGUUGGCGAGUGCGAUGUCUGUUCAACAGAUGACCACUCCACAGAUACAAAUAAUUCCAGCAGCUCAACCGCCGGCUUCCACAGAUUGUACGACAUUACCAAGCUCUGUUGCUUCAACGGGAAAUAAGGACCGUUAUCCAGUUGAUGACAUCACAAGGCCUGUGGCGUGCACACUGGUUAUAAGAUAUGGUAUUAACAAUAAACGUACAAAGAUAGUAGCCACAGGCCUUGCGAUCCCAGGACGCAAGUACCAUGGAAACGAUAUUCCAGAUGAUUAUUGCAAAGUAGAAGUGACGACGGUCGUCCAAGGAUACGAGGACGACAUGCUAGACAUCCCUGGGCCCGAAGGUAUCGAGAAACUUGGACAAGCUAUCAAGAAUUUUAUCCUUUGGCCUCGAAGGGAUGUCGAAUUGCUUGAUUGGUCGAAUUCGUCGCAGGUGUCGCAGGCCCAACCGUCUCCGCCUUCUCAAAUUGCUGUUCCUAUUGUACAUCCAUCCUCACCUCCUCAAACUUCACAUGCUGCUCCUCAUCCUUUUUCUGACCCACCGUCUCCGCCACAAGCAUCACCAUUCAGGGCUCCACCACCUUCUCCUCCCCAUCCUCUUGGUGACCCACUGUCUACGCCACCAUCAAGGGAUCCACCUUCUCCACAGCCAUCAAACGAUCCACGACCAUCAAAGAAAUCUAAACUUCCUAUACCAAAAUUGGUGUCCCCGUAUCAGAAAAAGAAGAGUAAAGCUACUACUGCUGGCACAGUUAGGUUUUUGAAAGGGAUUGGACGGAGCCUCACGUCACAAACUGUUGAUUUGGCCGAGCACGAGGAGUCUGCAAAAAAGGCUGAGGCAACGGACGCAAAGAUAAAGAAGCCAACUAAGGCAGAUUACAAAAACGUGCCUAAAAAAUAUGUGCCGGGCAGACCUCUGCUACCUCUUGACAAACUAAGAAAGGUCCCGGCUGGUGUUAAAAGGUUGCAUGACUGGUACAUGCGGGCAUCAUCGGUUGGCAUCGACACCAUCAGUGUGCAUAUACCAGACCAUGCUUUUAUUGGUUCGAACCAAAAGGCCGUUGUUACAUUCGAGGACAUGUGGUUAAUGAUGAACCUUCAGAGACUCGACGUGCAACUUGUAACGAUGUUUGCAUUGUAAGUGUCGCUCAUACUUCCACAUAUGUGUGUUAUUAUUAGUGAGCUGUAUAAAAUUUCAAUAUCUGACAUGCACGUGUGACUUGCAGAAUGCAACAUGAUCAGCAGGAGAUUCUUUACGGUACCAAGCCCAAUGCUAGUGCCAGUAAAAGGGUUGGGUAUCUCAACCCAAUACUUAUAUCCGAGGAAAGCCACACUUUUAGAAUCGGGAAAGACAACGAUGAAAUACGGGGAAAGACGGACGAAGAAGUUGAGAAGCGUAUAAAGGAAAUGAAGAAGGAUUUUGAAGCUCGAUACGCCACAUACAUAGGACAUGCAAUGCUUCAAUUUCAAGACAGGGAAGCCAUAAUGGCCCCGUACAACUUUAAGUAAGUGUGAUUUUGCAUAAAUAAAAUUAAUAAUUUCAAUACACAUGCAUCACAAAUUUGAUUCGUACAGGGACCACUGGAUAUGCUUCCUCAUUUAUCCUAAGGUUGGAAAGGUGCUGGUGCUCGACUCCUUGAACUUCGACCCUUCGACAUAUGCAACAUUCCUCAGCAUCUUAGAGCUGUAAGCCUUUUCUAUGCAUGCAUACUUUUAUCGAUUAAAAUUUGAGAAUAACAUGGUGAUUCUAUUUGAGAUCACAGUGCUUAUAGAUUCUAUAAGAUGAGAGGUGGAAAGUACGACCUGUCGAAAAAACAAGUGCCACUAGACAUCCAUCAUCACUGGCCGGUAAGUAUGUGAUUUUAUGAAUACAUAUCAUACACAAUGUUGCAACUAAAUAACCAAUCUCCCGUUAUGUAGUGCCACAAGCAACCACAAGGAUCGGUCCUAUGUGGAUUCUAUGCGUGCGAGUUCAUGAGAGUGAACGGACGAUACAUCACGAACCCUGACAAGGUAUUAUUAGUAAUAGUUAAGUAUGUAUUUAUGUCAUUAAAAGAUGCAAAUGUGUUAUUAUUGAGUAUAAAUAGAUGAUGUUUAUAAAAUUCCUUUACAGCAAUUUCAACGAGGAAACCCGGAGAACUUGACCGAAGCUGCAUUGUAUGGCAUAGUCGAGGACCUCUGCACAUUCAUAUUGAAAGAGGUCAUUCCCGCAGAAGGAAAAUAUCACGAUGCUUCCGGAACAUUAGCUUUGCCAGAGUUUAGAAUACUAACAAAAAUUAGUAGAUUAUCUCUUAGCCGAGAUAGUUAUUAGAGCUUAGGUGAAAACCUAUGAUGUAUAGAAUGCAUGAAGGAUAUAUGGUUGUAAACAAAAUACUUUCAUGUCGUAGAAUGCAUGAAAACUUAUGAUGUAUAGAAUUUAAUUUCAUGUUGCUUUCAAUAUCAAUAUAGAUCUAUAUAUAUAUAUGUUUGUGUGUGUGUAAAUAAAUAUAUAUAUAAUUCAGUAUUGUUUGAAAUUUUGAAAAAAGGCGGGAAAGUUCCACUGGCGGCUGAAUAAAGAAAACCGCCAGUGAAAAGUGCAUUUCCACUGGCGGUUUGCUUUAUAAAACCGCCAGUGAAAAUGCAUUUUCACUGGCGGUUUUCUUUAUUCAGCCGCCAGUGGAAAUGAACUUUUCACUGGCGGUUCCUUAAGAAAACCGCCAGUGAAAAUGCACUUUUCACUGGUGGUUCCAAAAUAACCGCCAGUGGAAAUGCUGAUUUCCACUGACCCCUAGCAUUGGCGGUACUGAAAAACGCCAGUGUAAAUAUGUUUAGAACCGCCACUAUAGAGCUUCUGUGUACUAGUGUUUCCACAUGCGGUUGAGUAAAUAAAAUCGCUCACGCUUUCUACUAAUCCCUAGCACUAGAGAUUCUGAAAAACGUCAGUGAAAAUGAGUUACGAACUACCUUUAUAUAGCUUCUUUGUACUAGUAUCUCAUCUGCUCUCUUAUUUCAAACGACAUUGUUUACAUGUAACUAGUGUUGUCUACAUAUAUAUAGGCAUAGCAAUGCACGAUUUAUUGGCCACGACAUUAGGCUAUCUCCAACAGUCUUACUGUCUCGCUUCUCAUUUCAAGCUACACUUUGUAAAUAGUGCAUCUACAGCGUUGCACGCUAUUGUUAAUUGUAGAGGAAAAAAAAUAUUUAUAUACCGGAUGUAAAUAAUCUAUUUUACACAACCUCUCACAUAUACCAGCUACUGGUCCAUUUAAAUAGAAGAAAAACAAGUUACUAAAGGGUUAUUUUGUAAAUUUUGAUAUGUCUUUGGGGUCUUUAAGUGGUGGAUGUGAUGGUAUGUGUCGGGGACCAUAAUUAGGGGUACCCCCAAGACUCCUAAUCUCAGCUGGUAACCCCCAUCAGCACAAAGUUGCAAAGGCCUGAUGGGCGCGAUUAAGGUCAAGGCUCAGUCCACUCAAGGGACACGAUCUCGCCUCGCCCGAGCCCAGCCUCGGGCAAAGGCAGCCGACCCCGGAGGAUUCACGUCUCGCCCGAGGGCCCCCUCAAGCAACGGACACACCUUCGGCUCGCCCGAGGCCUAGUCUUCGCAGAGAAGCAACCUUGGCCAGAUCGCCACGCCAACCGACCAUAUCGCAGGAGCAUUUAAUGCAAGGAUCGCCUGACACCUUAUCCUAACGCGCGCUCUUCAGUCGACAGAGUUGAAGUGACCACAGUCACUUCGCCGCUCCACUGACCGACCUGACAAGAAAACAGCACCGUCUGCGUCGCUCCGACUGCUGUGCCACUCGACAGAGUGAGGCUGACAGCAGCUAAGUCCAGCCUCGGGCGCCAUAGGAAGCUCCGCCUCGCCCGAUCCCAGGGCUCGGGCUCAACCUCGACGAUGGACGACGGACUCCGCCUCGCCCGACCCCAGGGCUCGGACACGGCCUCGGCCUCGGAAGACGGUCUCCGCCUCGCCCGACCCCAGGGCUCGGGCUCAACCUCGACGCUGGACGACGGACUCCGCCUCGCCCGACCCAGGGCUCGGACUCAGCCUUGCUUGGCCUCGGAAGACGGUCUCCGCCUCGCCCGACCCAGGGCUCAGACUCAACCUCGACCUCGGAAGACGGACUCCGCCUCGCCCGACCCCAGGGCUCGGACUCAGCCUCGACCUCGGAAGACGGACACGACCUCGACCUCGGUGGAGCCGCCACCUCGCCCAAACUCGGGUCCGGACCGGCCACGUCGCCAGGGGGGCCAUCAUUACCCUACCCCUAGCUAGCUCAGGCUACGGGGAACAAGACCGACGUCCCAUCUGGCUCGCCCCAGUAAAUAAAUAAUGAUGGCGCUCCGCGUGCUCCAUGACGACGGCGGCUCUCAGCCCCUUACGGAAGCAAGGAGACGUCAGCAAGGAUUCGACAGCCCCGACAGCUGUCCUUCCGCAGGGCUCCAGCUCUCCUCCGACGGCCACGACAUCACAUGAAUAGGGUGCCAAAACCUCUCCGGCUGCCACGACGACAUGUACUUAGGGCUCUAGCUCCUCUCUGCUAGACACGUUAGCACACUGCUACACCCCCAUUGUACACCUGGACCCUCUCCUUACGCCUAUAAAAGGAAGGUCCAGGGCUCUCGUACGAGAAGGUUGGCCACGCGGGAGAACGGUCCGGCGCAUAAGGCUCUCGCUCUCUCCCACGCGAACGCUUGUAACCCCCUACUGCAAGCGCAUCCAUCCGCCCUGGGCGCAGGACAACACGAAGGCUGCGGGUUCCCCUUUACUGUUCUCCCCCCUUUGUGUCCUGUCUCGCGCCGACCCAUCUGGGCUGAGACACGCAACGACAAUUUACUCGUCGGUCCAGGGACCCCUCGGGGUCGAAACACCGACAGUUGGCGCGCCAGGUAGGGGCCUGCUGCGUGUUGACGAACAGCUUCCCAUCAAGCUCCAGAUGGUAGUCUUCAGCAACCUUUCCAACCCGGGACGAUGCUCCGUUUCGAGAGUCUUGAGUUCAUGUCCCUCGACGGCAGCUACGACAUGAUACUCCUUCCUCCGCCGCGCGACAGUGACAAUGGCGGCCAUCAGCCCGCCCGCCGGCGGCGGAUUCAACGACGUCUUCCCCACAUGGCGGAAGAACAACAUUCAGGUUUGUCCCGUCACCUCCCCCACCAACGGAGGAGGAGGCGGGGCAACCAUGGCCAAGCAGGAGGCGGCACCUCGUCGGCUGUCGAGCAAGUCAACGACGCCGGCGCCCCAGCGGGGGACAUGUCGGGCUUCGACCUUGCGUCUGAGACGAAGAUGAACGUCGUUUCCCCGCAACACGCCAACCCCAAGCAGACGGACGACGCCAGCACGCUCACAAAGGACUUGCUGGGCGUUGCCCUCGUACCUGAGACAACGGUGCAGUCCGCCCCUGACGCGACUUCAUCACCGCCCGUCGACCAAGAGGUACCGACCGAUUCCCAUCUCGUGCCUUUUGGAUUCAGCUUCGACCUACCAAGCGACCUCGCUUCGGUGGAAGCCUUCAUAGAGGCAUGUACCAACCCUCCGGGGUACAUAUGCGGUCGCCCUGGGACAGACUGACGACCGUCUCGACCUACGGACCCUCGGAUUCCGAGGAAGAUGACGAGCCCGACUUUUGUUGGGAUUUCUCCGGGCUCGGUAACCCCAGUGCCAUGCAGGACUUCAUGACCGCAUGCGACUACUGCCUCUCCGAUUGUUCCGAUGGUAGCCGCAGCUUCGGCGACGAGGACUGCGGCCCAAGUCGUGAAUGUUUCCAUGUCGAUCUAGGGGGUCCCGGUGAAGGCAACCAUCUUGGUAUGCCGGAAAACGGCGAUCCCCUAGGUCUGCGCCUCGCGUUGACAUCCUUCGGGAGCUAGCUGUGGUCCCAGUCCCUGCGGGGGGUCAGGACGCACAGCUCGAGCAAAUCCGCGAGAUGCAGGCCAGGCUCGACGAGGGAGCAGGAACACUUGAGCAGUUCCGGCGGAACAUCGGGCAGGAAUGGGCAGACCAAGCUUCGGCCGGAGAAGCGCGUCAUCUACCCCAGGGCAUCCAGCACCGCAUUGCCGACGACAUCAGGGCAAGGCCGCCACCAGCUUCCAGUGGGGUUGGCCAGAACCUGGCUGCAGUAGCAAUACUACUCCGCGUGAUGCCGGAACCAUCGACCACCGAAGGGCGGCGUAUCCAGGGAGAGCUCAAGAAUCUCCUGGAGGAUGCCGCGGUCCGACGGGUCGAAAGCUCUGCCUCCCGAAGGCAGAGGUACCCCUCGGAGCAUCGCGCCGCGACUUCCCGAUUCGUGCGGGAAGCCUCGGUCCACACCGGGCGCACGCGCAACACGCCGCCUGCGGCCCCGGGUUGCCUCGGCAACGAGCACCACCACCGCAACCGUCGUGCCCACCUCGACGAGAGGGUGCGCCGAGGCUACCACCCUAGGCGUGGGGGACGCUACGGCAGCGGGGAGGAUCGAAGCCCCUCGCCCGAACCACCCGGUCCGCAGGCUUUCAGCCGGGCCAUACGACGGGCACCGUUCCCGACCCGGUUCCGAACCCCGACUACCAUCACAAAGUACUCGGGGGAGACAAGGCUGGAAUUGUGGCUCACGGACUACCGACUGGCCUGCCAGCUGGGUGGAAUGGAUGAUGACAACCUCAUCAUCCGCAACCUCCCCCUGUUCCUCUCUGACACCGCUCGAGCCUGGCUGGAGCAUCUGCCUCCGGGGCAGAUCUCUAACUGGGACGACCUGGUCCAAGCCUUCGCCGGCAACUUCCAGGGCACGUACGUGCGCCCUGGGAACUCCUGGGAUCUCUGAAGCUGCCGCCAGCAGCCGGAAGAGUCUCUCCGAGACUACAUCCGGCGAUUCUCGAAGCAGCGCACCGAGCUGCCCAAUGUCACCGACUCGGACGUCAUCGGCGCGUUCCUCGCCGGCACCACCUGCCGCGACCUGGUGAACAAGCUGGGUCGCAAGACCCCCACCAGGGCGAGCGAGCUGAUGGACAUCGCCACCAAGUUCACCUCUGGCCAGGAGGCGGUUGAGGCCAUCUUCCGAAAGGACAAGCAGCCCCAGGCCCGCCAGCCGAAAGACGUCCCCGAGGCGUCCACUCAGCGCGGCACCAAGAAGAAGAACAAGAAGAAGUCGCAAGCGAAACGCAACGCCACCAACGCGGACCUUGUCACCGCCGCUGAGUACAAGAACCCUCGGAAGCCUCCCGGAGGUGCCAACCUGUUCGACAAGAUGCUCAAGGAGCCGUGCCCCUAUCAUCAGGGGACCGUCAAGCACACCCUUGAGGAGUGCGUCAUGCUUCGGCGCCACUUUCACAAGGCCAGGCCACCGGCGGAAGGUGGCAGGGCCCACAACAACGACAAGAAGGAGGAUCACAAGGCAGAGGAGUUCCCCGAGGUCCACGACUGCUUCAUGAUCUACGGUGGGCCAGUGGCGAACGCCUCGGCUCGGCACCGCAAGCAAGAGCGUCGGGAGGUCUACUCGGUAAAGGUGGCGGCGCCAGUCUACCUAGACUGGUCCGACAAGCCCAUCACCUUCGAUCAGGGUGACCACCCCGACCAUGUGCCGAGCCCGGGGAAAUAUCCGCUCGUUGUCGACCCCGUCAUUGGCAACGUCAGGCUCACCAAGGUCCUCAUGGACGGAGGCAGCAGCCUCAACAUCAUCUACGCCGAGACCCUCGGGCUCCUGCAGAUCGAUCUGUCCUCGAUCCGGACAGGCGCGACGCCUUUUCACGGGAUCAUCCCCGAGAAACGCAUCCAACCCCUCGGACAACUCGAUCUGCCCGUCUGCUUCGGGACUCCCUCCAACUUCCGAAGGAAAACCCUCACGUUCGAGGUGGUCGGGUUCCGAGGAACCUACCACACAUUACUGAGGAGGCCAUGCUACGCCAAGUUCAUGGCCGUCCCCACUACACCUACCUCAAGCUCAAAAUGCCGGGCCCCAACGGGGUCAUCACCGUCGGCCCCACAUACCGACACGCGUACAAAUGCGACGUGGAGUGCGUGGAGUACGCCGAGGCCCUCACCGAAUCCGAGGCCCUCAUCACCGACCUGGAGAGCCUCUCCAAGGAGGCGCCAGAUGCGAAGCGCCACGCCAGCAACUUCGAGCCAGCUGAGACAGUCAAAUCCGUCCCUCUCGACCCCAGCAACGACGCCUCCAAGCAGAUACGGAUCGGCUCCGAGCUCGACCCCAAAUAGGAAGCAGUGCUCGUCGACUUCCUCCGCGCGAAUGCCGAAGUUUUCGCGUGGAGUCCCUCGGACAUUCCUGGCAUACCGAGGGAUGUCGCCGAGCACUCGCUGGAUAUCCGAGCUGGAGCCCGACCCGUGAAGCAGCCUCUGCGCCGAUUCGACAAAGAAAAGCGCAGAGCCAUAGGCGAGGAGGUCCACAAGCUGAUGGCCGCAGGGUUCGUCAAAGAGGUAUUCCAUCCCGAAUGGCUUGCCAACCCUGUGCUUGUGAGAAAGAAAGGAGGGAAAUGGCGGAUGUGUGUAGACUACACUGGUCUAAACAAAGCAUGUUCGAAGGUUCCCUACCCUUUGCCUCGCAUCGAUCAAAUCGUGGAUUCCACUGCUGGGUGCGAAACCCUGUCUUUCCUCGAUGCCUACUCAGGGUAUCACCAAAUCAGGAUGAAAGAGUCCGACCAGCUCGCGACUUCUUUCAUCACGCCCUUUGGCAUGUACUGCUACGUUACCAUGCCAUUUGGUUUGAGGAAUGCGGGUGCGACGUACCAAAGGUGCAUGAACCACGUGUUCGGAGAGCACAUUGGUCGAACGGUCGAGGCUUACGUCGAUGACAUCGUAGUCAAGACGAGGAAAGCCUCCGACCUCCUCUCUGACCUUGAAACGACAUUCCAGUGUCUCAAGGCGAAAGGCGUAAAACUCAAUCCCGAGAAGUGCGUCUUCGGAGUCCCCCGAGGCUUGCUCUUGGGGUUCAUCGUCUCAGAGCGGGGCAUCAAGGCCAACCCGGAGAAAAUCGCGGCCAUCACCAACAUGGGGCCCAUCAUGGACUUGAAAGGCGUACAGAGGGUCAUGGGAUGCCUUGCGGCUCUGAGCCGUUUCAUCUCGCGCCUCAGAGAAAGAGGCCUACCUCUGUACCGCCUCUUGAAGAAGACCGAGUGCUUCACUUGGACCCCCGAGGCCGAGGAAGCCCUCGGAAACCUAAAAGCGCUCCUUACCAGCGCGCCCAUCUUGGUGCCCCCCGCUGCCGGAGAAGCCCUCUUGAUCUACGUCGCCGCUACCACCCAGGUGGUCAGCGCCGCGAUCGUGGUUGAGAUACGAGAAGAAGGGCAUGCAUUGCCCGUCUAGAGGCCGGUCUACUUCAUCAGUGAGGUACUGUCUGAGACCAAGAUCCGCUACCCAUAAAUUCAGAAGCUGCUGUACGCGGUGAUUCUGACGCGGCGGAAGUUGCGACACUACUUCGAGUCUCAUCCGGUGACUGUGGUGUCAUCCUUCCCCCCUGGGGGAGAUCAUCCAGUGCCGAGAGGCCUUGGGUAGGAUUGCAAAGUGGGCGGUGGAGAUCAUGGGCGAGACGAUCUCGUUCGCCCCUCGGAAGGCCAUCAAGUCCCAAGUCUUGGCAGACUUUGUGGCUGAAUGCGUCGACACCCAGCUUCCAGCAGCUCCGAUCCAACCGGAACUCUGGACCAUGUUUUUAGACAGGUUGCUGAUGAAAACAGGGGUAGGCGCGGGCCUGCUCUUCAUCUCGCCCCUCGGGAAGCACCUCCUCUACGUGUUGCGCCUCCAUUUCCCGGCGUCCAACAACGUGGCUGAGUACGAGGCUCUGGUCAAUGGGUUGCGCAUCGCCAUCGAGCUAGGGGUCCGACGCCUCGACGCUCGCGGUGACUCGCAGCUUGUCAUCGACCAAGUCAUGAAGAACUCCCACUGCCGCGACCCGAAGAUGGAAACCUACUGCGACGAGGUUCGGCGCCUGGAAGACAAGUUCUACGGUCUCGAGGUCAACCACGUCGCCUGGCGGUACAACGAGACUGCAGACGAGCUAGCGAAGAUAGCUUCGGCGCGAACAACGGUUCCCCCGAACGUCUUCUCCUGGGACCUACAUCAACCCUCAGUCAAGACAAACGACACACCCGAGCCCGAAAAGGUCUCGGCCCUGCCCGAAGUGCCCUCGACUCAGCCCGAGGCACCCUCGGCCCCCGAGGGUGAGGCUCUGCGCAUCGAGGAAGAGCGGAAUGGGGUCACGCCUAAUCGAAACUGGUAGACCCCAUACCUGCAAUAUCUCCACCGAGGAGAGCUACCCCUCGACAGAGCCGAAGCUCGGCGACUGGCGCUGCGCGCCAAGUCAUUCGUCUUGCUGGGUGACGGGAAGGAGCUCUACCAGCGCAGCCCCUCCGGCAUCCUCCAGCGAUGCAUAUCCGUCGCCGAAGGCCAGGAGCUCUUACGAGAAAUACACUCGGGGGCUUGCGGUCAUCACGCAGCGCCUCGAGCCCUUGUUGAAAACGCUUUCCGACAAGGUUUCUACUGGCCGACCGCGGUGGCCGAUGCCACUAGAACUGUCCGCACCUGCCAAGGGUGUCGAUUCUACGCAAAGCAGACCCACCUACCUGCUCAGGCUCUGCAAACAAUACCCAUCACCUGGCCGUUUGCUGUGUGGGGUCUGGACCUCGUCGGUCCCUUGCAGAAGGCGCCCGGGGUCUACACGCACCUGCUGGUCGCCAUCGACAAAUUCUCCAAGUGGAUCGAGGUCCGACCCCUAAACAGCAUCAGGUCCGAACAGGCGGUGGCGUUCUUCACCAACAUCAUCCAUAGCUUUGGGGUCCCGAACUCCAUCAUCACCGACAACGACACCUAGUUCACCGGCAGAAAGUUCCUGGACUUCUGCGAGGAUCACCACAUCCGGGUGGACUGGGCCGCCGUGGCUCACCCCAUGACGAAUGGGCAGGUAGAACGUGCCAACGACAUGAUUCUGCAAGGACUCAAGCCGAGGAUCUACAACGACCUCCACAAGUUCGGCAUGCGAUGGAUGAAGGAACUCCCCUUGGUGGUCUGGAGCCUGAGGACGACGCCAAGUCGAGCCAAAGGACGAGGGCCUACGACGACCGACGCAACCAGACCAACCGAGAAGACUCACUGGACCAGCUGGAAGAGGCUCCGAACAUGGCCUUACUACACUCGGCGCAGUAUCAGCAGUCCCUGUGACGCUACCACGCCCGAGGGGUUCAGUCCCGAGACCUCCAGGUGGGCGACUUGGUACUUCGACUACGACAAGACGCCCGAGGGCGGCACAAGCUCAUGCCUCCCUCGGAAGGGCCGUUCGUCAUCGCCAAGGUUCUGAAGCCCGGGACGUACAAGCUGGCCAACAGUCAAGGCGAGGUCUACAUCAACGCUUAGAACAUCCGACAGCUACGUCGCUUCUACCCUUAAGAUGUUUUCAAGCCGUUCAUAUACCUCGUUUACAUAUAAAGUCUAACCAUCAAGGAAGGGUCAGCCUUGCCUCGGCAAAGCCCGACCCUCCCUCCGGGGCUAGAAGGGGGGGGGAACCCCCUCCGCGUCAAAAUUUUCCUCGGAAAAAGUCUUUCUGCCAGAAUAUCUUUCGUGCUUUUCGACUACUUUGGUAGUGGGAUCAUGAAAACGACGGAGUACACGUAAGCAGGCAAGGCCGACCGAGCCGAGGGACUCCUACGCCUCCGGGAUACGGAUACCUCACUCAUCGCCUUCUAUGAGAAGUAACUCGCGUUCAGAUGAGCGAUCCUGCUGACCGAACAAGCCUUAACGCUCAAAAGACUUUCUGCCGAAAUGGUUUUUCGGGUUUUCUCGGCUACGUUGAUAAUAGAAUCCCGCAGACGAGCAAGAGUACACGUAAGCGGCAAGGCCGACCGAGCCGAGGGAUUCCUAUGCCUCCGGGAUACGGAUACCUCACUCAUCACCUUUCGUGAGAAGUAUGAAGCGUCCCCAAUCCUCUGGGACUCAAAUGUGAUACAAUUACUAGUCCCAGGAGGCUAGUAAACACAUUUAUACAUCAGAUGAUUCCAGAUCUGCUUAAACGAGACAAACCUAUAAAGGUGGCGAUCAACUUUAAGAGUUGGUCCACAACUCGGGACAUAUCAUCAGAGUGGGGCUGAAGCAGCCCGAUAUACGCAGUGAAGCAAAUCAGCGGUCCAACAGCCACAGGCAAGGUUGGGAACAGUCGUAACUCUUACCCGAUCUCCUUUUUCUGAAAAACAACAAAUAAGCAAGGGUGAGUACAAACGUACUCAGCAGCCCACCUUCACCCGCGGAAUGGGGAAAUCAGAUAUAAUGCAUGGAAUAUGUGGAGCUCAGGAUAUUUUGCAGAAACAGCAAUAUUUUAUGCAGAGUUGUUUUGAAAAACAUUUUGUAUUUUUGCAAAGCGCAUCCUCUCCAAAAGGAGCAGGAGUUUUUCAGUAUUAUAAUAAAAUCCUCUGGACUAAACCAUCCAGGUAUCUCAGCAGUUUCCCACUGGUUUUCAUUUUCAAAAACAGCUACUGGACUUCCCGUCCACCAUAGCUCACGGCUCAACCGCCGAACCUUAUAAAAACCACUUUUCAAAAACAUCUCUUUUUUUUGGAAAACAAAACAUUAAUUGCCAUACCAUACCAGACUCGUCCAUUCCUGUGGACACAGACUAUUCGAAUAGGUUUUCAAACUCUGCGCAGAGGUGUACACUUUACCCACUAGUCCGGCUCUGUGAUCUCAUGAUCAAUGAGAUCCGAAUCCGAAUCUCUUUCUUUCCUCGCACGUCCUAACCUUAACGGUUAUCCGGAAGGAGUCAGGCCACCGCCAUGUCCAAACCGGACAAAACUUUCCCCCUCCUUAUCCUCCCGGUGCUCCCCAGCCUUCAUAACCCUGGGGUUGAACCGUACGAGUUCAGAUUGAGUGACUGCCCACACAGUCUCGAGUGGUUGUACUAUUAAAGAGUACAGGUAGUGAAGAUGACAAACCGGUCCUUAUACGAGGGGAUAAUCCUUCUGCUCACGCCUAAACCAGCUGAGCCAUCACCUUAGGCCCUCCCCUAAACCAGGGAGUCCCUGAUUAUCCCACUCACAAGGUGAUAAGGGUGAAAACCCUUCAUCAUACACAUUUUGAAAAGCAUUUUCUUUUGAAAACUCACACCCUUUCUCAAAUCAUUUGUAACAAAUAUAUUAAGGAGUGAUUGCGGCAAGCGGCUUGGGUGGCCAUAAUAACUUGUCACAAAAUCAUAUCAUGCAUAAAAUAACAGGCUGAGGGUUGUGGUUGAAAAACAUAGGUAAUUUAUGCAUCAAAGGGAUCCAGUGAGCUUGCCGUGCUUAUUCGGCGAAGGGGGAAGGGGAGCUCGCGGAACUGGCUUCUGGCUCCACCGCCUAGCGUAGACUUGCAGAUCUGGCCUCCACGAGACGGCACGAACGCUCCGAUAACUAUGCAACAUGAACAAGCAAACAUACAAACCAACAAGUAUACCAACAAAUAUUUAGUAUAGUGGUCAGAAUAGCGAUAUAUGGAUGGGUAGAGUCUUGAGUAGAAUCUGUGUCAUGUGGUGUUGUGAUAUUACUAGUGGUGGAGCGGAGGUGCUUACCAGGAGGGUGGACUGGAGGCGAAGCGACACUAUGUGUGUAGCCGGCAGAGCAGAGUAACUGAGUGGGUGGGGUGUUUGCCUUGGCUGAGGGUGUUGAGUGUGUGUGGAGAGGGAGAGGGUAGCUGGGUGUAUUUAUAGCUGGGUGUAUGUGGUGUAGCACAGUGAAGUUCACUGUUGGUGAGAAUAGUGACGAAUGAAUCGUCUGACUUAGUAUGAACAGGAGAGUUAUAGGCAGAAUAUGGGACAAGAGUAUUUUGGGAGUUUUCUGGAAUAUGGACCAUGCUUAAGGGAUGACAUGGUUGGGUAGGGAAUAGUUUGAUAAGAAUUUAGAAACGAGAUUUAUUGGAAUCUGAGUUUGGGAGCCUGGUUCGAAGGAUUCUCAAAGUUAAGCGUGCUCAACUUGGAGAAACCUGGGAUGGGUGACCAGAUGGGAAGUUCCCUACUGGAAGAAAAAUCACAGUCACCGGAGUUCGUAUGACUGGAAUAUGGGUCUGGCUGGUCUUAGGUGGACUGGACAACAUGAUGUACGAGUAGUUGAAAUUUGGGAUGACUAGAUGACUGAUGAAUAGUAACGAUGAUCAGUAACGAUGAAUAGUGGCGAUGGAAAAGAAAUUAUAGAUAUCAUCGAUGAAUAGUAACGAUGAUGAAUAGUAAUGAUAAAUAGUAACGAUGAUGAAUAGUGUAUGUGAAUAGUAAUGGUGAAUAGUAAUGGUGAAUAGUGAUAGUGAAUAGUUUGAACGAACGAUGAAUAGGAACUAUGAACGAACGGACGAACGAUCGAAUGAUCGGACGAACGAACGAUCGGAAUUUCGGCAGCAUAACGGCAGGAAAAGAUUAUUUGGACGAACGAACGGACGAACGAUCGAAUGAUCAUACGAACGAACGAUCGGAAUUUCGGCAGCAUAACGGCAGGACAAAAAUUAUCUGGAAGAACGAUGAAUAGGGACUAUGAACGAACGAUGAAUCGAUGAAUAGGGACUAUGAACGAACGAUGAAUGAUCGAAUGAUCGAACGAACGAACGAUCGGAAUUUCGGCAGCAUAACGGCAGGACAAAGAUUAUCUGGAAGAACGAUGAAUAGGGACUAUGAACGAACGAUGAAUCGAUGAAUAGGGACUAUGAACGAACGAUGAACGAUCGAAUGAUCGAAUGAACGAACGAUCGGAAUUUCGGCAGCAUAACGGUAGGAAAAAGAUUAUUUGGACGAACGAACGGACGAACGAUCGAAUGAUCGGACGAACGGACGAACGAACCAUGAACGAUCGGACGAACGAUCGAACGAUCAGACGAAUGAACGAACAAACUAAGAACAGGGGACGAACGAUCGAAGAACGACCGAACGAUCCUUGUGCUAGUGUGUGCUUGUGUGGAACAUGGACUGGGUGUGUGUGGGGGGGGGGAGAGAGUUGCCAUGAAAUGGCUUGGGGUGGGAUGAGAGGAGGCCCUUGCCCCUCUAUUUAUAGCCAUGGUGGGGGGAUUAGGGGGAGGGAUGAGAGGAUUAGUGGGAGGAUGAGAGGAUUAGUGGGAGGUUAGCAUGUAUUUGUCUUGUAUAAGUGUAAUUAGCUUGUAGAGCUCACCGUAUGACACUGGAGGCAUACGUAUACGUAUGAGCAUGAGGAAAGUUAUGAAGAAAAUAUUUAUAGGGACUUGAAAAAUGAUUCUGAAGGUAUUUCUCAGGAGGAAAAUAUCUGGAGAUAUAUCGGUGGAAUAUUUGGGCAGUAUUUCUGGAAAGAACUUGAAGAGGAUCACUAGGGAAAUAUCUGGGCAAUAUUUCUGUAAACAAUUUGAGGGGGAUCACUGAGGAAAUAUUUGUAGGAUAUUUUGAGGAGGAUUUUAGAGAGAAUAUAGACCACUAUACUUUAUUUGUUGAUAUCAACUCGCAAACAAACAUUUUGAAAUGAAAUUUGAAAUUCAUUUUGAAUUUAUAGCAAGUUUGAGAAAGUUUCAGGAUUUGAAUUUUUGGGAUGCUACAAAUCUACCCCACUUAAAAGGAAUCUCGUCCUCGAGAUUUGGCUUAGAAGGGUUAUGGGUAUAGCUUUACUUCAGCUACAUAUCUUCACUUUGCAGACUCUUCGAGGAGAUAGAGCUUCAACAAAAUCUGGCCUUGAGGGGCAUCCGGUUGCUAAUUGCAAGCGCUGAUUCUCGCUACUCAAGAUCAUCUUCAGGUUUCUAGGUUUCGCUUGGCAGCUAGCUUAUUGAAGAAGCAUCAAUGCCAACACGCAAACCUUUCUCUUGCGAACUUCCACAUGGAUUCCUUCCUUGAUUGGUCUUCUGGUGCUUCAUCAACAAAACUUGGGUGACCACUUCUCAUCCAGAAACUUAUAUGCUUGGACGAUCGGGUCCUCCACAAGCUUGCUACAUGCCUUCAUCUUUUUCUCCAUAGCAGGAACCUUACUGGAACACUACCCCACUUAAAAAGAAAGAGGGUAGAACUCUUGAAUCUUGGGGAUUUGAACUCCUUGAAGUACCUCAUAACAAAGGUGUUACGGGGCCUUCUUCUGCUGUUGCUGCUUGAGCAGGCUGCGGAGAAAUGACUGACACAGGGUUUAUUCUGGGACAACCUUCUUCUCAUCUUCUCUUCACUAUCUUCUUUUCUCUUCUCACUUUUCACUUUUCACUGCCUCUUUCUUUCUCUUUGCUCUUCCCACUCGAGGAUUCUAUCAAAGAGUAUUACCAUCAUACAGAGGAGGAAACCGAAGAUGUUGAACCAUAUACAACAGUCUUCAACCCAAGAAUCACCAAGCAUUGUGAUCUCAGGGGCGAGGGGUGGAAAAAUGGAGUUGCUAGCGAUUUGGCAGAGGGGAUUUAUCUGGAGUGUGCUUUUGCUUUGAGCGAGAUGGGAGUUGAGGGAGAUGGUGGGGGGCUUUUAUAGGCGAGCGGGGGUGUUCGGUUGCGGAGCAGUGGUGAUGGAGUAGGUGCUACGCGGCAGCGGGUGCGAUAAGGGGAGGGGGGCCUGGUGUUGCCGGCGAUGAUGGUGGCGGUGGGUGCGCUGCAAAGGUGGCGUGGGCGGUGGUAGUGCGCUGCAAAGGGGGCGUGGGGCGAUGGUAGUGCGCAUGGAGGCAGGCACGCGUGCGAGGGGCACGGGUGAGUGGUGGGGUCAAUGACCCUGAUGUUUGUGGUCUCUGGUUCCAAGAAUCUUUGCCUCUCUGUAUGGUAAUAACUCCUUCUGUCCUCUUUUCCUGUUUACUUUGACUCAGGGGCAGUGCUUUGAUUCUUACGGUCGGUCCUUUUGACUGAGCGACUGGACUGGUUUCUUCUGUAGCUUGUUCCAGGCUUCAAGGGUAAGCUUCCCGGUAUCUUCUUGGGUAAGGCACUUUUCUCUUGGGAUGGGUUAAGAUGAGAAUGGAAGCAUAAGGUGAGGAUUAGAUCUAAUUUGUGAUCUAUGUUUUUUAGAGAAAACCUUUCUUAAAAAACACACAAGCUCAGCAAUGAUAAGCACAAACAAAUCGAAUGUUUUGAAUAAGGGAAGAAUAGAGUUUUUCCAAAGCACGGACUACUCAGAUUCGGGGGCUAAGCAUAACUACUAUUGCUUGGCUCCUGAAUUGAGAACUAUGCUAAAUGCAACUUAUGAGCACUAACGUUAAAGCAUCACAUAUGCACUCAAAAGGGAGGAAAACAUCAAGCGAAAUUCAUUUUGAAAUGCCCUAGGGGGCAACACAAAUAGAGUUUUUCAAAGCACGGGACUACACGAUUAACUCUCAUACAUGCAGGGCUCUAGCCAAAGUGAAGAAAAACUUCACUACCCAAUGCAUGCAGAGGACUGGGCAUACUAACUUCAGACCAGACAACUUCUCUUCUGGCAGGGCUGGCACACAACUUCAAUCCGAGACAUCUCCUGGAUGGGUCAAGAGGGAGCUGACGUUGAUGACUUCUUCUGGCGGCGACUGAGAUGGCAGGACAGGGUCGAACUCUUCUUCAAGCGGGACUGGCUCUUGUAGCUCCUCUGAGGGCGGCGGUGCUGGCGGGGUGCUUGCAGCUUCUUCCUUGACCUCAAGGGAUGGUGCUGGAAUCUUCUUCAUGGUGAGGGGCUCAAACAACUCUGGCGGGGGAUCUUGGGAGGAUUCAGGGUGCUCUUGCUUAUCCAUAGCCUGAGGGGAGACUGGAAUUCCUUCCAAGACUAUGGCUCCUUCCGGUAGUUCCCAAAUCUUCUUCUCUCCUCUGAUAGAGACCAGGUGACCUUCAAGAAUCUGGGGGUCUUCAGUUUUGAUGGGUUCAACAGGGUUGGAUGGAGCGGGCUCUUGGAUCCGCAGGGCUCUACGUUGGUUAUGGGUGACCAAGUAGGCCUCCAUCAACUUCUAGACGUGCUCAUCCUUGGCUUGCUUCAGGGCUUCCACAACAAUGACUUCACGACUUUCCAAGGCAGCUACACGGGCUUGAGCUGCGGUGAGAUCCACAUGCAGCUGACGGUUGCGCUUCUCUGCAUCUUCUGCUCGGGCAAUCAUCUGACGGUGGUGCCGAGCCAAGAAAUCAUACUGUGCAUCAAGGGUGAGCAGGUAUGCAGUGAGGUACACGACUGUGGGGUCAUCCUCAAGCAGCUGCUGCCCUUCCAAUGCACGCAUCCUGGCCAUCCAAGCGGGACGGUCUCUCUGAAAGGGCGGAAAGAAUCUGAGCGGAGUGUCGGCCACUUCUUCUUCAUAGAUCUGACACAGGGCCCUCAAUGCCUUACGGGCGACGUCUUGGCAGGUGUCUCUGAAUCUGUGCCCAGCAGCAGUGACACUCCAUUCCACAUGGUGUGGACUGGAUCCAAUGUAUAUAGUCACGACACACUUCUCUGUGCCAUGCUCGACGAAUUCACGACCAUCAUACUCUGGCUGGCUCCUGAUUCCGAGGCGAACUGUGCAUGCUCUCAGCAACUUGGGGAAACCAUCUUCAUUCUGGCAAAAGCUGGUUUGGCACUGAACCUCCAUCUGACUUCUGAGAGAAGGAAAGGGGGAAAACAUUUUUGAAAUGAAGGGAUGAGAGCAAGAAUUUUUUUUUAAGAAAAUAGUUUUGACUCAAAAACUUUUGAUCAGGCUAAGGGUUACGUCCUGCGGACAACCUAACAGCUCUGAUACCACCUGAAGCGUCCCCAAUCCUCUAGGACUCAAAUGUGAUACAAUUACUAGUCCCAGGAGGCUAGUAAACACAUUUAUACAUCAGAUGAUUCCAGAUCUACUUAAACGAGACAAACCUAUAAAGGUGGCGAUCAACUUUAAGAGUUGGUCCACAACUCGGGACAUAUCAUCAGAGUGGGGCUGAAGCAGCCCGAUAUACGCAGUGAAGCAAAUCAGCGGUCCAACAGCCACAGGCAAGGUUGGGAACAGUCGUAACUCUUACCCGAUCUCCUUUUUCUGAAAAACAACAAAUAAGCAAGGGUGAGUACAAACGUACUCAGCAGCCCACCUUCACCCGCGGAAUGAGGAAAUCAGAUAUAAUGCAUGGAAUAUGUGGAGCUCAGGAUAUUUUGCAGAAACAACAAUAUUUUAUGCAGAGUUGUUUUGAAAAACAUUUUGUAUUUUUGCAAAGCGCAUCCUCUCCAAAAGGAGCAGGAGUUUUUCAGUAUUAUAAUAAAAUCCCCUGGACUAAACCAUCCAGGUAUCUCAGCAGUUUCCCACUGGUUUUCAUUUUCAAAAACAGCUACUGGACUUCCCGUCCACCAUAGCUCACGGCUCAACCGCCGAACCUUUUAAAAACCACUUUUCAAAAACAUCUCUUUUUUUUGGAAAACAAAACAUUAAUUGCCAUACCAUACCAGACUCGUCCAUUCCUGUGGACACAGACUAUUCGAAUAAGUUUUCAAACUCUGCGCAGAGGUGUACACUUUACCCACUAGUCCGGCUCUGCGAUCUCAUGAUCAAUGAGAUCCGAAUCCGAAUCUCUUUCUUUCCUCGCACGUCCUAACCUUAACGGUUAUCCGGAAGGAGUCAGGCCACCGCCAUGUCCAAACCGGACAAAACUUUCCCCCUCCUUAUCCUCCCGGUGCUCCCCAGCCUUCAUAACCCUGGGGUUGGACCGUACGAGUUCAGAUUGAGUGACUGCCCACACAGUCUCGAGUGGUUGUACUAUUAAAGAGUACAGGUAGUGAAGAUGACAAACCGGUCCUUAUACGAGGGGAUAAUCCUUCUGCUCACGCCUAAACCAGCUGAGCCAUCACCUUAGGCCCUCCCCUAAACCAGGGAGUCCCUGAUUAUCCCACUCACAAGGUGAUAAGGGUGAAAACCCUUCAUCAUACACAUUUUGAAAAGCAUUUUCUUUUGAAAACUCACACCCUUUCUCAAAUCAUUUGUAACAAAUAUAUUAAGGAGUGAUUGCGGCAAGCGGCUUGGGUGGCCAUAAUAACUUGUCACAAAAUCAUAUCAUGCAUAAAAUAACAGGCUGAGGGUUGUGGUUGAAAAACAUAGGUAAUUUAUGCAUCAAAGGGAUCCAGUGAGCUUGCCGUGCUUAUUCGGCGAAGGGGGAAGGGGAGCUCGCGGAACUGGCUUCUGGCUCCACCGCCUAGCGUAGACUUGCAGAUCUGGCCUCCACGAGACGGCACGAACGCUCCGAUAACUAUGCAACAUGAACAAGCAAACAUACAAACCAACAAGUAUACCAACAAAUAUUUAGUAUAGUGGUCAUAAUAGCGAUAUAUGGAUGGGUAGAGUCUUGAGUAGAAUCUGUGUCAUGUGGUGUUGUGAUAUUACUGGUGGUGGAGCGGAGGUGCUUACCAGGAGGGUGGACUGGAGGCGAAGCGACACUAUGUGUGUAGCCGGCAGAGCAGAGUAACUGAGUGGGUGGGGUGUUUGCCUUGGCUGAGGGUGUUGAGUGUGUGUGGAGAGGGAGAGGGUAGCUGGGUGUAUUUAUAGCUGGGUGUAUGUGGUGUAGCACAGUGAAGUUCACUGUUGGUGAGAAUAGUGACGAAUGAAUUGUCUGACUUAGUAUGAACAGGAGAGUUAUAGGCAGAAUAUGGGACAAGAGUAUUUUGGGAGUUUUCUGGAAUAUGGACCAUGCUUAAGGGAUGACAUGGCUGGGUAGGGAAUAGUUUGAUAAGAAUUUAGAAACGAGAUUUAUUGGAAUCUGAGUUUGGGAGCCUGGUUCGAAGGAUUCUCAAAGUUAAGCGUGCUCAACUUGGAGAAACCUGGGAUGGGUGACCAGAUGGGAAGUUCCCUACUGGAAGAAAAAUCACAGUCACCGGAGUUCGUAUGACUGGAAUAUGGGUCUGGCUGGUCUUAGGUGGACUGGACAACAUGAUGUACGAGUAGUUGAAAUUUGGGAUGACUAGAUGACUGAUGAAUAGUAACGAUGAUCAGUAACGAUGAAUAGUGGCGAUGGAAAAGAAAUUAUAGAUAUCAUCGAUGAAUAGUAACGAUGAUGAAUAGUAAUGAUAAAUAGUAACGAUGAUGAAUAGUGUAUGUGAAUAGUAACGAUGAAUAGUAAUGGUGAAUAGUAAUGGUGAAUAGUGAUAGUGAACAGUUUGAACGAACGAUGAAUAGGAACUAUGAACGAACGGACGAACGAUCGAAUGAUCGGACGAACGAACGAUCGGAAUUUCGGCAGCAUAACGGCAGGAAAAGAUUAUUUGGACGAACGAACGGACGAACGAUCGAAUGAUCAUACGAACGAACGAUCGGAAUUUCGGCAGCAUAACGACAGGACAAAGAUUAUCUGGAAGAACGAUGAAUAGGGACUAUGAACGAACGAUGAAUCGAUGAAUAGGGACUAUGAACGAACGAUGAACGAUCGAAUGAUCGAACGAACGAACGAUCGGAAUUUCGGCAGCAUAACGGCAGGACAAAGAUUAUCUGGAAGAACGAUGAAUAGGGACUAUGAACGAACGAUGAAUCGAUGAAUAGGGACUAUGAACGAACGAUGAACGAUCGAAUGAUCGAAUGAACGAACGAUCGGAAUUUCGGUAGCAUAACGGUAGGAAAAAGAUUAUUUGGACGAACGAACGGACGAACGAUCGAAUGAUCGGAUGAAUGGACGAACGAACCAUGAACGAUCGGAUGAACGAUCGAACGAUCAGACGAACGAACGAACAAACUAAGAACAGGGGACGAACGAUCGAAGAACGACCGAACGAUCCUUGUGCUAGUGUGUGCUUGUGUGGAACAUGGAGUGGGUGUGUGUGGGGGGGAGAGAGUUGCCAUGAAAUGGCUUGGGGUGGGAUGAGAGGAGGCCCUUGCCCCUCUAUUUAUAGCCAUGGUGGGGGGGAUUAGGGGGAGGGAUGAGAGGAUUAGUGGGAGGAUGAGAGGAUUAGUGGGAGGUUAGCAUGUAUUUGUCUUGUAUAAGUGUAAUUAGCUUGUAGAGCUCACCGUAUGACACUGGAGGCAUACGUAUACGUAUGAGCAUGAGGAAAGUUAUGAAGAAAAUAUUUAUAGGGACUUGAAAAAUGAUUCUGAAGGUAUUUCUCAGGAGGAAAAUAUCUGGAGAUAUAUCGGUGGAAUAUUUGGGCAGUAUUUCUGGAAAGAACUUGAAGAGGAUCACUAGGGAAAUAUCUGGGCAAUAUUUCUGUAAACAAUUUGAGGGGGAUCACUGAGGAAAUAUUUGUAGGAUAUUUUGAGGAGGAUUUUAGAGAGAAUAUAGACCACUAUACUUUAUUUGUUGAUAUCAACUCGCAAACAAACAUUUUGAAAUGAAAUUUGAAAUUCAUUUUGAAUUUAGAGCAAGUUUGAGAAAGUUUCAGGAUUUGAAUUUUUGGGAUGCUACAAAGUAACUCUAGCUCGGAUAAACGAUUCUGCUACCGACGAGCAAGCCCUGAUACUCGAAACAAGAGGAAAAGAAAUGCAGCUUUACAACGCGACGACAGUAUGUUUGGGCCUCAGCGGCCACAAAAAACAUAUGCAUACUACAGGCGAACCGGUCCUGCAGGCUCAGACGUCGAUGGAGGGGGAGCAGCAGCACCCUCGGCGUCAACUCCACCUUCGGCGAAGUCCGACCGAGCCUCGGACGGCAACACGGACGAAGGAUCUCCACUCCGAAGGACGACGUCAGCACCACGCCCGGGCCAUCGCCGCCAGGGUCUCCUUCAGGAACCCGGCCCGAGCAGACGGCUCGGCCGGCCACCCCGAAGCCUCAGCCAGCUGUCCCCCGAGGACACCAGCCCGGCUCAUGGCCUCGGCAACCUGACUCCGGCGCUGGUCCCGCCAGUGGACGGCCUGGCCAGGCUCUGGCCGACGAAGUCUUCUUUUCGAGCCAACUCUGCCUCUGUCCAUGCUGACACCGCUGCCUCUGGCUCCGGCUCAUCGCAGAGCGGCCGAGGGUUCCUUUAACUAAGCAAGAGAAGCCUCGGGCGGCAAGGCCGACCGAGCCGAGGGACUCCUACGCCUCCGGGAUACGGAUACCUCACUCGUCACCUUCGCACGAGGCAACUCACACUUGGUUAAGCGGUUCAGUUAGCCGACUGGCGAGUCCUAGUGCUCGAAAGGAGGAAAAACAUGGUAUUACACCAAAAAUACCCACAUGUUCAGGCCCCGACAGCCACAAUGAACAGACACCGGCACUCAAGGUGCCAUUACAAACGGAACUCCGGUUCCACCCCCGCAGGUACGAACAACCCCCCACAUUGGAGGGCCUGCGGGGCGACGAAACCCCAGGUGGCUCACCGCCGCCCGCUCCGGCAGCAGCGACAACGACCUCCGCUCCAGGUGGCCAAACAACAACAGCGAUGGCCUCAGGGCGGACGCUGCUGCAACAAGGCCCUCGCCCACGUCCCCACUCGAGGGGCGAGGACAAGCUAUCAAAGCCAAAGAGCCGGAGGCCUGGAGCGCGGAUGGUGGCGGUGAUCCCGUCGGCGAUGAGGAAUUCUUCAGCCGCCACCACCUCCGCGCCGACGACGGAAGCCAUCUGCCCACCGGCAGAUCCCCACUCGAAUCCUCCCGGACGGGCGAGCACCGACCUCCGCGUAGAGGCGCCGUACCGGAGCAAAGACAGGACAGCCCAAGAACACGAACGCCGCCCUAGCAGCGCGCGACAUCUUGGGCGGUCCUCCGGUGCGCGCGGUGCGACAACCGCUCUCGCGGCGGGAGGGGGCACCGGGAGCCGAGCCAGAGCCAGCUGAGCCAGCGAGCCCAACGCGCUGAAGCAGACGACGCUCGCCGCCGACCAGCCCCGCGUUGUCGAAGUCCGACCCUCCCGCUAGGCCGGUGAGCGCCCUCUCCCCUGAAUGCUGAGGGAGAAGGUGACCCACGAACCCGCGCGGGAGGUAGAGCUCCGGCUCAGUCCGGCCUCCGCCCCAGCCAGGAUGAUGAAGAUCCUUGAAGCUGAGGGCGAGGCAGAGGUCGCAGCCCGGCUUGCUUCUCCCCACCAUCAAACUGGUGGUCACCGUCUUGGGUGACCACCGGCGAGGGGAUGCAGCCGAGCUGCCUGAUGAAAAUCCUUAAAGCCGAACGAUGGCUGAAAGGUACCAACUUCCGCGAAGUUGCGUUCCCCCGACGACGACAAGACGAAGGCGACGCGAGUGCUCCCCAUCCGGGGGCUCGGAAGGUGGAAGGACGCGAUGCAUGAAGGGAGUGCGAAGACAUGGUUGCCAUCCAAGGGGGUCACCCUCCUUUUAAAGGCGACUCUCCCCACCUGCGUCCUCAGCCGGCGCGGACUGAGUCUUCUCCAACACGCUCCAAAGUCCUCCCCCUACGACACGGGGGCUGGGUCCCACGCGUCAUGCAAGCUGGCCCAGGACAGAAGAGGCUAAACCGCCGCGCGCGGAGCGCACAACAGCCCAGCGGUUACAAGCAUUCCUCCACUAUCGCCCGGACCAACGGGUGAAAGGGCGAACCGCCAUGCAGGCGGCAUGCAACCGCACCAAGGGAGCGCACCCUUUCGACUUCGACGCGUCCAGCAUGGAGGCCCAGGCCCACACGUCAUGUAACCGGCUCGCCAGUUACUACGUGCGAGAAACUGCACCGCCACUCGCGCCAGUACCGCACCUCCUCGACUGCGGAACCGGUGCUGCGACUCGAGGCGACCCUGCGCAUGACCCAACAGUGCCAACCGAGCACAUCGGUCACGGGUCAGUCAGCCGCGGGAGAAGGCGCGACGGUCGAUAUGGCCAGAAAUGGGCCGGUAGUAAUGGCGGUGGCAGGCGGGCGGAAGCAGCAGUCAAGUCGCCUGCAGACUCACGUCCCCUCCUGGGACAGCAAGAGAGCCCUGUCCCACGGAGUGAAGACGACGCGCCCGUGUUCCGUUCCUCGAACGGCUCGCGCACGCACAACGGCUGCCCCGCGAACCACUCGUCACAUCGCAUUAACUCUGCGGCAGGACAGGCGGCACCUUUGGCAGGCAAAGCAGACAACGCUUCACCUUCGCCAUGAUGACCGCGUCAAAAAAGGUGUGUCACGUCAUUCGAUUUCGCAUCCUUUUCCACUUCCUCUUUCUCUCUCUUGCUACAGGGACCGGUAAAGGGGAUACUCCGAAAGGGAUCCUUCUCCGCAAAGGAAGCGGGCCCCGAGCCCCCCUACUGAUCAGAGGUUCGAAGGCUGGCCCCUCGGAAGGGUUCAACAGCCGCCUCAGAGCACUCGGGCUCCGCGCCCACUACUGGUCAGAGGUUCGAAGGCUGACCCCUCAGAAGGGUUCAACGGCCGCCUCAGGCCACUCGGGCUCCGCGCCCACUACUGAUCAGGGGUUCGUAGGCUGGCCCCCGAAGGGUUCGACAGCCGCCUCAGAGCACGCAGAGCGAGGGAUGACCCUGGGUACGUUCGAUACAUAACCAAGGCUCGGGCUACGCUCCCGAGGUACCCUAGGACAUUUCCGAGACCGACGGGAACGAUUUUGUAACGGAAUCCCACCAGAGGGAGGCAUCGAGCCCUCGGACCCCGUCAAAAGUGGACCGGGUCCGGCGAAUCACCCGCAGGUACUUUUGGAGCGCGCCUCCGGGCCACUAGCCGACCCCUAACGAAUGGGGCACGGGCGUCCACUCGGAUUACCCGUUAGCAACUCGCUGGAGACACCAUGUUCGGCGCCCUCCGAGGGCAACAUGGUGCUUUCCCCCUCUCCUCCUUGCGGAAAGGCGACGCAGGGGCGUAUGAAAAAGCCGAGUUUGUCCUUGACCGUCCUCUCGCUCUGUGCGGGAGGCUCGGGGGCUGCUCUCGCAAACCCGGCUCCGGCCAAACCGUUGACAACGUCAACAUACCAGCCCGAGAACUUGGGACUCAACUAUGCACCCGAGCUACGGCUAGUUCGCAUGAGGGAAGAACCAGACCGACCGAAGCAUCACGAAACGCGCUAAGACCUCGAAGGAGUCAAACCACUCCUCCGAGGCCUCGGGGGCUACACCCGGCGGGUGCGCUCGCGCGCACCCACCGGAACGAAAUGCAACCGAGAAAGGCCGGUCCCCUUGCAAAAAAGUGCGACAAAAGCCUCCAAGCGAGUAUCAACACUCCCUUCGAGGCUCGGGGGCUACUGUUGGGGACCAUAAUUAGGGGUACCCCCAAGACUCCUAAUCUCAGCUGGUAACCCCCAUCAGCACAAAGCUGCAAAGGACUGAUCACUACGACAGCUACAGGCAUUUUCGGCGGCCAAGCCGCCGAAAAUGAGCCCUUUACCGCCGAAAAUAAGCUAUUUUCGGCGGCGUCUGGCCCCCAAAAAAAUCCGGCCGAAAAUAAGGCUUUAUUUUCGGCGGCCAGGACCUGGCCGCCGAAAAUAAACUGUUAUUUUCGGCGGCCACGUAGUCAGCCGCCGGAAAUUAAUACUGCCGAAAAUAAUAUACCUAUUUUCGGCGGCCAGGGAGGCCGCCGAAAAUUACUAAUUUCAGAGCAAAAAAAUUGAAAAAUGCGAAAAAUAACAGAAUUUCAUACAAAAUUCAUACAAUACCAGAAAUUUCAUACAAUAACAGAAAAUUCAUACUUGAGUUCACAACAUAAAACUUGAGUCCAUACAAAUAUAAAGUCCACAAAUAGUCCAUACAAACAUAAAAUCCACAAAUAGUUCAUUACAACACAGUGCGUCACAAAGCUAACUUAAUCACACAUUGGGGUCGUUGGAGUUGUGUCCACUACCUCCAGAAGCCAAGAACUGGUUGACGAAGUCGUGUAACGGGUUUGGAUCCUAAAGAAAAAAAAGACAUUAAUAACGACAUUGGUUACAUGUAUAACGACUAUUCAAACAAAUUGUUUCUCAAACUAACCUCUCCUGCAUAAGCUCCCUCCCCUGCAUAAGCUCCUCCUGGUGCUGGUAUGACCGGUGGUGGCGUGUUGUGGCCCAUGACCCCGGAUCCCUACAAAAUCAAGUUUAGUAAAGAUUUGAAAUUAGGUUGAUACAAACGACAAGUCUUAACUAAAUUGAAGCACCUGAGGUGGAGGUGGUGGAGCAUGUAAUCCCCACUGAGGCAUCGGCGGCUGAAACUGAGGGAAAACAAAUGGCUGCUGUUGUGCCUGCUGUGGAAACCAAGACUGUUGCAAAUAUAAUAUAUUAGUUAUAGAACCAAUAUCGAGCGUGUUGAGAAUAAAUAAGACACUCACGUUCAUUGCUUGUUGCGCCUGUGUGUUGUAAGCAGCCAUGUACUCUGAUUGCUGUUGGAGAAAUGCCAUUUGUUGUUGCCGCAGCUCUUCACGAAACUUUUCUUGCUGCUCCCUCAUAGCUUCCUCCAUGCUAGAUACAAAGCGGCGACUACGGCUGCUACUACCACAGCCCGCCUGCGACGAAGAGCCGCCACGAGAACGCAACUCCGUCGAAUCGAUAACACCGGUAAACAUAGAAUAUCUUGAAAAACAAGAAAAUUAGCUAUUCGGUCGUAGUUCCAACAUUAUUGAAAACAAUUCACAAGUUCAUACCGUCCAUGCGCCUUGCCUCCAAGUGAAUGCACAACUUCAUGCGCCUUGCCAUGAGCCGAGUCACAAAAGCGAGUAUACUCACAUCUGUGUGUUCAUGUAACGACUCUUCAGAGGCUUUUAGUAGUUUAAAAAAUCUGGAAACCUCUGGUGUGGCAGGAUCCUCGGAGCUUAGGUUGAAUUCUGGACGUAGCGAAUCUAGCAUCUCAUGCAUCGCAUCAUCGCCAGCCCAAUCAUUGUUCUCCUCCUCUUCUACAUUCCGGUUGGGUACUACCUCACCAUGAUGUUCCCACACCUCAUAUCCGGGCAUAAAUCCAAAUUGACAAAGAUCUAGGCUAACUCUUUCCUUAUUAAGAAAUAUACUAUUUUCGUGCCGCCUACAAGGGCAUCUGACAAUGCCGGUUAAGGACAAGGCGAAUACGUGGUCCACAAAAUCUUUGGUCUUGGCUACCCACUCAUCAGAAUGACGUCCAUUCCUACUCCAGCCAUUGUACAUCCAUGCACGGUCUUCAGCCAUGCCUGAGACUGUUAAACCGAACCAUAUCGUGAAACCAUUAUUCAAUUUCAUCAAGUGUAUCGGUCCUAUAUGUAUAGGCAAGGAUAGAUUCUAAACCACAGCAAGCUACCAGGACCCACAAUAAUUUUGGCAGCAUAACCUCGCUGCCACUAAACAAUAUAAGAAUGAACCACAUAUAACACAUAUAACACAUAUACCACAUAUGCCUUUACUAAACCAAAUAUACCACAUAUAAAAUAUGUCUCGAACUAAACAAUAAUACUAAUCACACGCACUAAUCAACAAACACAUAUACCACUAAUACAUUCCACAUAUACCACAUAUGCCUUCCCUAAACAUAUAACACAUAUACAAACGCACUAAUCAAUAAUAUUAAUCAAACGCACAAAUCAACAAACACAAUUACAAAAAUAUAUUAAUUUCGGUGGCAAUUAAAUAAAAGGCCGCCGAAAAUACAAAAUAAAAUACGCAAAAUAAAAUACCUUAAUGAAGGCGAGGUUGACGGGAGCCAAGGUCGAUGGAACGGGGCACAACGCGGCUGGUGGGGCGUCGAGCUUGGUGGCGGCACGUCGGCGGCACGGGCGAGCGGCGCUGCGGGUGCGUCGGGCGUGACGUGGUGGGCCGGGGGGGGGGCGCUGCGGGGGCGUGGGGCGGCGCAGCGGGCCGUGGGCUGCGCUGCGGGGGCGGCGCGACAGGCUGCACGACGGGGUGGCGUUGUUGGGCGGCGCUGCCGGGGCGGCGCGGCGAGGUGCGGCGUGGCGGGGGCGGCGCGGUUGGGCGGUGCUGCGGGGGCGGCGCGGCGGGGCGAGGUGCGGCGAGGCGAGGGGCGGCGCGAGCGACGGCGAGCGGCGGCGUGUUGAGAGAGAAGAGAGAAGAGAGAAGAAACAGAACAGAGAAGGAGCCGACAGUUUUUAAAAACCUAAUUUUCGGCGGCCAGGGAUCAGGCCGCCGAAAAUAGGCUUAUUUUCGGCGGCUGUGUCAGUGGCCGCCGAAAAUAGGCCUAUUUUCGGUGGCUGUGUCAGACCGCCGAAAAUAAGGUGGUAUUUUCGGCGGCCCACCUCCGGCCGCCGAAAAUAAGGUGGGCCGCCGAAAAUGUUGCAUAGUGUUGUUGUGGAUGGGCGCGAUUAAGGUCAAGGCUCAGUCCACUUAAGGGACACGAUCUCGCCUCGCCCGUGCCCAGCCUCGGGCAAAGGCAGCCGACCCCGGAGGAUUCACGUCUCGCCCGUGGGCCCCCUCAAGCAACGGACACACCUUCGGCUCGCCCGAGGCCCAGUCUUCGCAGAGAAGCAACCUUGGCCAGAUCUCCACGCCAACCGACCAUAUCGCAGGAGCAUUUAAUGCAAGGAUCACCCGAUACCUUAUCCUGACGCGCGCUCUUCAGUCGAUAGAGCCGAAGUGACCGCAGUCACUUCGCCGCUCCACUAACCGACCUGACAAGAAAACAGCGCCGCCUGCGUCACUCCGACUGCUGUGCCACUCGACAGAGUGAGGCUGACAGCAGCUAAGUCCAGCCUCGGGCGCCAUAGGAAGCUCCGCCUCGCCCGACCCCAGGGCUCGGGCUCAACCUCGACGAUGGACGACGAACUCCGCCUCGCCCGACCCCAGGGCUCGGACACGGCCUCGGCCUCGGAAGACGGUCUCCGCCUCGCCCGACCCCAGGGCUCGGGCUCAACCUCGAUGCUGGACGACGGACUCCGCCUCGCCCGACACAGGGCUCGGACUCAGCCUCAGCCUCGGAAGACGGUCUCCGCCUCGCCCGACCCAGGGCUCGGACUCAACCUCGACCUCGGAAGACGGACUCCGCCUCGCCCGACCCCAGGGCUCGGACUCAGCCUCGACCUCGGAAGACGGACACGACCUCGACCUCGGAGGAGCCGCCACCUCGCCCAAACUCGGGUCCGGACCGGCCACGUCGCCAGGGGGGCCAUCAUUACCCUACCCCUAGCUAGCUCAGGCUACGGGGAACAAGACCGGCGUCCCAUCUGGCUCGCCCCAGUAAACAAAUAAUGAUGGCGCUCCGCGUGCUCCAUGACGACGGCGGCUCUCAGCCCCUUACGGAAGCAAGGAGACGUCAGCAAGGAUUCGACAGCCCCGACAGCUGUCCUUCCGCAGGGCUCCAGCUCUCCUCCGACGGCCACGCCAUCACAUGAACAGGGUGCCAAAACCUCUCCGACUGCCACGACGGCAUGUACUUAGGGCUCUAGCUCCUCUCUGCUAGACACGUUAGCACACUGCUACACCCCCUAUUGUACACCUGGACUCUCUCCUUACGCCUAUAAAUGGAAGGUCCAGGGCUCUCGUAUGAGAAGGUUGGCCGCGCGGGAGAACGGGCCGGCGCAUAAGGCUCUCGCUCUCUCCCACGCGAACACUUGUAACCCCCUACUGCAAGCGCAUCCAUCCGCCCUGGGCGCAGGACAACACGAAGGCCGCGGGUUCCCCUUUACUGUUCUCCCCUUUUGUGUCCCGUCUCGCGCCGACCCAUCUGGGUUGGGACACGCAGCGACAAUUUUCUCGUCUGUCUAGGGAGCCCCGGGGUCGAAACGCCGACAGUAUGUAAAAGAUGGUGUUACAUCGGGUAUCUACAGAAUUUUUUCCGUUGUAGAUGGCUUUAAAGAGCUCUUCUGGUCGCGUCGUGUUCGAGAAGAAAUAAAACAUCAGGCAGUUGGAUACAGGUGUGGCACAUGCGUAAGCCUGAACACGGGACAGAAGCCCUCAGAAUCAGCUUAUAAUAAUAUAUAGAAAUCCAUUUCUAUUCCAAGCUUCAAAUAUAUAGCUCCACACUAAAGCAUCAUCAUGUACAUUGAGUCUAUGGCUGUAACAGCUAGCUAGUAAUAGUCACCGGCAAUUAGUACAGUAGCGAACAUAUAAGCACUGCUGCACGAGCUACAAGCGGUGGUGGGCGCAGGGGGCACUGCCGUCGUCGAAGUUCUGGUAGUAGCUAUGCAGGUCAUACCCGAACCUCACCGCGGUUCGCCUCGGCCGCGCUGCGCGUCUUCUCCAAGAGCGACUCAACCUCGACAGCAGCCGCUUCACCGCCGCAGCUGGCCGGCGGCCGCCGCUCCUGGCGUGGACGAGCCUCCCGCCCAAGCCGCUGCCCCCGGUGUACGGGCCUAGCAGAGACACCGCCGCCAUGAUCGUUCACUCAGUCGGUUCUCACAGGUCACGGACGCUCUUUGCCACUAACCAACUAGCUAGCUAGAUGCUCUGUCUGCUUCGAGCUGGAGUAGGUAGGUGAGGUCUAUCUGUGAAUCUGUGUGCUGCAGCUGUAGCUUCUGAAGAUACUGUGCAAAACGAAGCCUCCCAUGCGCAGCUUUAUAAGCUCGGAUGCUGGGAGCAUUCCGACACGCGUCGACCGAAGACGCCACUCGGACCCACCAGCAGCACGCACUCACGUACAUGGUGACGAGGCAAUCCACUACGGCGAUCGUUCGAAAGGUCCAAGCAGCUUCAUUUCAUGCAUGCUUUUGUAAGCCGCCGUCAUGCUCGUGCAGUCGAAAGAAUCAAAGAAAGACAACCGUCGACCACCAACAAUGGAAGCAUGUGUACUUGCUUUAGUGACGACGACCUCGAUCGCCAGCUAGAUUGCUAGCUAGAGGGAUGAGAGAGGUCGGCCAUGGCAACCGGCGACACGGCGGCACCUGAGCUGCUUCCUGCCCGUCCAUAGCCGAACUGCCGAUAAGGUCGGCGGCUUCCUGCCCGUCCUGCCGCUGGAUCAUGCCACGUGCACAAUGUGUUUGUGUUGCCUGUUGCGUGGCCGACCUAAUCGACAUGCAUGCGGCAGAGGUUGACGGGGAUGUUCGUUCUGCAGAACUCUCGGAACCCCGUCACAUCGAGACUAGGAACCUAGUAGAGUGUAUUGCUGACGCUGAAUCAUAAUAAUAACAACUGGUUAUAUUAAUAACCUAGAGUAUUAUUGGAAAGAGCACUCCAAGCCACUCACCAAAUUGGAUAAUUAAUAAUAACUGGUUAUUACUAUUUAUUUUUGGAUAACCUUAUCCUUGUACUGAAGAUGACUAAAGCUUAGGACGUGGAUAUUUCUUUUACAGCUGGAACAUGCAUGUAUGCUCUUCUGAUAUCUCCAAAAAAGAAGAGAAAAGAUGUCGUCGAGCUGAGUCAUCAUCAAUGAAUUUCCACAUCCUAAGGAAAGGGAAAUGGAAUACUAGUCCUAGUAGUGUUAUGCUAGAGUGAAAAUCUACAGAAAAGGCGGAGAGCCUUUUUUAGGGAAUAUUGCGAAGCUUCUAUUUUGGAAAUAUCACGAAAAUGUAUGGUCAGUAAAAUGGCGGUCGUGGAAUGGCAGUGUAUAUGAAGGGGGCUGAGGUAGUACAAAUCAUCCAAGUCAUCAUGGUAUCAGGAUGAGUCAUGAGUCACUUGACAUGUGUUUGGUUUCGGAACGACGUGGAUCCGGUCGAAGUCGACCCAUUUUUCUGGAUUGGGUCAGAUCCGUUCCUUAUUUGGUUUAAGUGACAGGUUAAACCUAUUAUCUUGUUUGAUUACAGGGUUAAACUGGGUUGGAGUUGUACCAUCUCUUGUUUGUUUCGCGAUGAGGGAUGAACUGAAUAUGGUCUCCUUCCUGGUCAUAUUACCACAUUCAGGAUGGUAUCUUCAAUUCAUUCAAUUCAAUAAGAUGACAACAAUCAAAAUAAAUGAAACCGACACUAUUUUAAUAUUUGAGAAAUCCAUAAGCAUAAGAUAUACAUAAAUUAAAGCCAAUAUUAACCAAGUCAUAAAUUUUUAGUGAUGAGGUCUCAUUGUUACAUUUCAGCCAUAAUUAAAGGAACCUCCCAACAACAUCAAGAUGCAUUUCAGUGAAUUUGUAACAUUUGCCAUGACUAGCAGGCUUGUCUAGGCAAUAACGAGCACAGACAUUUACCUGUUCGACGACAGCACUAGCAAGGCUCGCGGGUUGUGCCUACUGGAGAACACACCAGCAUCAGAGGGCAGGCCAGCGAGUGACUGUCGGUGGGAGGCGCAACAAGCCGGUGGGGGAGUCUGACGGCGCUGACGGAGGGCAGACCAGUGAGGGACUGACGACAGGAGGUAGGCGGGGGAUGAACGUCGGAUGGUAGGUCGGCGGGGGUCCCUCGUCCCAGCUUGCCGGCCGUGGCAACGUGCCCGUGUGCCAAUGUUUUAAAUGUCCGACUAAGGGCCUUAGCGGUGAGCUUUUUAUAAGUUAUAAAGGCUAUAGCCGUGAGCUAAACCAUUUAGCCGUUUAAAAAAAGCAUGAUAUAACUUUAUAGAUAGUUUAAAUGUUCAAUAUUUAAAUCUGAUAGUUCAAACUAGUAGUUCAAAUGUUCAAUAAUAAAUCAACAUACAUGCAAAUUCAAUGACACAUAUAAAAGGCAUUGAAUCAUUAUCUGAAGUGUCCCGAUCCUUUGGGACUCAAAUGUGAUACAAUUACUAGUCCCAGGAGGCUAGUAACCACAUUCAUUACUUCAAAUAGUUACAGAGUCUGAAUAAUGUUAUUACAAUACCGGGGGAUACAGGCUCGAAAGUGAGCCGAAAAACAUAAAGCGCAGUGGAAGAUAAAAUAGCCCAGGCCACAGGCAGAACUGGGCGAAGACACAGCCCCAUCAAUCAAGCAUAGCAGAAAAGAAGUCUUCAGCUGCUGAAAAACAUAAAUAAAUCUGGGUGAAUACACUAGGUAUUCCGCAAGCCCACCCGGCUCCCGUAAAGAGAAAGUGACCUAUAUGGUACAUGCUUAUUAUGGUGGAGUUGAAGUCACUCAUACUUUUUCAGAGAAAGGCAGUAUUCGUUGUUUAUGGUUUUCCCAAGACAAUAGGAGUAACACUUGCUUGACCACCACUGAGCUUCCCGCUCCUGUGGUACCACUUUCUUUUCAGACAUACACACACAUUUCCCUGUUCCAGGUUGUAGUAGAAACACUAAUUGUCAUACCAUUCUAGACUCGUCCAUACCAGUGGACACGGACUAUUCGAAUAGGUUUAGACUCUGCGCAGAGGGGUACACUUUACCCACUAGUCCGGCUCUGCGAUCUCAUGGCCAAUGAGACCCGAAUCCGAAACUCUUUCCUUCCUUGUACGUCCGAACCUUAACGGUUAUACCGGAAGGAGUCAGGCCACCGCCAUGUCCAAACCGGACAAAACAUUCCCCCUCCUUAUCCUCCCGGUGCUACCCGAGCCUUCAUAACCCUGGGGUUGGACCGUACGAGUUUAGAUCGAGUGGCUGCCCACACAGCCUCGAGUGGGUGUACUUUUUGUGAGUACAAGUAAUGAAAGAUGACAAACCGGUCCUUAUACGAGAGGACGAUCCUUCUGCUCACGCCUAAACCAGCUGAGCCAACACCUUAGGCCCUCCCCUAAACCAGGGAGUCCCUGAUCAUCCUACUCACCAGGUGAUGAGGGUGAGUACCCUUCAUCGCACACUUUUGGAAAACAUUCCACUUGUACCCUUUUCACUUGCCCCAUAUCUUUUAAUCAAAAUAAUAGUUAAUGCGGGCUCUCUCAUGCUCACCAUGCAAUUCGAUUCCCAUCCCAUAAUCCAGGCUUAGGCAGUGGUAGAGAGAAAUAGGUAAAUAAUGCAUCAAGGGAAGGAUGGACUUGCCUUCGUCGAAGCUUUCCUGCCACAAGAGGUUAAUCUCGGAGGGGUCGGGUUCUUGCCCUUCUUCCGGAGCUAAGAGUUCCGUAGGAUCGGAUCCCUCUUCCACUAAUUAAACACAUAUAAUAACAAUACAUCAAACAUAGUGACCUUUGAGGGGUGUGCAAAUUUUUAUACUUUAUUAUUUUUGUGCCCUAAUAAUUUAUUUAGACAAUUUUUGGUGCAUAAAAUAUUAGCAUCUAAAUAUAUAUGUGAAAAUGGGAAAAAGAAAAGGGAAAAGAAAAAGAGAAAGAAUUUUCGAGCCAACUGGGCCGGGGGGGGAUUUUGGCCCAAAAGGCGCCAGCGCGAGCGGGCGGGCGUGCUUUUGGCCCACUUGGCCCAGCCGCGCGGGGAGACGGCGGGGGAACGGCACUGCGGCGCGGGCCCGCACGCCAGAGAGGGGGGGGGGAGCGAACGACGUUAACGGCACGGAGGGGGGCGAGGGCUCGACCGGGGCCGGUCGGCGGCGAGCCCCGCGGCGGUUCUCCGCCGUCGGUCCGGUUUUGCGGUGGGGAAGCGGUGGCGGAGCAUGGGCGGUUGAUGGGGGUCACGGGGGUGGGGCGAAUUUCACCUGCGGGGGCCUAUGGCGGCCGGUCCGCGGCACGGUGGCGGGUGCCCGCGGCGGUGAUGCCGCCGGUGAGGUUUCCGGCCACAAUAGAGUGGGGGAAGUGGCGUGUCGUGACCGUGAGAGUGUGGCGGAGCUCUUGGCAUCACUUAAUUGAACGAAAGAUCGCUAGAGAGGGAGAGGGGAUCUCACCGGAGCGGUGAAGGGAGCACGACAGCGCUAGCUUGAACGGCUCGAGGAGGAGGGCAGUGGGGGUGGCCGGAGCUGUGUGGCGAAUACGGGGCUCAGGCGGGUCCUUUUAUAGGCGCUCGGGGGAGGGAGGGGGUUGGGGGAGACGACGAGCACCGGCGAGCUUGCCAUGAUGGUGGGAAUGGUGCUAACGCCGAUGCGAUGGCUCGGGCAGGCUGGGGGGUGAGGGGUCGGCUCAAGCACAGUGGUGGGGUUGUCGCGGAGGCUGGCGAGCAUUAAUGGCGAGGCGACGAGGCGAGGGGGCGCUCGGCGGCGGACGCGCCGGUGAGGGAUGGGCGAGGGGGAUGGAACUGACGAGUGGGCCCUGGCUGCCAGCGAGAGGAAGCUGCGCGAGAGGGAGGGGGUGAGGCGCUGACGGGCGGGGCCCGGGUGUCAGCGGGAGGGAGCCGCGCGCGGGUUGGGCCGCCUGGGCCGGGGAGAGAGGGGGAGGAAGUGCGGGCGCGCGCGGGUUGGGCUAGAAUUCGGCCUAGCCGUGGGAGGGGGAAGCUUUUCCUUUUCUUUUUCUUUUUCUAAUUCUAAUCCCUUUCUUCUCCUUUUUUCUAUUUUUGUUUCUUUUUAUUCUUUUUCUUUGGAGACCAAAAAUAUUUUCUAAGUGAUCUUGAGUGAGAAACAUAGUCUAUGUGAGGUGCUCUAAUUAUUUCAAGUGCACAUAAGAAGGGGUUCUAAGGGUAGGGUUAAGGGGGAAAGGUAAAAUAGGGGGGAGGAAUUAGGAGGUUAGGGUUUCAAACCUUGGGUGGGAUUUUGGGAUGUUACAAACCUACCCCACUUAAAGGAAUCUCGCCCUCGAGAUUUAGACUGGAUUUGAGAAAAGAUAAGGGUAUUCCCUCCUCAAGGAGUCCUCACUCUCCCAGGUAGCUUCCUCUUCUCCUUCUCUGCUCCACUGAACUUUACAGAGCUUUACUUCUGAGGUGCGGGUCUUUCUGACUGCUGAAUCAAGAAUCUUCACUGGUUUUUCACGGUACUGAAGGUCUUUCUGAAUCUGUACUGUCUCUUCUUCGAGGUGACUUUCUGGUGCUUGCAGGCAUUUGCGGAGCUGGGAUACGUGAAACACAUUGUGGAUGUCGGACAUGGAUUCUGGUAAUUCCAGACGGUAUGCUGCGUGUCCUACCCUGCCAAUGAUGGGAUAGGGACCUACGAAACGUGGGGCUAGCUUCCCUUUUACUUGGAACUUCCUGACACCACGCAUUGGAGAAACCUUGAGGUAGACGAAGUCUCCUUCCUCAAAUCGGAGUUCCCUCCGCCUGUUGUCUGCAUAACUCUUCUGUCGACUCUGAGCUUCGAGUAACCUUCUGCGGAUCAGUGCAACUUUCUCUUUCGCCUCUUUGACAAAGGCAGGUCCUUCUAGUGCUUUUCCCCCCACGUUGGACCACAUGAGAGGGGUUUGGCAUUUCCAUCCAUACAGUGCUUCGAAUGGCGACAUCUUGAUGCUGGCCUAAUAGCUAUUGUUGUAUGAGAACUCUGCGUAGGGUAGACUGGAUUCCCAACUUCUAUCAAAAGCUAGCACACAUGCUCUUAACAGAUCUUCAAGGACUUUGUUGACUCUUUCUGUCUGCCCAUCUGUCUGAGGGUGAUAAGCGGUACUGAAAUCUAGCUUGGUGCCCAUAGCUUUCUGAAGGCUUGUCCAGAAUUUGGAUGUGAACUGGGUUCCCCUGUCUCACACUAUCUUCCUUGGGAUGCCAUGGAGUCUGACUAUCUCCUUGAGAUAAAUCCGGGCAAGGGUGGCUCCUCCAAAGGUAGUUUUCACUGGGAUGAAAUGGACUACCUUGGUGAGGCGAUCUAUUAUUACCCAGAUGGAAUCAUUCCCUUUUUGCAUCCGAGGCAGUCCGGUUACGAAGUCCAUGCCUAUUUCUUCCCACUUCCAUUCAGGUAUUGGAAGGGGUUGUAAUAGGCCUGCAGGUUUUUGGUGUUCGGCCUUCGUCCGUUGGCAGAUGUCACAUCGGGCCACAUACUGAGCUAUUUCUUUCUUCAUCCCUUUCCACCAGUAUCUGGUUUUGAGGUCCAGGUACAUCUUGGUAGUUCCUGGGUGGAUGGAGUAGGCCGAGUCGUGAGCUUCCUUGAGUAGGACUUCUCGGGCCUCCCCUUUUGGUACACACAGACGGUGCUUGAACCAAAGGACUCCUUGGUCAUCUGCCCUGAGGUCCGGGAGUUGUUCCUUGUGGGAUUUCUCCACAAGUUUUGCUGUCUCUGAGUCUAGACGUUGAGCUUUGCAUAUGAGGUCUUCCAGCACUGGUUUGACUUCGAGACUAUCGUUGUUUCCCAAACAUGCAUUUAGUUGCGCUGAUUCUUUCUUCCAAUCUUCUAAAAAGUUGGUUCCUUUUAUUCCGAAUGGUUUUCGACUGAGGGCGUCGGCUACCACGUUGUCCUUCCCGGGGUGAUAGUGAAUUUCUAGGUCGUAAUCCUUGAUCAGCUCUAACCAUCUUCGCUGAUGGAGGUUGAGAUCUGGUUGAGUGAUUAUAUACUUCAGACUCUUGUGAUCGGUGAAAAUGUGGCAUUUGUUUCCGAUUAGGUAAUGCCUCCAUAUCUUCAAGGCAUGCACUAUGGCUGCCAAUUCCAAAUCAUGGGUGGGGUAAUUCUAUUCGUGCGGCUUGAGUAGGCGUGAUGUGUAAGCAAUGACUUUCUCGUUUUGCAUUAGCACACACCCUAAGCCUUGCCUCGAGGCAUCACAGAAGACGACAAAAUCUUGAUGAAUAUCUGGCAGUGAUAGAACGAGUGCUGUUGUGAGUUUCUCCUUUAUGACCUGGAAACGCCCUUCACAUUUUGGGGUCCACACAAAUUUAUGGUCUUUCUUGAGAAGUUCUGUCAUCGGUCUUGCUAUGCUGGAGAAUCCUUUGAUGAAGCCGCGGUAAUACCCUGCCAUUCCUAGGAAGCUUCGAACUUCACUGACGUUGGUUGGCUGCCUCCAUUUUGAUACUGCUUCCACCUUGGAAGGGUCCACUUCUAUCCCUUCUGCGGUUAAGAUAUGCCCAAGGAAGGCUAUCUUUUCCAACCAAAAUUCACAUUUACUGAGUUUAGCAUAAAGUUGGUGUGCUCUGAGUUUUCCGAGGACGAUCCAAAGGUGACGCUUAUGGUCUUCGUGGUUCUUGGAGUAGAUAAGGAUGUCGUCAAUGAAGACUACGACAAACUUAUCUAGCUCUUCCAUAAACACUUUAUUCAUGAGGUUCAUGAAAAAGGCGGGUGCGUUUGUCAGUCCGAACGGCAUCACUGUGAAUUCAUAUUGCCCGUACCGGGUGACAAAUGCAGUCUUUUGGAUGUCUGCUUCCUUGAUCCUCAAUUGGUGGUAACCAGACCUUAGGUCUAUCUUGGAGAAGUACUUGGCUCCUUGAAGCUGAUCGAAGAGGUCGUCAAUCCGAGGAAGUGGAUACUUGUUCUUGAUGGUAACUUCAUUUAACGAUCGGUAAUCAAUACACAUUCUCAUGCUUCCAUCUUUCUUAUAGACGAACAGGACUGGCGCUCCCCAAGGUGAUGAGCUGGGACGAAUGUAUCCCUUUUGCUGAAGAUCUGCGAUUUGAAGCUUCAGUUCUGCUAACUCGAUCGGAGCCAUGCGGUAUGGUCUCUUCGCGGUGGGUGCCGUUCCAGGGAUCAGAUCUAUGUAGAACUCCACUUCUCUUUCUGGUGGAAUUCCUGGCAAUUCUUCUGGAAACACGUCCAUGAAUUCUUCUACAACUGAUAUACUUUCCGUUGCUAGAUUGAACAUCAUUGGGUCACUGGCGGGUGGCUGUGCCUGACAAGAGACUAACUUUCCCUGCUGGUCGAUGAGGAGGACUGUCUUGUCUGCGCAACUGAUGAUGCCUUUGUGUUUAGUUAGCCAAUCCAUCCCUAGGAUCACAUCAAUUCCUUUGGAUGGCAAGACGGUUAAGUCUGCUAGGAAUACUACCCCACUUAAAAGGAUUCUGACUUGGGAGCAUUUGAGCUGGCAUAGAAGGUCGGACCCUGGGGUUUGGGUGACCAAGGGAAUCUCUAGAGGAGUAGAGGGAAUGCCAUACUUUUCCACAAAGCUAGUGGCUAUGAAGGAGUGGGAUGCUCCAGAAUCGAAAAGUAUGGUAGCGGGAGUAAAUUCAACAAGGAACUCACCGAGUACUACUCCCGGAGCCUGCUGAGCUUCCUCGGCAUCGACGUGAUUUACUCGUGCCCUUCCUUGGUACGGAGCCUUGUUCUGCUGGCUGACGGCGGAGGGCGCCUUGGGGGCGGAUGCCGAGGUAUUCUUGGGGCCAUUCACCGAGUUGGAGUAGGCGGGUCCUGGUGGCUUUAGCUGCGGACAAUUGUUCUUGAAGUGACUGGGAUCACCACAGUGCCAACAUGCAUUUGCCGGGGGUUGGUUGCUUGCCACUGAGGGGGAAUGGAAAGAGCUCUGACUUUGCUGGCUGAAUCGUGACGGAGUGGGUCCAGCUGGUCUACUGAAGUUUGGUCCCUUGGGUGGAAACCCAAAUGAUCGAGUCUUCUGGUGCCGGUCCUGCUGCUGUGCCCGGAGAACCUAGAACUUCCUUUUGAGAUGCCCCUUUUCUUCCUCCUUUGCCUUUCAACUUGCAUGGCCUUGUUGGAAAGGUGAGAGAAAUUGAGGAAGUCUUGGCUAGCCAGAAUUGUCUUGAGUUCUGGCCUGAGUCCCUUCAGGAAAUGGGCCAUCUUCUUGCCCUCGGUACUGACAUCAUCUGGCGUGUAGCGGGCUAACUCUGUGAACUUGUGUACAUAUUCGCUGACAGAUCUUCCGUCUUGAGUCAAUUCUCGGAACUCGUCCUCCUUAAGCUGUACAAGUCCUUAGGGCACAUGGUGCUCCUGGAAAGCCGCUUCAAAUUCCGCCCAGGUAGCAUCUCUGAUGGUGAUGUUGAAGGUGUCCCACCAGGCUAAGUCCAUCCCGGAAAGUUGGUGGGCAGCCAGCUGAACACGCUGAUUUUCUGGGCAACCAAUGGCUUCCAGUUUUCUUUUGAUCGUGCACAUCCAAUCGUCUGCAUCGAGGGGGUUGCUUGAUUCGGCAAACGUGGGAGGUUUGAGUCUCAGGAAAUCCCCCAUUCUGUCUUGUGGUCUUCCACCAUUCGGCCGUUGAUUUUCCAGAUUUCGAGUGAGGACCUCGAUGAGUCAGGUUUGAUUGGCUAGAACUUGGGCUAGGUCUAAGGGUAGUGGUGGAGGUGCGGGGAGGUGGGUUUCACUUUCCUCUCUAACGGCUUCCCCUUCAGCUCUCAGGGGAAACCCUGCUCCAAUCCCGGAGGCGGUAGGCGUGGUUUUAUCCGAAGCCAUCUGCCAGGGAAGAGAGUCACUAUUAUGCACAUGCAAAUUGUUUUCAACCAAGUUAUGUUAUUCAUUACACCAUCACAUUACAAGCAUAAGACUACUACAGGUGGGACUACACGAGAGCGUUCCCCGAGGUACUAACGAACUCCUUCUCUAAGGUGUCCCCAAAUGCCUUGAGAAGAUCAUCAAGGCUUGCUAGGGAUAUAUCCUCGUCGUCGGACCAAUCAUCUAUUCUAGGGGGGAGGUAGGGCUAGAGGGGCCUUCUUCUUCUUCUCUGUUUGGCAUCCUUGGUUGGUGGUCUUCUUCUGGAUUUUCUUUUUGGGGGCGAGCUUCUUUAGCUUCUUGUCAUAGUCCAUCUUCAAGGUUCGAUAGGCCUCACGGGUGUUGGCUUCCUCGCCUUCUGCUAUGUCGAGACUCUCCUGGAGAGAUGCCUUCUCUUGCUUAAGCUCUUUGACUUGCUGCUCUAGGCUUUCCACUCGAGAGUUUAGGUGGGUGCAGUGGGAGGAGAGCUCAUCGUAGUGGUUGUCGAGGGUGUGGAGGUAUCCGGCCAUGUAGACGAUAGUGGGGUCAUCUUCUGUGGGAUCUCCUUCUGACAGAGCCUGGAGUCUUUUCCUCCAGGUGGGGGUGUUUUUGUUGCUAGGUGGGAAAUAUCGGAGGGGGGUCUCAGAGAUCUCUCGGCUAUAGUUUUGGCACAGUUGUUUGAGGGCUUUUCGAGCAACGCUCUAGCAAGUGUCUGGGAAGCGGUGCCCGAUGAAGGUAAUUUGGAAGGGAGGGUGGUUUGGGUAGUUCCGGCUUUCUCCCAAGUAGACCGCCAUAGAGCACUUUUCUAUUCCAUUUUCACGGUACUCCUUCCAGACAUAUUCGGGCUUCUUGCGGAUCCCCAUGCGUAGCGCGCAACUCCGAAGAAGGUGAGGAAAGCCUUCCUCCUCUGAGCAAUAGGAUGUCCUAAUCACCCAGGGGUUUUCCAUCUGGUAGACGAAAAGAGAGGUCUAUUAAUAUCGGGGAAAAGGGGAAAGAGUGUUUCUUGGGGGGUAAGAGGUGUUUUCUUGUUAAGGCAACUUUUAAGGUCAGGGUUGUGGUCUACGGCCAGUCCUAUAGGUUCUGAUACCACCUGAAGCGUCCCGAUCCUUUGGGACUCAAAUGUGAUAUAAUUACUAGUCCCAGGAGGCUAGUAACCACAUUCAUUACUUCAAAUAGUUACAGAGUCUGAAUAAUGUUAUUACAAUACCGGGGGAUACAAGCUCGAAAGUGAGCCGAAAAACAUAAAGCGCAGUGGAAGAUAAAAUAGCCCAGGCCACAGGCAGAACUGGGUGAAGACACAACCCCAUCAAUCAAGCAUAGCAGAAAAGAAGUCUUCAGCUGCUGAAAAACAUAAAUAAAUCUGGGUGAAUACACUAGGUAUUCCGCAAGCCCACCCGGCUCCCGUAAAGAGAAAGUGACCUAUAUGGUACAUGCUUAUUAUGGUGGAGUUGAAGUCACUCAUACUUUUUCAGAGAAAGGCAGUAUUCGUUGUUUAUGGUUUUCCCAAGACAAUAGGAGUAACACUUGCUUGACCACCACUGAGCUUCCCGCUCCCGUGGUACCACUUUCUUUUCAGACAUACACACACAUUUCCCUGUUCCCGGUUGUAGUAGAAACACUAAUUGUCAUACCAUUCCAGACUCGUUCAUACCAGUGGACACGGACUAUUCGAAUAGGUUUAUACUCUGCGCAGAGGGGUACACUUUACCCACUAGUCCGGCUCUGCGAUCUCAUGGCCAAUGAGACCCGAAUCCGAAACUCUUUCCUUCCUUGUACGUCCAAACCUUAACGGUUAUACCGGAAGGAGUCAGGCCACUGCCAUGUCCAAACCGGACAAAACAUUCCCCCUCCUUAUCCUCCCGGUGCUACCCCAGCCUUCAUAACCCUGGGGUUGGACCGUACGAGUUUAGAUCGAGUGGCUGCUCACACAGCCUCGAGUGGUUGUACUUUUUGUGAGUACAGGUAAUGAAAGAUGACAAACCGGUCCUUAUACGAGAGGACGAUCCUUCUGCUCAUGCCUAAACCAGCUGAGCCAACACCUUAGGCCCUCCCCUAAACCAGGGAGUCCCUGAUCAUCCUACUCACCAGGUGAUGAGGGUGAGUACCCUUCAUCGCACACUUUUGGAAAACAUUCCACUUGUACCCUUUUCACUUGCCCCAUAUCUUUUAAUCAAAGUAAUAGUUAAUGCGGGCUCUCUCAUGCUCACCAUGCAAUUCGAUUCCCAUCCCAUAAUCCAGGCUUAGGCAGUGGUAGAGAGAAAUAGGUAAAUAAUGCAUCAAGGGAAGGAUGAACUUGCCUUCGUCGAAGCUUUCCUGGCAUAAGAGGUUAAUCUCGGACGGGUCGGGUUCUUGCCCUUCUUCUGGAGCUAAGAGUUCCGGAGGAUCGGAUCCCUCUUCCGCUAAUUAAACAUAGAUAAUAACAAUACAUCAAACAUAGUGACCUUUGUGGGGUGUGCAAAUUUUUAUACUUUAUUUUUUUUGUGCCCUAAUAAUUUAUUUAGACAAUUUUUGGUGCAUAAAAUAUUAGCAUCUAAAUAUAUAUGUGAAAAUGGGAAAAGAAAAAGAGAAAGAAUUUUCCAGCCAACUGGGCCGGGGGGGAUUUUGGCCCAAAAGGCGCCAGCGCGAGCGGGCGGGCGUGCUUUCGGCCCACUUGGCCCAGCCGCGCGGGGCGACGGCGGGGGAACGGCGCUGCGGUGCGGGCCCGCACGCCAGAGAGAGGGGGGAGGGAACGGCGUUAACGGCACGGAGGGGGGUGAGGGCUCGACCAGGGCCGGUCGGCGGCGAGCCCCGCGGCGGUUCUCCGCCGUCGGUCCAGUUUUGCGGUGGGGAAGCGGUGGCGGAGCAUGGGCGGUUGAUAGGGGUCACGGGGGUGGGGCGAAUUUCGCCUGCGGGGGCCUAUGGCGGCCGGUCCGCGGCACGGUGGCGGGUGCCCGCGGCGGUGAUGCCGCCGGUGAGGUUUCCGGCCACAAUAGAGUGGGGGAAGUGGCGUGUCGUGACCGUGAGAGUAUGGCGGAGCUCUUGGCAUAACUUAAUUGAACGGAAGAUCGCUAGAGAGGGAGAGGGGAGCUCAUCGGAGCGGUGAAGGGAGCACGGCGGCGCUAGCUUGAACGGCUCGGGGAGGAGGGCAGUGGGGGUGGCCGGAGCUGUGUGGCGAAUACGGGGCUCGGGCGGGUCCUUUUAUAGGCGCUCGGGGGAGGGAGGGGGAUGGGGGAGACGGCGAGCACCGGCGAGCUCGCCAUGAUGGCGGGAAUGGUGCUAACGCCGAUGCGAUGGCUCGGGCAGGCUGGGGGGUGAGGGGUCGGCUCAAGCACAGUGGCGGGGUUGUCGCGGAGGCUGGCGAGCAUUAAUGGCGAGGCGACGAGGCGAGGGGGCGCUCGGCGGCGGACGCGCCGGUGAGGGAUGGGCGAGGGGGAUGGAACUGACGAGUGGGCCCUGGCUGCCAGCGAGAGGAAGCUGCGCGAGAGGGAGGGGGUGAGGCGCUGAUGGGCGGGGCCCGGGUGUCAGCGGGAGGGAGCCGCGCGCGGGUUGGGCCGCCUGGGCCGGGGAGAGAGGGGGAGGAAGUGUGGGCGCGUGCGGGUUGGGCUGGAAUUCGGCCUAGCCGUGGGAGGGGGGGAAGCUUUUCUUUUUCUUUUUCUAAUUCUAAUCCCUUUCUUCUCCUUUUUCUAUUUUUGUUUCUUUUUGAUUCUUUUUCUUUGGAGACCAAAAAUAUUUUCUAAGUGAUCUUGAGUGAGAAACAUAGUCUAUGUGAGGUGCUCUAAUUAUUUCAAGUGUAUGCACAUGAGAAGGGGUUCUAAGGGUAGGGUUAAGGGGGAAAGGUAAAAUAAGGGGGGGGGGAAUUAGGAGGUUAGGGUUUCAAACCUUGGGUGGGAUUUUGGGAUGUUACAUUAUCUAACAAACUCAUAAACAAUAAGUUAAAGGGCCUACCCAUAACUUGUUUUUGGGUCUCAAUGCUUCAAAGGUUCGACCAGUAAAAGGAGUGCAGGUUUAGCAACUAAAUCGAGCUAAUUUUGUGUAUUUAGCGGGCUAAAUAUGACUAUUAGCGGCUAAUUUUGAUCAGCGCUAAAUAAUGCAUCUCUUAGCUCCAGAUCUCCUGAAAGGCUAUAACCGGCUAAAUAGCUGCUAUUAGCUGGCUUUUGAAAACCUUGCUCUGUGCUGGUCUCGAGUGGAUAAAGCAUGGGUGACAGAAGGCUGGAGAGCAAGUGGGUCGAAAUAGUUCGCUUGUUUUUGAGGAAUCCGUAGAACCCACAUUUUCAAGAAGUAUUUCGAUCCAGAACCAACAUAAUCCACGAGACUUUUGAACCAAACAUGGAUUGUUGUGGGUUAAAUCCUUUCCAACCCGCAUCAUCACGCUAACCAAACACACGUGUGAGGUUUCGCCUUACCCGAUGAGUGAGGUUUCGCCUUACUCGAUGCCAGUUUGCCUUUACUUUUUGUCUUGAUAUCAGUAGCUCCAUUUAACUUUCAAGCGUCUAAAAAAACUCUCUUCCGCAUCUACAACUUUUCAGUUAAUGACUUCUUUAUUCAAGAUCAUCUAUAAUAUUAAAUAUACAAUACAAUAUUUAAAAAAAUUGUAGUUGAAAAAUAGUAUCGGUUGUAUAGUGACAACUAUUAUAUAGCUUAACCGGUAUAGAAGCUCGAUGGAACCUUAAGAUAUUGAGUUCAAAUCCAGUAAUCUAGCAGUGUUAUAAUUGAUAGUGAUAAAUUUUUUGAUAAAAAUAACUCUUUAAAUGAUGAUUUAGAGAAUAUCUUUAACAUAGACUCUAGAAAAUUUCAUAAAGAUGCCGAUCAAGUAAUCCUGGCUAACUAUAUGAAGCUUUUUGAGAAAUUAUGUAGGCUUAUAAGGUCACACACAAUAAACUUCUACUUUCUAGUACUUGCAUACUUAAUUAGUUUGUUCUAUAUCAAAUUAUCCUAAAUUUUACCAAAUUUAUAUACACGAGUAUUUGCAUUACAGAAAUAUAUUUCACAAUUCCAUUCAAUAUACUUAUUUUCUAUUAGGAUUGGUGCCUCAUUUAGUGGAGGACGGAUUAUCUAUCUUGCAAUAUCCAGAUGAUAUUAUCCUGUUUUUGGAGCAUGACUUGGAGAAAGCCAAGAAUAUGAAAUUACUUCUCCUGUCUUUUGAGCAAGUCUCAGGGUUAAAAAUUAACUAUCACAAAAGCGAGAUUUUUUGCUUUGGUCAGGCCUCCGAUGUUAAGGAUCAAUAUCAAUUGUUGUUUGCAUGCAGAAAUGGGGACUAUCUGUUUAAAUAUUUACGGAUACCAAUGUAUUAUCGGAAGUUAAACAAUAGUGAUUGGAAAAUAGUAGAGGCAAAAUUCGAAAAGAAGCUCAGCAGAUGGAAAGGGAAGCUUAUGUCUGUUGGAGGCAGAUUAGUCCUAAUAAAUUCAGUGCUUACCAGUUUAGUUAUGUUUAUGAUAUCUUUCUUCGAGAUACCCAGAGGGGUUCUCGAGAGAAUAGACUGCUUUCGGUCUAGGUUCUUUUGGCAAGGAGGGAAUCAUAAGAAGAAGUACAGACUUGCCAAAUGGAACAUCCUAUGCCAACCUAAGGAUCAAGGAGGGUUAGGAAUUCAGAACAUAGAAGUUCAAAAUAAAUGCUUGCUAAGCAAAUGGCUUUUUAAGCUUAUUAAUGAGGAUGGGAUGUGGCAACAAUUGGUGCGUAACAAAUAUCUUAAGAGAUAUCCGUUGUGGAAUGUGAAACUUAAACAUGGUGAUUCACAUUUUUGGUCGGGGUUAAUGAAAGUAAAUGAUACCUUCCUUAACCUAGGAAAUUUCAUUAUUAAAAAUGGGGAACAAAUAAGGUUCUGGCAGGACAUUUGGAUGGGUACUCAAUCCUUUAUGAUUUGUUACCCGUCUCUUUAUCAUAUUGUAAGACAUAAAAGUGCCACGGUUGCUACAGUUUUGGCUACAGUACCUUUAAAUGUAUCAUUCCGUAGGGUGCUUGUCGGUCAAAACCUCACUUUGUGGUAUAAUUUAGUGGCAAGUAUAUUACAUGUUCAGUUGAGUGUCGAUAGGGAUAUUUUUAAAUGGAGUUUAACUAAUUCUGGGCAGUUUACAGUUCAAUCUAUGUAUAUGAGUCUUAUUAAUAAUGGGAAUGUUUUUAACCAUAAGGAAAUAUGGAAACUUAAACUGCCACUUAAGAUUAAAAUCUUUAUGUGGUACUUAUUAAAAGGAGUAGUGCUGACGAAAGAUAAUUUAGCAAAAUGCAACUGGCAAGGUAGCAGUAAGUGUGGCUUCUGUAAUUUGGAUGAAACCAAUCAGCAUUUAUUUAUUGACUGUCAUGUUGCUCACUUUAUGUAGCGGUUGAUAUCAAUCUGUUUUGGUUUACCAGGACCUAGAUCUGUUAAACAUUUCUUUGGGAACUGGUUGAUGGGGGUGGAUUUAAAUACUAAGAAUCUCAUUAUUACAGGUGUCUCAGCAUUGUGUUGGGCUAUCUGGAUAAGUAGAAAUGACUUAGUAUUUAAUAGAGCACAAAUGUUUACUUAUUUGCAGGUUCUAUUCAGAGGAACUCAUUGGCUCAGACUUUGGACGCAGCUGCAAAGAAGUGACGAUUCAGCGAAUCUGUUAAGAAGAGCUUGUCGACAUCUGGAGACGAUGGCCAUGCACUUUUUUGCUUAUCGGGGUUGGAGGUUUUCUAAUAGGAUUACAUUGUAUUGAUCGUUUUCCUUUUUAAGUGAGUGUUGAAUCGGUGAGGAGUAAGGGAGAGUUUAAGUCUUUUAGGCUAAAUGUUUUUGCCUUAUUAUGCGAGUACUUGGAGUUGUUAUUUGGUGUCUGACUUUGGCCCUACCCUCGAAAGAGGCGAAAGCCGGAUUUUGUUCCAUUAUCUAAAAAAAUACUUAUUUUCUAUAAACUUGGUGAAUCUUAUAAUAGUUUAACUUAGAGCAACUUUAAAUGUGAAUCUUAUAAUAGUUUAACUUAGAGCAACUUUAAAUGCAUUACGUAAUACUUAUUGGAAUUUGGCCUCUUUAGCCCACUUAUGGGUGGUCCAAUUCAUAUAAGAAAUCCAAGGUGCUGUGUAGGGAUAGCAUCAGGGACUUUAGUCGUACAUUACUUAUCCAGGUAAGAGAUAACCAAUUUAAACGUGAGGGUGUGCACUACUCUUCACAUGUGACACACAAAGGGCUGUGGAGACUGGUAUGAACUGACACACGCGCUCACUCGCAUUUCAGGUUUUUCACGAAAUUAACGCGUGGCUUGUGACUUGCGAUGAUGAAUGAUCGCGUCGUGACAUGUUCUAAAUAGCAGUUUAUUUUUUGUCUUUUAUUUAUUUGGUUAUCAAGUACCACACCUAGCUAGACUGCCAUGUCAAUCGAGAGUAAUUAGGCGCGCACUGCGUGAACUCCGUGCGGUUGUACUUAGAGAGAUUUGAGAGGACGGUUACUGGAAUUUAGUAGAUCGAAUCUGGAACAAUUGCGGCGACUCUUCUAUAAAGGGGAGAUGUCCUUUAGACGAAAGGCAUACAACAAUCAACCUACUCGUCUUCUCAUUCUGAACUUUAUGUGUUACCGCUUCUCUACUCUAUCGUCCCUGCGUCUGCCAUGCAACAAAUCAAGGAAGACCAGUGUAUUCGAACCAACACAGAUAUUUUGACGACCUGCACGGGCGUUGAGAAAUUAGGUUUCUGGGAAGUGCACCACGCACGUAUGUUCAUGUUCUUCAAAUCCAGUUGUGGGAAGCACUAUAAGUAGAUAUGCAAUUUCUGUUUAUCAUGACACAGAUCUUUUGCAUAGAUCUAUUGUUCAUUUGUCUUCUGUUCAUUAAUUGUUUGGUUUGGUGAAUCUGAUGCUUUUCAAGAGUACAUUACUAAAGCACAUAAUCCUAAAUUUGUGAAGUCUUCUAGGCAAACCACAACUUGAGAUCUAAUUAAGCUUUACAAUGAACGUGUGCUUAAGCUUAUUGAGUCAUUUCAAUCUGUUUCAUCUGUUGCUCUAACUUCUGAUAUCUGGAAUGUUAAAGCUAAAGAAGACUACAUUUAUGUUGUUGCUCACUUUUUGAAUUCCAAUUGGGAGCUAGAAAAAAGAUUGAUUGGUCUUAGGGUCAUAUAUGUGAAACAUUCUGGUAAUAAUUUAGCAGAACAUGUUAACAUGGUUGCUGAUGAGUGUGGUUUAAGUGAUAAAAUAUUUGCUAUUACUCUAGAAUCUACUUUUAGUUUGGUUGGCAGGGUUAUUGAGGAACAUCGUCGACGGCUCAUACCGGACAUGGUGGAGGUUCUAUCAUGUAUCAAAGACCGGGAGUUAGCAGAUUUACACAAGCAACACAAUCUUGAGAAUGACACAUAGAAAUAGAAUUGUCCUUGAAAGAUUGAACAAUGAUGGAGGAGGAGACGAAGAAAGCCAAUCAAGGACUCAAGAGUUAAGGGUGAACGAGUGAAUUAUUGUAACUUGUAAUAUUGUCCUCUGUCUCUAUCUCUGGUGAAUUGUUGUAUUGAACUCUGAACACAGUUGCAUACGUUAUAACUUUGAGCUGGUUGUACCUUUUUCCCUUUUUAGGGUUUUCUCACAAGGUGUGAGUUUUUAUCUAGGAAGGUUUCUAAUAAGGCGACAUUGCAUAAACAACUCAAAUAAUAUUUUGUCAUUCAAUUCUUGUGUGGCCUUUAGUGUUUUUUGUGAAUUCUGUUAUAUACCAAUAUAUAUGUGAUUUUCGGGCCAGACCCGCCCCUGUACUAAUGAGCUAUCCAAGCCAACGGUACGGCAUGACCUACCUGAGUAGCAAGCGAGUCGUGCCUAGACCGAAGGGUCAACACGCUAGGUAAGCCCGGCACGAUCCAGAUGUUACCCGUGCCGUGCCUGGCACGCCCCGAAUGGGCCGGGCCGGAGCGGACCAUUUGGAUAUCUAUAAGUCCAAGCAGCUCCAUACAUGUUUGCAGGUGCAGCAGUCCGAAUAGCUACAAUAUUGCUGGCUGCUAGUCAGCCGAACAAUAUAGAAAUAUGAUUUAUAAUGACGGUUUUUAAAAAAAAAACUACCAAUAGAAAUAACACUAACGUAUGAUAACUGAAACCGUACUACAAAUUAAACUUCACCAUAGACUUUCAGUUAUUUUUCUACAAGUGAGGGUUCCGGUACAAUGAGUCAACGAGCUACAAGCGGUGGUGGGCGCGGGAGGCAGUGCCGUCGUCGAAGUUCUGGUAGUAGCUAUGCAGGUCAUACCCGAACCUCACCACGGUUCGCCUCGGCCGCGCCGUGCGUCUUCUCCAAGAGCGCCUCAACCUCGACAGCAGCAGCUUCACCGCCGCAGCUGACCGGCGAUCGCCGCUCCUAGCGUGGACGACCCUCCCGCCCAAGCCGCUGCCCCCGAUCUAUGGGCCUUGCAGAGACGCCGCCAUGAUCGUUCACUCGGUUCUCACAAGUCACACACUCUUACGUUGCGACUAACUAGCUAGCGCUAGCUAGGUGCUCUAUCUGCUCCGAGCUGGCGUCGUAGGUAUCUGCUGUGUGCUGCAGUGUAGCUUCUGAAGAUCUUGUGCAAGCAAAACGAUACUCCAUGCCCGCAGCUUUAUAAGCUCGGAUGCUGGGAGCAUUCCGACACGUGUCGAUCCAACCGCCACUAGUACACAGAAGCUCUAUAGUGGCGGUUCUAAACCUAUUUACACUGGCGUUUUUCAGUACCGCCAGUGCUAGGGGCCAGUGGAAAUCAGCAUUUCCACUGGCGGUUAUUUUGGAACCGCCAGUGAUAAUAGAAUUUCCACUGGCGGUUUUCUUAAGGAAACCGCCAGUGAUAAUAGAAUUUCCACUGGCGGUUUGCUUUAUAAAACCGCCAGUGGAAAUGCACUUUUCACUGGCGGUUUUCUUUAUUUAGCCGUCAGUGGAAGUUUUCCCGCCUUUUUUCAAAAUUUCAAACAAUACUGAAUUAUAUAUAUAUAUUUAUUUACACACACACAAACAUAUAUAUAUAUAUAGAUCUAUAUUGAUAUUGAAAGCAACAUGAAAUUAAAUUCUAUCAUACAUUUAUAUACAUCAAAGUAUUCUUUUUACAACCAUAUAUGCUUCAUGCAUUCUACACAUCAUAAGUUUUCACCUAAGCUCUAAUAACUAUCUCGGCUAAGAGAUAAUCUACUAAUUUCUGUUAGUAUUCUAAACUCUGGCAAAGCUAAUGUUCCGGAAGCAUCGUGAUAUUUUCCUUCUGCGGGAAUGACCUCUUUCAAUAUGAAUGUGCAGAGGUCCUCGACUAUGCCAUACAAUGCAGCUUCGGUCAAGUUCUCCGGGUUUCCUCGUUGAAAUUGCUGUAAAGGAAUUUUAUAAACAUCAUCUAUUUAUACUCAAUAAUAACACAUUUGCAUCUUUAAUGACAUAAAUACAUACUUGACUAUUACUAAUAAUACCUUGUCAGGGUUCGUGAUGUAUCGUCCGUUCACUCUCAUGAACUCGCACGCAUAGAAUUCACAUAGGACCGAUCCUUGUGGUUGCUUGUGGCACUACAUAACGGGAGAUUGGUUAUUUAGUUGCAACAUUGUGUAUGAUAUGUAUUCGUAAAAUCACAUACUUACCGGCCAGUGAUGAUGGAUGUCUAGUGGCACGCGUUGUUUCGACAGGUCGUACUUUCCACCUCUCAUCUUAUAGAAUCUAUAAGCCCUGUGAUCUCAAAUAGAAUCACCAUGUUAUUCUCAAAUUUUAAUCGAUAAAAGUAUGCAUGCAUAGAAAAGGCUUACAGCUCUAAGAUGCUGAGGAAUUCUGCAUAUGUCGAAGGGUCGAAGUUCAAGGAGUCGAGCACCAGCACCUUUCCAACCUUAGGAUAAAUGAGGAAGCAUAUCCAGUGGUCCCUGUACGAAUCAAAUUUGUGAUGCAUGUGUAUUGAAAUUAUUAAUUUUAUUUAUGCAAAAUCACAGUUACUUAAAGUUGUACGGGGCCAUUAUGGCUUCCCUGUCUUGAAAUUGAAGCAUUGCAUGUCCUAUGUAGGUGGCGUAUCGAGCUUCAAAAUCCUUCUUCAUGUCCUUUAUACGCUUCUCAACUUCUUCGUCCGUCUUUCCCCGUAUUUCAUCGUUGUCUUUCCCGAUUCUAAAAGUGUGUCUUUCCUCGGAUAUAAGUAUUGGGUUGAGAUACCCAACCCUUUUACUGGCACUAGCAUUGGGCUUGGUACCGUAAAGGAUCUCCUGCUGAUCAUGUUGCAUUCUGCAAGUCACACGUGCAUGUCAGAUAUUGAAAUUUUAUACAGCUCACUAAUAAUAACACACAUAUGUGGAAGUAUGAGCGACACUUACAAUGCAAACAUCGUUACAAGUUGCACGUCGAGUCUCUGAAGGUUCAUCAUUAACCACAUGUCCUCGAAUGUAACAACGGCCUUUUGGUCCGAACCAAUAAAAGCAUGGUCUGGUAUAUGCACACUGAUGGUGUCGAUGCCAACCGAUGAUGCCCGCAUGUACCAGUCAUGCAACCUUUUAACACCAGCCGGGACCUUUCUUAGUUUCUCAAGAGGUAGCAGAGGUCUGCCCGGCACAUAUUUUUUAGGCACGUUUUUGUAAUCUGCCUUAGUUGGCUUCUUUAUCUUUGCGGCCAUUGCCUCAGCCUUUUUUGCAGACUCCUCGUGCUCGGCCAAAUCAACAGUUUGUGACGUGAGGCUCCGUCCAAUCCCUUUCAAAAAUCGAGCUGUGCCAGCAGUACUAGCUUUACUCUUCUUUUUCUGAUACGGGGACACCAAUUUUGGUAUAGGAAGUUUAGAUUUCUUUGAUGGCCGUGGAUCCUUUGAUGGCUGUGGAGAAGGUGGAUCCCUUGAUGGUGGCGUAGACAGUGGGUCACCAAGAGGAUGGGGAGGAGAAGGUGGUGGAGCCCUGAAUGGUGAUGCUUGUGGCAGAGACAGUGGGUCAGAAAAAGGAUGAGGAGCAGCAUGUGAAGUUUGAGGAGGUGAUGAUGGAUGUACAAUAGGAACAUCAAUUUGAGAAGGAGGAGACGGUUGGGCCUGUGACGAAUUCGACCAAUCAAGCAAUUCGACAUCCCUUCGAGGCCAAAGGAUAAAAUUCUUGAUAGCUUGUCCAAGUUUCUCGAUACCUUCGGGCCCAGGGAUGUCUAGCAUGUCGUCCUCGGAUCCUUGGACGACCGUCGUCACUUCUACUUUGCAAUAAUCAUCUGGAAUAUCGUUUCCAUGGAACUUGCGUCCUGGGAUCGCAAGGCCUGUGGCUACUUUCUUUGUACGUUUAUUGUUAAUACCAUAUCUUAUAACCAGUGUGCACGCCACAGGCCUUGUGAUGUCAUCAACUGGAUAACUGACCUUAUUUCCCGUUGAAGCAACAGAGCUUGGGAAUGUCGUACAAUCGGUGGAAGCCGGCGGUUGAGCUGCUGGAAUUAUUUGUAUCUGUGGAGUGGUCAUCUGUUGAACAGACAUCGCACUCGCCAACUGUUGCAUCAAUUCUGGAGGAGGAUUCGAUAGCAUUUGAGACAUCAUGGCUUUGAACUCUUUCUUGGCCUCCUCCUUAAAAUAAUCCGCCAUCUCUUCCUUGUAUCGAUCACGUUUCUUGUACAGACCUUCCCACUGUGGUCUGAAUCCUUCCUUCCAUCCUUCCUUAGACGAGAUUCCUCGUACACGACCAGGAUGCUCAGGGUUACCGAGACCAGCCGUUAGGAUGUCUCUUUCCCUUUGUGGCUUAAAAGUUCCUUGGCUCUGCUUAGCUGCCAUUGUAUAUAUGUUUUUUGCCGCUUCUUCGACAAUGGGAUCAUCAAAAGAUACACCGGUCUCGGUUUCCCUUGGUUUUCUAGCACGGAGCCAAUUUGCCGCCCUUUCACCAAGUUGCUCGGACAACGUCGGCAACCCUACGGCCUUCUUCUCGGCGUCUUCUUGUGUCCAUUUAGGAACCUGACGCUUGUAACCACCUGUGCCUAGGUGGUGGCGGUACUUGUUCUUCUUUGAUAGUUCCGAAUUUGCCUCACUUAGAGAUAUGAAAUCAGGGCUGCUCCUCUGCUCUAGAAAUACUGCCCACUGACCUGCUGAGAUUUUAUAUUUUUUGGUCGGUUCCAGACCUUUCUUUGCAAACUUUGUGUUCAUCUCAGACCUCCAGUUUCGGAAAUUGAUUGCAAGCUGCUUCAUCGUGUAUUCCUUCACGAGUUCUUCUGAACCCCGAGGCAGAACGAACCUCAUUAAUAGCUUAUUCCAUAUUUGAUUCUUGACAUCAUCUGACACAUCUCUCCACUGUCGUAUUGUUAUGUCAAGAUUAUCUCUAACUAAAAACCCAAGUGCAUUCCGGAACUUAGGUAGUGCCUCUUCUGGAGCUAGGGGCUGACCUUUCGGGCUCACGUCUGAGAUUUUGUAUGUUUUGUCGGGAAACUUGUUCAGCCCCCUGUCACCUCUUUUUUGAUCGCUCUGCUUCCUUUUCCUUGACGUCUCGGUUGUUGUCUUGGUCUGUUCCGGUGCGUCUUGGGUCGGCUCCGGUACGUCUUCAUAUCGUGCCACGGCUUCUUCGAGUAUCGCACGAAAUUCAGACACGACCUUCUAUUCAUGUAAUAAAAUGCACAAGAGAUCAUGCAUGUGAAAUCAGUAGGGUACACAUACGAAGCUAAAGAUGCGUACUUUUACCUCAGCUUCUCGUGGAUCAUAAGUAGGGUCACGUUGCAACUCACGGAGAGCGGCCCUAUCUAUGCUAGUGGUAGGAAAAGGGUCGCUAGGCGUUUCAUAUCCUUCACUGCUGGAUUGUUCUUGAGCAACACUCUUGUCCAUGUGGUCGGGCACUAAUCCUUGGUCCUUGAUCGGAGAACUCUUGAUCAUGGAUGCCUCGGGACAAGCACGGGUUGAUACAUAGCCAUUCAGUAUUGACAUGAAAAGCUCAUACGUCCACAUUUCAUGCAAGUACAUAGGACCCAAUGCCUCUAUUUGUGGCACCAAGUGCACCACAAGGUGCACCAUAAUAUCAAAGAACGAUGGAGGGAAACACAUCUCAAACUGUGAUAUUGUCUCCACUGCGAAUUCCUGAAGAGAUGCCAACUCAUCACGGCCAAUUACCUUUUGUGAAAUCCUGUUGAAAAAGUAGCACAACCGUGUGAUUGCCAUCUUUAAAAACAAAGGAUUUAUAGCCCUGAUGGCAAUAGGUAGGAAUGUAGUCAGCAUGACAUGGCAAUCAUGUGAGUUGUAGUUGGUGAUUGUCAGGUCUUUCAUUGACACAAUACUCCGUAUGCUAGAGCAGAAUCCAGAUGGGACUUUCAAAUUCUUGAGCCAAACACACAUCGCAUGUUUCUCAUCUACAUUGAGAUUGUAGCUUGCUGCUGGGAGAUGGUACUUCCCAUUUUCUUGAAGAACGGGAUGUAGUUCCUUUUUUAUGCCUAAAUCUACCAAGUCCAUGCGUGAAUUGAGCCCUUCUUUUGUUUUGCCCUUUAUGUCUAGCAAGGUGCCCAUUAUGCUUUCAAACACGUUCUUCUGAACGUGCAUACCAUCGAUCGCAUGCCGCACAUCUAACUCUUUCCAGUAAGGCAAGUACUCGAAGAAAAUAGACUUCUUCUUGAAUAUAGCCCCCGGAGCUGGUUUGGCAUCCUUCCUUGUUUUUCCGUCUUUUGUCUUCUUCCCGAAAACAAACUUGAUAUUCCUGACUAUUUCAAAAACUCUAUGACCUCUAUUGUUACCCGAUGGAGCAGUAGAAUGUAGUUCACCAUUAUUGUCGAAGUACUUAUCCAUCUUUCGCAUGCGGUACCUGUGUCCUUCCAAUAAAAAGCGUCUGUGCCUCAUGUAAACUAUCUUCUUAGAUGCAGCAAGGGAUACGUAAGCAGUUCCAUCAAUGCAUACUGUGCAACCAACCUUUCCCUUAAACUGGCCUGAUAAUGUGAAGAGAGCAGGGUAAUCGUUGAUCGUAACAAAAAGAAUUGCUCUCAGCGUGAAUGAACCUUUACGAUACUCAUCCAACAUUUGAACACCCGUUUCCCACAAUAUUUUCAUAUCCUCCAUUAAGGGCUCCAAAAAUACAUCCAUGUCAACUCCAGGUUGUGUAGGUCCAGAAAUAAGGAUGGUUAGCAAAAUGUACUUCCGUUUCUGCAUCAACCAUGAAGGAAGGUUGUAUAUGGUGAGGAUCACCAGCCAUGUGCUAUGCUUGCUGCUCCUCUCAGCAAAUGGGUUCAUUCCAUCAGUACUCAGUGCGAACCUAACAUUUCUUGGUUCAUCGGCAAAGUCUCGGUGGUUGUCAUUGAAAUCUUGCCACUGCUUCCCAUCGGCUGGAUGUCGAAGCUUCCCAUCGUUUUUGUGCUCAUCAGAAGCAUGCCAGCUCAUAAGUCUGGCAUCCUUAGGAUUAGCGAACAAACACCUCAAUCGAUCGACGACGGGGAGGUACCACAUCACCAAAGCAGGAAUCUUUUUGAGCGCAUAAUAGUCUACUUCUUUUUCUUUGCUCGUGGAUUUUGAAGUCUUUUUUUGGGCUUUCUUUCGCUUCUUCCCUUUAGACACGGAUGCAACACACUCUUCCUCUCGAUAGUCUUUAUUCGUCUUGUACCUACUUGCACCGCACUUUGGGCAGCUCUCCAAGUCUUUAUAAUCAUCACCUCGAUAAAGGAUGCAGUGAUUUCUACACGCGUGGAUUUCUCCACACCCAUAGUGAGCGGACUGAUUAGUUUCUUUGCAUAGUACGUGUUAGCAGACACUUUGUUCUCCUUUGGAAGCAUGUCUGCGAUAAUACUCAAGAACGCAUCGAAGCCAGCAUCAGACACACCAUAUCUAGCUUUUAACAUCAACAGCUUUAGCACAGACCGGAGCGUCGUGAACUCUUUGGUACAACCCUUAGACUCGUCGUACAAAGGCUCUUCUGCUGCCUUCUUCAGGGACUCCAUACCUUUCAUGAAGAACAUCGAUUGAUCUGUAUGACGACGCAACAUUGCCUCUAGCAACUCUGCAUCUUCCUCAUCCAUAACACUUGGCAGAACAUGAGGUCUAUCAUGUUCAUUUCCUCCAGCGUAACCAUGAUCAGUAACAUUUUGCACUACAUGUUCGCUCUGUGGAAGAGGUUGGUGUGUCUCGUGAACGAAUUGAAAUCUGUCGUCGAUGUUCUCAGGGUUUCCAGUCGUAUAAGGCGAAGAGCUACCCUCUCCAUGCUUUGUCCAAAUUGUGUAAUCCUUCAUAAAUCCUCGGCAUACCAGAUGAGAUAUGAUUUGUUCUGUGUCAUUAAAUACAGCAGCAUUUUUGCAGUCCAUGCAUGAACAAUAUAUGUGUUUUGUCUUUGUUCUCCAAGCAUGGUUCGUAGCGACAUCAAUAAACCUAUGGACCUCAGAUAUGUAUGAUGGAUCUAGCCUUGAUAAGUUAUACAUCCAGGAUGUCCUCUCCAUCACCACCUGUAAAAAAGUAACAUAAACACACAAGAACCAACCUUUCUUAGCAACCUUCUUCCAAAAAUAAAGAUAAAAACCUCCCCCCUUGUAUUUUGUGAAAUCUGGCCCUCCAAUGGAAGUUGGGCUGCGAGCUAUAGUUCUUGUCGGGAAGGAUGAAGGGGUGAAACCCUAUAUCCAAAAUGUGGCUAAAUUUGAGGAAAAUGAACAAAAAUUAGCAAGAGGAACAUAAAACCAAACUUUCCUAGCCAUACUCUUCUCUCUAACACAUGGUGAAGGCCUAGUUCCAAAAUUGAGCAAAGAUGAACAAUAAUUGGCAAUUAAAACAUAAUUAAACCAACCUUUCAUAGCAACUAAUAAUAAAAACAAUCUUAAUUACCAAACCUAUCUUCUUCUCUCUCCACACAACACAUGAACCAUUCAUUAAACAACUUAAUAUGUCAUGGAUAAACUGAUUUGAGAACUAAACAUGAAAAAGGAGAGAGGAUAGACAAAAUCUAACCAUAUUAAACAACUUUAUUUGAGAGAAUAGAGAAAAUAACCUAGCUAUACACUUUCUCUCAAAUGGUGAAACCCUAGAUCCAAAAUGUGGCUAAAAUUGAGCAAAAAUGAAUAAAAAUUGACAUUAGCAACAUAAACCAACCUUUCUUAGCAAUCUUCUUCCAAAAAAUGAAGAUCAAAACCUCUCCCCAUGUAUUUUGUGAAAUCUGGACCUCCAAAAUCGCCUCCAAUGGAAGUUGGCUGCGAGCAUACAGUUCACUGUCGGGGGAAGAAGAGGGGUAUUUAUAACAGACAGUUCACUGGCGGUUGGCUUUAAAAACCGCCAGUGGAAACCUAUUUCCACUGGCGGUUAUCUUAACACAACCGCCAGUGGAAAUAGGAUGUUUCCACUGACGGUUAAGUUAAGAUAACCGCCAGUGGAAAUCAAUUUUCACUGGCGGUUGGUGUUACACAACCGCCAGUGGAAACAUCCUAUUUCCACUAGCGGUUGUGUUAAGAUAACCGCCAGUGGAAAUAGGUUUCCACUGGCGGUUUCUUAAGCCGGGCCCACCUGUUUCUUUCACUGACGUUUGAUAACGGAAACCGCCAGUGAAAAGUUGAACGUGUCGCAGGCUUUAAGCUCUUUUCUACUAGUGCGCCACCCGGUCCCACCAGCACGCACUCACGUACAUGGUGACGACGAGGCAUCCACUACGGCGAUCAUCUGAAAGGUCCAAGCAGCUCCAUGCAUGUUUAUGUAAGUCGCCGCCGUGCAGUCGAAAGAAACAUAACUGUCAACUAGCAACAACGGACGCACGUGCAUAUUUGCUUUAGUGACGCAAAUCGGACCUCGGUAGCCAGCUAGAGGAUCAAAGGUUGGCCAUGGCAACUGGCGGCGCCUACUCACUUGAUCUGCUUCCUAUCCGUCCUGCCGAUAAGGUCGGCGGCUUCCUGCCCGUCUUGCCGCUGGAUCAUGCAUGUCGGACUCGGAGUCACUACCGGAAUCCGGGCACCAGUAUAGCACUCGGAACUAUACCACUCGGUAAAAAACCAAGACCUGAGCACCAGUAUAAGUUCUUUGUCGAGUGUAGUGGCUCUGGCACUCGGCAAAGAAGCACACUUUGCCGAGUGCCAUACCAGGCAUUCGGCAAAGUACCUGACAUGGGGACCUCUCUGGCGGAUUCUUUGCUGAGUGCUGUUAGGCACACACUCGGCAAAGGUAACUUCUUUGCCGAGUGUUGCCUGGGACACUCGGCAAAGACUCCGUCUCCGUCACCCAUCGCCGUAACGGAUGCUUUUCUUUGCCGAGUGCUCUCUGGCACUCGGCAAACCACUUUGUCGAGUGCCCGAAAAAGUACUCGGCAAAGACGGUUUUACCGAUGCACUGUAUGCCGAGCCCUUUUGUCGAAUGCGACAUUCGGCAAAGCGUUUACCGAGUGUUUUUAAGGCUUUAUCGAGUGUUUCAGGCACUCGGCAAAGCCGUCGGUUCCGGUAGUGAAUGGUCACCUCUGUUACUGUAGAGAUACAGGCCGGUAGGUCAGCGGCUAGACACGUGGCGUGUCCAAUGCAUGCACGCAUGUGUGGAGGGAGCUAGCUAGCUACAUGGCCCAUGGCCGCCGGCACCAUGGAUGUGUUCCACAUGCAUGCGGCCGAGGUUGGAUAUGGAUGUUAGUUGUGCAGAAGUCAGCGUCCAAUCAGAGACAACUAGCCAUAUUUCCGUGCAAUGCUACGGUUUAUGUGUCCGUGCAAUGCUACAAUUUUUAUAGGAUAAAUUUUAUUUUAAUAAAGCAUAAUAUAUAUAUUUUCUAUUGAUUAAGUAGUUGUGAAUGUAGAGCCAACAACUAAGGUUUAAAUACUCCCUUAUACAUAAUUUCACCUUAUUUUUUAUAUAAACUCUUCUAUUAUAGCAGUAGAGAAGAGAUUAUAGUAGUGCGGAUUGAUUCUAAACAAAUGUAGUUUUUUUAAAAAAAAAUGACGCGGGCGACCGUUGAAACUGAUGCUUUAAUAUAGUAGAGAUAGAGAAAGUGUAUGUUUGGUUGAGAAAUGGAGAAGAAUGGAAUGGUUUUAUUCCUAUUUUUUGGAUGUUAAUUUGGUUUCAAAUAAAAGAAGAGCGGUCUUCAUAUGAAAAUUUACCAUAAAUAAUUUAUAAUGCUCCCGCUCUAAAAGAACGACCGGAUGCGAUCGCUCUCCUCACUCUUCUACCAUCUACACUUAUAUGGCUCUACAACGAAAUUUCAACCAAACAAAAAAUGGAGCAGCUCUAUUCUAUUUGCCAAACGCGAAAUAAAACGGUUUUAUUCUAAAAAACCGGAAUGGUGUCACUCCAUUCUAGUUGACUCUCCAACCAGUGUAUUAUUGACUUAUUGUUGACGCUGAAUUUUAUAUUAAAUUACACAGAGGUAAAAUUUGCAACAAUGAUCUAGCUAGGGAUCUAAGAUACGAUGUUAUCAAAGAUGGGUGGUGGGUUUCAGUCUCCAGUGAGGAAGGAUGCGCGCAAAGAGCACUCCAAACCACUCACUAUGGAUAAUAAUAACGGGUAAUCACUGUUUAUUUCUGGAUAAUCUUAGCCUUGCACUGAAGAUGACUAAGCUUAGGACGUGGACAUUUUUUUUACAGCUGGAACAUGCAUGUAUGAUGUAUGGUCUUCUGAUAUCUCCAAAAAAAGAGAAAAGAUGUCGUCGAGCUGAGUCAUCAAUGAAUUUCUACAUCCUAAAGAAAUGGAAAGGGAACGCACUAGUGUUAUGCUAAAGCGAAAAUCUCUAGAAAAGACAAAAGCUUCUAGGCUUUUCUUAGAGAAGCGAAGCUUCUACUUACUUGCGCUCGUCUUCAGCUUGAACGGAUAAUCGACAGAUAUAUGCAGGGGACUGUGGUAGUACAAAUCAUCCAAGUCAUCAUGGUACAAGGAUGACACUAGUAGAAAAGAGCUCUAAGGUGGCGGCACGUAGAAAUUUAUACUGGCGGUUUCAGUUACAACACGCCAGUGAAAAAAACAGGGCCCGCCUUAACGAACCGACAGUGUAAAUAUAUAUACACUGACGGUUCACUUAACAUAACCGUCAGUGUAAAGGAUGCAUUUACACUGGCGGUUAUAUUAAGUAAACCGCCAGUGGAAAUAUCAUAUACACUGGCGGAUGUAUAAAGUGCACCGUCAGUGUAAAGGAUAUAUAUACACUAGCGGCUGUAUAAAGUACGCCGCCAGUGAAAAUAUCAUAUACACAUGCGGCUGUAUAAAGUGCACCGUCAGUGUAAAGGAUGUAUAUAAACUGGCGGCUGUAUAAAGUACGCCGCCAGUGAAAAUAUCAUAUACACCAGCGGCUGAUUAAAGUGCACCGUCAGUGUAAAGGAUGUAUAUACACUGGCGGCUGUAUACAGUACGCCGCCAGUGAAAAUAUCAUAUACACUGGCGGCUGUAUAAAGUACACCGUCAGUGUGAAGGAUGUAUAUACACUGGCAGUCACUUAGGGGGUGUUUGGUUUAAGGAAUCACUACAUCCAAAUUGAGGUGGUGCAUCAUGGGUUCAUUUCUCAAAUUUGGUGGGAUGACCCUAUUCCUCAUAUUAGUACUAAUUCAUAUACACUGGUGUGUUUGGUUUGUGGAGUCACUCUAUGCUUCAUGAGGUGAUGCAUCAUAAAUUCAUUCCAUCAAUUUUGGUGGAAUCAACCCACUCCUCAUGUAUAUACUAAUUUAUUAGCUUAUAUAUGAGGAAUGUGGUGGUGAUGGAUCAACCCAUUCUAUUCCACAAACCAAAUAAAAAAGUGAGGAGUGAGAAUAAGAUGUAUCACUUCAUUCCUCAAACCAAACACACUCUAACUAACUAAUUAUGAGGAAUGAGGUGGUGAUGGAUCAACUCAUUCCAUUCUACAAACCAAACAAAAAUAGUGAGGAGUGAGAAGAUGAUGGAUUAGCUAAUUCCUCAAACCAAACACCCUAUUAUCGAAACCGUCAAUACAUUGCAUGAAUAAUCGGUACUAGAGAGGAUUCCAUACCCCAAUACAUUGCGUGAUUACUCAGUGAUCGGUACCCCCAAUACAUUGCAUCAAUACCAGAGAGGUGAUCAAUACAUCUGAGAUAAACAAUAUAUCACUAACUACUUCAUUACAUCUAACUACUUCAUUACAUACACUACAUCAUUGAUAUUCCAGCAGCGAUCCAAUCUCUCAAAUAUGUCAUUUCUAGACUUGCAUUUACAACGUAAUCAGCUUGGCCAUGCGAACUACUCCCUGAUCCUCCUAUGUGGCCUCGGUCCAACAAAUAGUUAUGCAAAGCAAAACAAGCAAUUAUAAUCUUAACUUGCAUGCUUCUUUCGUAAAAUGGGAGUCCUCGUAGCACAUGCCACCUUGAUUUGAGUAGUCCAAAAGCCCGUUCAACUACAUUACGUAGACUCGAGUGGUGGAAAUUAAACUUUUCCUGCACACUCUCUACUCCUGUUUGAUUAAAAUCUUCUAAGUGAUGUCUCUGAUUCCGAUAUGGUGGCAAGUAACCUUCGCGAAUUGAGUAACCCACAUCCACUAGAUAAUACCUCCCUGUACAAAAAAAUAAACCCAAAAAAAGAUUUACUACAUCGUAAUGCAUGUAUGCAAUGGCGCCAACAAAACAUGCAUGCGACCAUACCUGCUGGUGGGUGUGGAUAGUUCGCUUCUCCCAUACAACUCCUGAGUACUGCCAUGUCAUGGCAAGAACCAGGCAACCCAGCACCUACAAAAGUGAACCGCAUAUCCAUGUCCACUAUAGCUAAUACAUUGUAGCUAGGCCACCCUUUUCUAUUUAUGUGUUCAAGCCUCGACUCAUGACAUACAUGAGCUGGAAUGUGUGUGCCAUCUAAGGCUCCUAUGCACCCAUCAAAGAAAGGGGCAUAAGGUCUAAGCUUGUUAUGCACUUUAGAAAAUGUUGGAUCCUUGGGACAUAUAGUGGUUUGUGCAAAACUAUACAGUGCAUCUGCCACCAUAGCCAUUUUUCUAUGGAUGGUAUCCAAAGACCUUUUAAAUCUGUCUCUAAUUUGUCGUGUUGCUUGUUGUGUCCCACAUGCCCAUAAGAACAUCCCUAAUGCUUCACAUGACUCCACCUCUUGUGUUGACCUUAACCCAUGAUACCUCACUAAAGUAUCAUGCAAUUCUCUAAAAUAAUCUGGAGUCAUACAAAAAUUGUCGUGACACCUCCUAGAGUCCCUCAUAUUAAGUUCCACCCAUUGCCGUCCUGUCACGUGCGGCAAUGGAGUAUGAAGAUUGAUCAUAGGAGCAAGAGUAUACGAACUAGAAGCGAAAGCAGCUAGAACCGCCGCUGCACCAGCUUGUUGGAAUAUGUUGGAGCUAUCAUCACUUGCCGUGUCGCUAUGGCUGGAGUCUUCUGCACUACUCAUCUCGGAGUUGCCUACAUUUAACAGAAAUGCAAUACUCACCAAUUUGAUUAUAGACCAUUCAAAACAGAUCGAAAUACAAUACUUAACAUACAAUGUUAUAAAACUAAAGUGCACAAGCACAUAAAUUAAAUUGAACUACAAUAUGUCCGCAAACAUCAAAUAAUACCAGAGUGAUUACAACACACACAUUCAAAACUAGACGAGAAAACUUAACAGUGUAUCAAAGCAUUAUUACAACACCACACAGACAAGCUACUUGUUAUUAAUAUGAUUCCAUUGGAACCUAAUCCAAUGGAGGCGUCCCUCUUUGCUUGUCAGUUGAAGAAAAAACUUCCUAUUUAUAUCAUUUUUGCAAAGAAUAUUUGCCAUGCAGUACAAAUCAGAGUCUUCUUCAAUUCCAUCUUCCUUUAAAAGUCGCACAACCUUGACAACUUCUUCGUUUCCACGAUUAAGAGUCUUCUUCAAGUCCAGCUGGCUUCUGAUGCUAAUGCAAUCAGAAAUAUUAGCAAUGUGAUCUUCCAAACUCAUCCUUUUUGCCUUAGGGGGCUAUCCACUGUGGCUUCUCUGAUCCUUUUGGACGAGCAACCCACACCGUCAUCAGGAGUACCGCGGCUGCCAUAGCUUCGCAAGGGUUCACGGACACCUCCAGCACUAAUCAAAUUGCCCCUGUCGUGUGUGGUUCAACUAAACAAAGUGUAAAGCUCAUCAAGAAAGGGUGGUGGUUUUCCUCGACUGCCCUGAGGACUAGGAUCCUGCGUUUGAACAUAGUGCAGAUUUAGUAUUGGUCCAUAAAAAAACUUGUAAUCAAUUCAUGAACAAUGUACCCCUUCCUGGGUCCCCAGUACGAAUCAUCUGCUGCUAUAUCACCAGUCCUUGGUUCAAGGCCAAGCCCAAUAUGGUUCUGCAAGUAUUGCCACUGCUGGAAAGACCUUCGGAGCAAGUUCAAUUUGUUUUGCAGUUUUUUGUUGUCAUAAUCAAGACCAGUCUGCUCUCUAAAGCUGCGAUACACUUAUUGCCAUCCAUAUUUAGUUAAGCCCAUGCUAUUGAAGUUAUUAAGGUUCUUCUGAUUGAUGCAUAGGUCAAUGAAUGUUUUAGUUGUCAUCGGAUCCCAACUGGCACGGUCCGACGAACUCAUCUGUGGGCAAGUUGCACAUGCACGUAACUAUUUGGAACAGAGGACAUGUAGUAAAAGAAACAAGAACUUGUCGUGGUUAAAGAAACAAGAUAAGAACUUGCUGUAAGUCAAUGAAUACAAAGACACAUUUAAUAAUUUCUGAAACAGAUGACAUAAGAAACAAGAUAAGUUAUGCACAAAAGAACUUACCAUGGAAGUGGUUUUGGCACGCUUCUUGCGUAGGUUGUACUGAAUAGGUGCAGUUCUCUUGUCACGUGCAGGUUCCGGGGAACAAGAAUCAGUGAAUGAAUGUGCCAGAUUGGGCAAACUUAUGCACGAACUGCGCCGAAAAAGAAGAGUGAUUUAAUACAUUAAAAUGGAGGCACGAGGGCAGAUAGCAACAGACAUUGCGAUCCCAGGACGUAAGUUUCAUGGAAGCGACAUACCGGAUGAUUAUUGCAGGGUAGAAGUGACGAUGGUCAUCCAAGGAUCUGAGAAUGACAUGCUAGACAUCCCUAGGCCCGAAGGAAUCGAGACACUUGGACAAGCCAUCAAAAAUUUCAUCCUUUGGCCUCGAAGGGAUGUCGAAUUGGUUGAUCCACCAACGCCGUCGUCAUCUCAUCCCCAACCAUCUCCGCCUCCUCAAACUUUAGUACCUUUACAUCCAUCAUCACCUCCACAAUCUUCCCAUGCCGCUCCUCAUCCUCUUUCUAAUCCACCGUCUCCACCACAGGCAUCAACAUUUAGGACACCACCACCUUCUCCACAGCCAUCAAGGGAUUCACGACAAUCAAAGAAAUCUAAAUUCCCUCUACCAAAAUUGGUGUCCACAUUCGAGAAAAAGAAGAGUAAAGCUACUACUGCUGGCACAGCUCGAUUUUUGAAAGGGAUUGGACGGGACCUCACGCCACGUACUAUUGAUUUGGCCGAGCACGAGGAGUCUGCAGAAAAGGCUAAGGCAAUGGCAGCAAAGAUAAAGAUCCCAACUAAGGCAGAUUAUAAAAAUGUGCCUAAACAUUAUGUGCUGGCCAGACCUCUACUAACUCUUGAGAAAUUGAGGAAGGUCCCUGCUGGUAUUAAAAGGUUACAUGACUGGUACAUGCGUGCAUCAUCAGUUGGCAUUGACGCCAUUUGCAUAUACCAGACCAUGCUUUUAUUGGUUCGGACCAAAAGACCUUUCUUGCAUUCGAGGAUAUGUGGUUAAUGAUGAACCUUCAGAAACUAGACGUGCAACUUGUGACUCUAUUUGCACUGUAAGUGUCGCUCAUAUUUCCACAUUAUGUGUUAUUAAUUUUCAAUAUCUGACACAUGCACGUGUGACUUGUAGAAUGCAACAUGACCAACAAGAGAUCCUGUACGGUACCAAGCCCGAUGCUAAUGCCGGUAAAAGGAUUGAGUAUCUGAACCCAAUACUGAUAUGUGAGGAAAGCCACACUUUCAGAAUCGGCAAAGACAAUGAAGUGUUAACGGGAAAGACGGACGAAGAAGUUGAGCAUCGCAUAAAUACUAUGAAGAAUGAUUUUGAAGCAAGAUACGCCACCUACAUAGCAAAUGCAGUGCUUAAAUUUCAAGACAGGGAAGCUAUAAUGGCCCCCUACAACUUUAAUUAAGUGUGAUUUUGCAUAAAAAAUAAUAAUUUCAAUACACAUGCAUCACAAAUUAAUUUUAUUCAUACAGGGACCACUGGAUAUGCUUCCUCAUUUAUCCUAAGGUUGGAAAGGUGCUGGUGCUCGACUCCUUGAACUAUGACCCUUCAACCUAUGCAAAAUUCCUUAGUAUCUUAGAGCAGUAAGUCUUUUCUAUGCAUGCAUGCAUACUUAUAUCGUUGAGAAAAUUUUGAAAUAACAUGGAGAUUCUACUUGAGAUCACAGAGCAUUUAGGUUCUAUAAGUUUAAAGGUGGAAAGUACGACAAGACCAAAAAAUGUGUUCCACUAGACAUCCAUCAUCACUGGCCGGUAAGUAUGUGAAUUUAUGAAUACAUAUCAUACACAAUGCUGCAACCAAAUAACCAAUCUCUCCUGUUAUGUAUGUAGUGCCACAAGCAACCACAAGGAUCGGUCCUAUGUGGGUUCUAUGCGUGCGAGUUUAUGAGAAUGAACGGACGAUACAUCACAAACCCUAGCAAGGUAUUAUUAGUAAUAGUCAUGUUUGUAUUUGUAAAUUAACGAUGCAAAUGUGAAUAGAUGAUGUUUAUAAGCUUCCUUUACAGGAAUUUCAAAAAGGAAAUCCGGAGAACUUGACCGAAGCUGCAUUGCAUGGUAUAGUUGAAGACCUAUGCACAUUCAUAUUAAAAGAGGUCAUUCCAGCUGAAGGGAAAUAUCACGACGCUUCCAGUACAUUAGCUAUACCAGAGUUUAGAAUAUUAACAGAAGUUAGUAGACUAUCUCUUAAACGAGAUAGUUACUAGCUAGAGCAUAUGUGAAAACUUAUAUGUUCAGUUUUGAUGUAUAGAAUGUAUCGAAUUUAAUUAAGUUUUGAUUGAUUGAAAAUGUAUAGUUGUAAACAGAAAAAUAUGUGUUGUAAACAAUAUAUUGUAAACAGAUCUGUGUAUAAAAUUCAGUUUUGAUGUAUAAAAUUCAGUUUUGUUUGAAAUGGUAAGCAGACCGCCAGUGCUAAUAUUAUUUCCACUGGCGAGCUGCUAAAGAAAACCGCCAGUGAUAAUAAUGUUUCCACAGGCGUUUUCUUAAGCAGCCCGCCAGUGAAAAUUCAGUUUUGUUUGAAAAAUUGAAAAAGGCAGGAAACUUAUACUGGCGGGAAGCUGAAGAAAACCGCCAGUGAUAAUAAUCUUUCCACUGCCGGUGUCUUAAGCAGCCCGCCUGUGAAAAUGAUGUUUCCACAUACGGUUUCUUAACCAAACCGCCAGUGCUAAAUAUAUUUACACUAGCGGGCUACUUAAGAAAACCGCCAGUGCUAAUAUUAUCAGCACUGUCGGUUUUCUUAAGAAACCGCAUGUGAAGACAACAUUUACACUGGCGGGCUGCUAAAGAAAACCGCUAGUGCUAAUAAUAUUAGCACUGGCGGUUUUCUUAAGAAACCGCAUGUGGAGACAACAUUUUCAUAGGCGGGCUACUUAAGACACCUCCAGUGAUAAUAAUAUUUCCACAUGCGGUUUCUUAAGCAAACCGCCAGUGCUAAUGAUAUUUACACUGGCGGGCUGCUAAAGAAAACCGCCAGUGCUAAUGAUAUUUACAAUGGCGGUUGGCAAACAACCGCCUGUGAAAAAAGACUGAUUUCUAUUGGCCCCUAGCACUGGCGGCACUGAAAAACGCCAGUGCAAAUAGCUCUAGGACCGCCACUAUAGAGCUUCUGUGUACUAGUGUGAGUGGCGAGUCUUAAGGGGGUGUUCUAUGGUCUAAAGUUUACACUACUAGAACAAAGUACUUUGCCACGCAUAACAUUCGGCAAAAGCUUUAUCGAGUGUAGCAUUCGGUAAAAAGGACUCGAUGAACAGUUUAUCGACAACGGUCUAUUUACAGAGUACUUUAUGUCGAGCACUCAGUAAAAAGGACUCGACGAACAGUUUAUUCAAGCGACGGUGACGAAGUCUUUACCAAGUGUCUGCUGACUUGACACUCGACAAAGGGAACUCCAGUGCCCCCCACGCCAGUCUGUGUGCCAAGUGUGCGGUCUGGCACUCGGUAAAGGUAACUUCUUUGCGGAGUGUUAGGACCAUAACAUUUGGCAAAGAAGCUUUACUAAUUCCUAGGUGUGCUUUAUUUGCUGAGUGCUAUGGUCAUUGUACUCGGCAAAGGCACUCUUUGUCGAGUGUGACAUUCAGCAAAGCGACUAGAGUCCCCAUUUUUAUUUGUUUUUAUUAUUCCAUCCAAACAAAUAAAAGAUAUAUCACAUAAUCAUCACAUGUAUAUUGCAGAUAUCACAGAAUCAUCACAUACAUCAUAGACAGUACAUGUCACACCCGGUUUUAGAAGGUAAACCGAAUGCGAACCAUGUACGUGCCAGGAUCAGCAAUUCACGUACACAACAGUUACAUAACAUGGACAUCAUCACACAGUGCUCAAAUAGUAUUAAAAAAGGGAAUAAUAAUCGAUUACAUCAUAUGUCUGAGACAUCCACAUAGUCUUUACAAUAAUCAAAGUGCGAAAACGAAACAUAGAUAAACGCGGCUUUCACAGGCAGCCGACUAGGGGUUGCCGCUAACCCACGCCUAGAACCCGUCGUAAUCUUGGAACUCCUGGUGGUCUCCUUCCACAGCUUCAUCCUCUCCUGAGCAGGGGUUGCAAUGCUGACAACCUGGGGAUGGGGGGGGUUUGGUGUGUAGAGCAAGGGUGAGUACACAUCAACAUACUUAGCAAAUGUCCUGUUUGGCUGAGGUGGACUAGCUUUAUGUGGAGUUAAGUCAAGCUGUUGCUUUUAGUUGGUCAGGUUAUUAUUACUAGUAGAAAGCCAGGUUUUAGAAUUAACCCACGUUAUUAACCCAAAUGUACUCCUUUCCAAACGGAAAGGGUACCACUUACCAUUACCAGAGUCAAUACCAAGAACCAUCAAUCUCAUUGCCACCUGCAAUCCGAACAUCUCUAAUCAAGUACCACUAAUCACUGGAGCUCACUUGGCCGCUCAUAACCGCGAGCACGGCUGAUAUAUCAACUUUCAAACACUCUGCAGAGGUUGUGCACUUUACCCACAAGCCGUGAUUCCCUUUCUGCCCGGAGAUCAUGACUCUCCAUUGAUCACUACCAAGGUGACCCAGCAGGGCCUCACUAUGUAGCCUUUACAAAGAUUUCCCGGGGCUGUAGCCGCCCGUUAGGUUUCCUAAAUGCACCGCACUCCUCCCCAAGGGGCGAACCCAAACUUGGCAGAGCGAGCCGCAUACACCGAGCCCCAUUAACGGCACGACGGCUAAGCGAACUACACCCCAGUUCUUCUAAUUAUUCAGCUAAGGGCAUCCCAUUCCACCCUCAUGGUUGCACUGUUUUCCCGGGCGGUCAUCCAACAAACAGGUCCUUACGGAGAGGCACUCGAGAAACCGCUCGAGCCCCCCUUGAAUACCACAAGUAUAACAUCAUAAUAAAGGAGGAGAAAACAACGUAUCAUUAAUAAUUCUCAUCAUGUUCAUUGAUUAGAGUUGAGCAAUAGCAUAAAGCUAAACAAUAAUAAUCCAACCCACAUGGGUAAACAAGGACAUGGAUAACAAAAGCUAGUCAAUCCUUAGGUAUAAAUGUGAAAUGCGGGAGGUGAAUUAAGAAUGUAUAGGACAAAGAUGGGUUAAGGGACACUUGCCUCCACCAACCAGCUGCUGCUCAGGGGCUUCUCCUUUGGGUUCCUCAGGUUCUUCAACCAGAUCGUUCUCUAUAUGAGCACAAACAUACAUACAUCCACAUAUUUAAUACAAAAGAACAGUACACCAUACAAUAGAAUGCAAUAAAUAAACAGACGUUCCACGCGGGGAUCGCAACUAUGGUUAAGAGAGAGAAAAAGGAAAAGACAGUCGAGAAACGAUCAUGUUACAUAAUUAUAAAUUAAACCACUCGCUUAACAGAAGGGCAUUAAUUUGGACACUACAUUUAGCAUAAAGUAAAGACAUGUUUCAUGUUUUAAUCAUUAUAGAUAGAUAAAGAUGAAUGAAAGGGAGUGGUCGCACGGCGAGACGUACGACACAACAUUUAGAUUGAAUUAAGAAGUAAACGACUCGCCGCGCGAUAGAGCGUGCAACGAGAUUCUUGCAUUAAUUAAAAGUAAUACGUUAAGUGUUGCGCGACGAAAUGCACGACGGCUUACGUCAACUGAACUACAUUUAAACGAAUCAUCGCGCGACGAAGCGCGCAACGCAGCACUUCAAUAAAUAUAAAUUAAAAGAAUCAUCGCGCGACGAAGCGCGCGACGCAGCACGUCGACUAAACAAAUUAAAAUAGAUUAAAACGGGGUUAAGCGCAGUGCGACUACGAUCGCACGCGCGAGAGCGCGCUGCGCGUGCCGAGGGCACGCGAGCCGUGUAGACGCGCGGGACGCGAGUCGCCGGGGCAUGGGCGCGGGCAGGGGGCACGGCCGAGGGGGCGCACGGCCGAGGGCGCGUGGCCGAGGCACGGCGGGGCGCGGCCAGGGCACGGUCGAGGGAGCGGCGUGGGGGCGGGGCUCGCCGAGGAGCAGGGGAGGGCGCGCGGGGAGGCCGUUAGAGGGGGGCCGCGACGGGGGCGGGGGCUCGUCGAGGUGAGGAGGGCGCGGGUAGGGGAGGGGCGCGUGGCAGGGGAAGGGCGCGCGUGGGGGCAGUUUGGCGGGGGUUGCCGCGGCGAGGGCGGGGCUCGCCGGGGAAGGAGGCUCACCGGGCGCAGGGAGGGGCGCUCGGCGGGGAAGGGGCGCGUGACGCCAGGGCGGCGCGGGCGCGAUCGAGGGGGCUCACCGGGGCGCGGGGCACGGGGCGCGCGAGCCGAGGGCGGCGCGGGCGAGGCCGCGGGAGGGCGCCGGGGCGCAGGGCGUGUGAGCCGAGGGCGGCACGGCCGCGGGAGGGCACGCGGGCGCGGCCGAGGGGGCUCGCCGGGGCGCGGAGCGCGCGCGAGCAGGGCGCGGGACGCGCGCGGCUACGGGAAGAAGAAAGGGAGGGGGAGGGAGACAGAGAGAAGGGAAGGGGAGGGGAAAAACUCACCUCCGGGGAUCCAAACUCCAGCGAUCUCGACUCCAAACCUUAGGGCAGCACGGGGAGAGAGAGAGAGGUGGAAGAGGGAGAAGGAGGUUACUGCGCGGGAGAAAUCAAAUGAGCCAAACGGAUCUGGGGGAGGGGGCGCGCAUGGGGAGGGCAGGGGGCGCCAGGGGCGCGCGGGCCGGACUAGGCCACACCACGGAUCAAAACCCAUGACACGCACGACCAUUAAAUGGAAUCCAAUCGCGAACCGAAAUCCGAAACGGAACGAGACGAACACGCGACAUCAGACAAAGAAAUGUGCUUCGACAUGAUGCAACACCCAUGACACUUAGGUUUUGUUUAUACAUGACACGGACACCUGUCACUAUACUGGUUUGAAAUUAGGAAGGAGUGAAACGGGAAGAGAAAAGAGAGUAACGCCCGAAUUUGGUGAGUGAAAAGAAGAAAAAAUUCUACCCCCAAAUUCAGGGCGUUACAGUACAUAUCUCACAAAGACCACAAAUCUCACAAGUUUCUUCACAAAGAUAACAAAAAGGUUGAUGUCACAUGUAUCACAAAAUAGUUCACAAAACUCACAAGUACUCAUAGAAAUUAGUCCACAACAUCCAAUCUAUGCCAUAAACAUGUCCCACAACUAAGUUCAGAAGAACAUCAGCGAGGUGGCCAGCUGAACUGAUUCGGCGAAGGGUUGGGCGAACCAUGAAGGUUGUUUGACACUGCCGAUUGAUUCUGCAUAGAGUAGAGAUUUUAUGUGUGAGACCAAAUGAAAUAUAUAUCAUACAUGACUAAAAUUUUCAUACUUAUAAGAGUAGAAAACUGAGUAGGUUCACCUGCAGGGAAUAAUGGAGGUGGUGGAGCAAAACCUGAUGUGGUACCAAGGUCUGCAUGUACUGAAACAUCUCUGCCAUCCUCUACUGAUCAACCAAGCCAGUCACCCGCUCCACCUCCCGCCCCUCAUCCUCGCCUCCAUCUCCAUACAUUCCCUCCUCUCUUCUUCUAGCUGAGCCUGCAAUAUUUCACCCCAAUGUUACGAUAAUGUAAAGAGAAGGCAUAUAACUCAGUGAAUUGACGAGGCAUAGAAGCACUAACAUGGAGUUCUUGUAUGCGAUGAUGUGAGCUGUCUUGCCGAGAUCGUAUGGCUGGGCUUGCGCUCGUGCUCCUUGCUCGCACCUGAGAUAGAGUGGGAAUAGAGAAUGAGUCAAUUGCCUCGUCGGCAAUCCAGUACUGUCCGUGCCUCCUAUCUCCUCCAACCCUCAUGAGGGCAUCUCCGUCUAUGUCCUCGGACCUCAGAUCGUAUUCUGGCCCAUGGACCUCCUACUCUUUUGCCAUGGCAGUGUACUCACUAAGGCGUCUUUGCACGUUGAGGUUGUUGUACGCCUCGGACCCAUCCUCUGGGUUGUAGGUGAUGUCGGACGUCGCCUUUCCCUUGUGGGCCAUAGCAUACAACGAGAAAAUGAAACAAGGUUGACUACCAUGUGAUGCCGACAGCGAGAAAACCAACGAUAUAGUUAGAAAUCAUGCAUAAUCGAAAGCUAGACUAAAUAAAAUAAAUCGUGUAACCAUGUUUCUGCGUAUUUGGUGACGCCGCCACUGCCUUGGUGGUGGGAGGCACCUUGCAUCAUCAAACGCUGGUCCCGACAAGCGUUGUGUGUCUCAUCUCACUCGUUGGAGCACCUCCUUUGCACCAUCCGAUCCCAGCACUCAUGGAUGCACUGUGCACAAAUAAGGAAUCGUCUAUAGGAAAUAAAAUAUAUGACAUAUUAGAAGAUAAAAUUAAGCAUAUUUAAUGUCAAUAUUAGUGCGUGACGACCAUGGCUCCCUAAUCCAGCGGCACUACGGCGGUAGCUCCCCGGUGGCACGGCGGCGGCAACAGUUCCUCGAUCUAGAGGCACGGCGACAGCGGCUCCCCGAUCUGGAGGCACGACAUCGAUAGCUUCCUAGAUGCCUGGCGGUGGCGGCUCCCUAGAGGCGCGUGCGGGGUUUGCCAUCCGCACCGUGGGCCCCAUGACAUUCUUUGAUCCGGCGCACUUCGAGCACCCCCGGCGAGCGGUGGCGAACCCAGAGGCGAGGUGGCGAUUCCGCGAGUGGCGGCCCUAUUUUUAUGCUACUUUGUAUACAUAUUUUAUACCAAUGUCAAUAGGUGUUUACGACAUAUAUUUCAGUUCAUGGCUCCCCUUCCAUAUAUUGUUUGUCUAUAAUAUUUCUAUUCACAUUUUAAGCAAACAUUUAUUGAUUUUAUGUAUUAUCUCAUUACCUAACCUAGUGUGUAUAUUGGGUUCCUACCAUUUACGCCAUAUGUAUAAGAUAUUUACGACACACUCGUUUACACAACGAAACAAAAAUUCACAAAAAAGGUAACCGCUCCCGGAAAUAAGGCCAUUUGCCAUGAUUUCAUAAAAUCUCACACAUGCAAUCCCUUGAUUAAUGGUGUCCACUACUACCAUAAAAAAAUUAUAUUCCUUAAUCAAUACACCUCAUUAAAUUUCCUAAUAAACUCAUCUAAUCGAAUUCCUUGAUUUAUGGUGGACGCAUGGACGUGGGGCUAUUGAUUCGAACCACAUGGCAGAUUUUUACGCACUGUACCGUAGUGCAUAAAUACCUUCACCAUGUAGCAUAAUUAGUAUCAAUAUAUAUCAUAAACGUUUUUAACGAGUCUAGCUGCUUGCCUGUUAGAGAGAUACUAUAUUUAUGAGGAAAUGAAGCAUUAAAUCAGUUUUUUUGUUUGCAUACAUGUCAAUCCAUUUACUUUCAACACACAUUAUUGUCAUCCUAAAUUUGUGAAAGGGAAAUAGGCUCACACAUUUUAAAAUAUACUCCAAAAGUGUCCUAUUUUUUUAAAAAUGUCAUAAAAUAUAGGUCACUUGUUAAAGUGUAACAAAUAUCUUGCACCGUUUUGGGCUGCCUUAUCUCUAACUGUAACUGAAAGGGAAAUAAGCUCACACCUUUUCCUAAAUGAUUUUGGUGGUUGAAUUGCCCAACACAAAUAAUUGGACUAACUAGUUUGCUCUAGAUCAUAAGUUCUAUAGGUGCCAAAGGUUCACAAUAAACCAAUACAAAGUUCAAAGAAAUGGUUCAAAAAAAGAAAGGAGCAAAGCAACCGAAGGCUGCCCUGGUCUGGCGCACCAGAGUGUCCAGUACACCAGGGUGGAUUCCCUCCAACUCGCUAGCUUCGGGAAUUUGGGGAGCCACUCCGCUAUAAUUCACUGGACUGUCUGGUGUAGCACCGGACUGUCCGGUGUGCCAAGCGGAGUAACGGCUAACAGCGCCAACGGUCGUCUGCAAAAGGUGAACAGUGAUCAACAGUGCGCGACUGCGCGUGCAGAGUCAGAGCAGGUGCCAGAAGGCGCACCGGACUGUCCGGUGGCCCCACAUGUCAGAGCUCCAACGGUCGGAACCCAACGGCUUGGUGACGUGGCUGGCGCACCGGACUGUCCGGUGCGCCAUACGACAGAAGCCCUCACCAACGGCCAUUUUGGUGGUUGGGGCUAUAAAUACCCCCAACCACCACACUUCAAUGCAUCCAAGUUUUCAGCCAUCAAACCUCAUACAAGAGCCCUAGACUUCAUUCCAAGACACAAACAAAGAGAUCAAAUCCUCUCCCAAAUCCGGAAUCACUCCAAACAAAUUAGUGACUAGAGAGAGAGAGACUUUUGUGUUCUUUUGAGCUCUUGCGCUUGGAUUGCUUUUAUUCUUCCUCUAUUCUUGUUUCCAACUCACUUGUAAUCAAAGCAAGAGACACCAAGUUGUGGUGGUCCUUGUAGUGGACUAAGUGUCCCAUUUGAUUGAAGAGAAAGGCUCACUCGGUCUAAGUGACCGUUUGAGAGAGGGAAAGGGUUGAAAGAGACCCGGUCUUUGUGAUCACCUCAACGGGGAGUAGGUUUGCAAGAACCGAACCUCGGUAAAACAAAUCACCGUGUCAUCCGCUCUUAUUUGCUUGUGAUUUGUUUUCGCUCUCUCUUUCGGACUCGAUUAUAUUUCUAACGCUAACCCCAGCUUGUAGUUGUGCUUAAACUUUAUAAAUUUCAGAUUUGCCUAUUCACCCCCCCUCUAGGCGACUUUCAAUUUGUGCGCAUGCAACAGAAAACAAUUUUUUACGCAAUGUACCACAUUGCAUAAAUAACUACAUCAUGUAGCAUAAUUGAUAUCAGUAUAUAUCAUAAACUUGUUCUAAUGAGGCUAACUACAUGGUUGUUGGAGAGAUCCUAUAUUUAUGGAGGAAAUGAAGCAUUCAAAUCAAACCGGCCUCAUGAAGUGGAAACAAAAAUGCCACCCAAAAUUAUCCCACAUGCGAUGAAAACUCACACGAUCUUCCAUAAUUAUCGGAACUACCAUAAAAAAUAGGAUAUGUAUGCAUGCGCCUGCGGCGUUGGAAGUGGUCCACUGGCUAGUCGCGGUUUUAUGUUAUCUCUAUGAACCAUUUAUGAUAUUUCUAUGAACUAUUUAUGUUAUUUACAAAAAAAUAGAACAACAAAUUAUAGCGUGUGUCCCAUGUGGAGGAUUGAGUGUUGGACCAGGGGUUUGACUGGUGCCCGUGGGAAGGUUUGACAUGGUGCACUGACCGACCAGGGGGUGGCUGGGGCUUCCCAUCAACAUUAGAAGCCUAGGGCUUCCAAUAUCCCUUUCAUAUAUAUAUAUAUAUAAAGAGCCCUGGGCUUCCAAUAACUAGAGGAAGCCUAGGUCCGGACGUCUAUAAAACAAGAUUUGGAGUGCUAGGGUUCGGUUUUUUACGCUCCACACUGAUUCAUUAGCGACGGCGUGUGCGACGACGACGCUUGCCCGAGAGCGUGCGCGGCGAUGGACCCCCAGUCGGUGGCCGCGGCUCCCUGACCUCGAUGUGCAGUGGCGGCGGUUCCUCAAUCCGGAGUAGUGGCGGCGGUUCCCAGGUCGGUGGCGGCGGCUCCCCGAUCCAGAUGGCGAGCGACAGCGGGGCCCUUGUGCGGGCAAGUAGCGGCGUCUCCGGGAUCCCGAGGCGGCGGCACUUCCAGGGCCGGCGAGCAAGCGGUGCCCCUCGACGUGCGAGUAGUGACGGCGACGCAUGAAGCGCAAGGUUCGAGCGAGCGGCGUCACAGGAGGCGCGAUGUGCGCGCAGCGAUGAUCGCGCGUGACAUCCUCCGAUCUAGCGCAGUUUGGGUGACCCGAGUGAUGACCUACAUUUGUGCUUGUGUCAUCGACGACGUCCUCCGGCCACUACCUCCUCCGAUUCAUGUUUUCUUUUCGAUUAUUGUGUUUUAUGACUACCACAUGUAUUAUUUACGCUAAAAAUUGUACGAUUUUAUGCUUGAACAUGGAGUUCGUAUAUCAGUUUACUGCAUGCAUAUUUUUUGCAUGCACAUUGGAAAAGCAAUUCCUUAAUUCAUGUUGUUCGUAAUUAUCAUAAGAAAUCAAAUCAUUUAUUUUCGUAAAUAUCAGAUUUGUACGUCUGUCAUAAAAUUAUCCCUAAUUCCCGCAUGUUGGUAAUUAUCAUAAAAAAUCAAAUCAAAUCACUUAUGUUCGUAAAUGCCAGAUUUUUACGUCUACCAUAAAACCGUCCCUAAUUUCCAUUGGCGUUCUUAGUUGAACCGAUAUAUUAUGCUACACGGUGUAAGUAUUUAUGCGAUGUUGUAUAAGAAUUUAUGCUCUAUUUGACUCAUGUCAUCUAAUUUUUUGCGCGCAUGCACUGGAAAGAAAAAUAUAAUCCAAAAUUUACACACAUGCAAUGGAAACUCCCACGAUUUGUCAUAAUUUUUGGAUCUGUAUAAAAACAGAAACUUCAUGCAUGCGGCGCCAUGUUUUUCAGAUCUACCAUAAACAUAGAAUCGUAAUAACAACCUACUAGAGCUAUCAACCUCUCACAUUGGCUCGAUAUUUACGCUUAUAAUUGAGGGGUUUUAUGCUCAAAACUUAAGGUUUUUACGCUUCAACCCGGAGAUGCGUCCACCAGUGAACAACAUGCCAGAUUUUUUAUGCAGUGUACCGCGUUGUAUAGAUACUUACAUCGUGUAGCAUAAUUUGUAUAAGUAUAUAUCAUAAACUGGUCUAACGAGCCUAGUUGCAUGGUUGUUGGAGGAAAUAAAACAUUUAAAUAAGUUUUUUGUUUCCAUGCAUACCAAUCGAUUUCCUUUCAUCGCAAAUCUUGUCAUCCUAAAUUUGUGCGCAUGCAGAAGGAAACAAACCUACACUGUGUAGUAUAAUUAGUAUCAAUAUAUAUCAUAAACUAGUUCUAACGUGUUUAGUUGCAUGGUUGUUGAAGGGAUCCUAUAUUUAUGAAGGAAAUAAAAUAUUAAAUAUGAUUUUUUGUUUCUAUGCAUGCCAAUUCAUUUUCUUUCAUUUCACAUUCUUUCCAUCAUAAAUUCGUGUGCAUGCAGCUGGUAACAGAUUUUUACGCAGUAUACCGAAUUGCAUAAUUAUCUACACAUUGUAGCAUAUUUAGUAUCAGUAUAUAUCAUAAAAUGGUUCUUACGAGUCUAGCUGCUUGACUGUUGCAGCGAUACUAAAUUUAUGGAGGAAAUAAAACAUUUUAAAAUAGAAACCGCCACACAUAUCUUUCUUAAAUUUACGCGCAUGCAAGAGAACAUAUUUGACUCAUGCAUGCAUUACUUUUUUGCGCACAUAGACGUGGCGCGGGUGGCGCACCCGACAGCCUGCUUGAGUUGUCGCGCUAGGUUGAACCAAGUUACAGGGGUAGUCGGCCUGGGCUUCCUUUAACUAUUGGAAGCCCAUAUAUAUAUAUAUAUAUAUAUAUAUAUAUAUAUAUAUAUAUAUAAAAUUGGGUUUGGUGGGAAAUCUGUAAAAAACAGAAAAAUAACCACUAGCGGCUAAGUUUAAAAAGAGUUGAAAAUAUUUUCACUAGCGGUUGUUAUAAGAGAACGUUAGUGGAAAUUUAUUUCCACAUUCAGUUGAGUAAAGAGAAUCGCUCACUUUCUACUGAUCCCUAGCACAAGUGGUGAAAAAAGUCAAUGAAAAUGAGUUAUGAACUGUCUCUAUAGAGCUUUUUUGUACUAGUAUCUUAUUUGCUCUCUUAUUUCAAACAACACUGUUUACAUAUAACUAGUGUUGUUUAUAGAGCAAUGCACGAUUUGUUGGCAACGACAUUAGGCUAUCUUUAACAGUCUUACUGUCUCACUCCUCAUUUAAAACUAAAUUUAUAAAUAGUGCAUCUACACACAUCCGUUGCGCGUAUUGCUGUAGAUGGCUUUAGGGUGCGUUUGGUUGGAGAGUCAAAUAGAUUGGAGUGGUUAAAUUCAAGAAUUUAAGAAUGGAGUCGUUCUAUUCUGUAUUUAAAAAAAUAGAGCCGCUCUAUUUUUUGUUUGAUUGGAGAGCUAUAUGAGUGAAAAAAAACAGAGCCUCUUCAUUUUUUUUGUUUGAUUGGAGAGCCGUAUGAGUGUAGAGGGGACGAGGGGCAGAGACUAAACACAGGACGAAAGCCCUCGGAAUCAGUUUAUAAUAAUAAUAUACAGAAACACAUUUCUAUUCCAAGCUUCAAAUAUAUAGCUCCACAAUAAAGCAUCAUCCUGUACAGUGAGUGAGUCUAUGGCUGCAACAGCUAGAGCUAGUAAUAGUCACCGGCAAUUAGUAUUGUAGCAAACAUAAGCACUGCUGCACGAGCUACAGCUACAAGCGGUGGUGGGCGCAGGAGGCAGUGCCGUCGUCGAAGUUCUGGUAGUAGCUAUGCAGGUCAUACCCAAACCUCACCGCGGUUCGCCUCGGCCGCGCCGCGCGUCUUCUCCAAGAGCGCCUCAACCUCGACAGCACAGCCGCUUCACCGCAGCAGCUGGCCGGCGGCCGCCGCUCCUGGCGUGGACGAGCCUCCCGCCCAAGCCGCUGCCCCCGGUGUACGGGCCUAGCAGAGACGCCGCCGCCAUGAUCGUUCACUCGGUCGGUUCACAGUUCUCACAGGUCACAGGUCACGGACGCUCUUGCCACUAACUAACUAGCUAGCUAGGCGCUCUGUCUGCUUCGAGCUGGAGUACGUACACUACAGUAAAAGAGGAAACGUU
This 95847-nucleotide long non-coding RNA is filed under the name Zea mays. Its description in RNAcentral is "long non-coding RNA (ZMAY_LNC002970)". Lineage: Eukaryota; Viridiplantae; Streptophyta; Magnoliopsida; Poales; Poaceae. The record is from RNAcentral.